UCAAAGGUAUGUAUGUAUAUAUAAUUAAAUCUAAAAUUAAAAAGGUACAAAUGAGUAACUAAUAAUAAUGAUAAUACAAGAUAAUAGUAACAAAUUUAUUAAUUUUAAUAAGGAAAUAACCAAAAUAAAAAAGGGUAAAUUGAAUACUAAAACAAACUUUUGGGGUCUAAAUCUGCAAAUAAACAAAAGGAGUGGUGCAGGACCGAAAAGAGGUACGUUUAAGGAACGAGGGACCAACUAGGAAAUAUUUCCAGCCCUCAGACGCAACGUUUCGGUCUGGACUAAGAUGGAACACGCAGAAAAUUGAGAGGCCAAAUUAAAAAAAUAAAAAAGACGAGAUUGCACAACAAUACAAAAUAGGAAGGACUAAAGCAGUAAAUAUCCCAGAAGCAAAAAAAAGCGCGGAUCCUGGGGCAGGCAGGUCGGGUCUUCGGGUCUUAAGUCAAAACCACGCCGUUUUUCCACUGGUGACCUCGGCUCAAAACGACGCCGUUUAAUGUUGCUAUAAAGCCCAAAUUUUUUUUAAAAUUUUCAUUUUUCCUUCUUUCUCAAAAUAAAACAGACAAAAGCUCUCAAAUUUCCUCUCCCCCUCUCUAGCACUGCCCAGAAUCCGGCGAGGAGAACCGCCGUCAACGCCGUUGCGCCGGCCACCGGGAAAAUUCAAAGGUAAUUUUUUUUACUUCUAUAUGUUAUUUAUGUAUAUAGUUUAAAAAUAAAAGAAAAAUAAAAAAAAUCGAAUACAAACAGUCGAAAAUCGAAAACAAAGAGAGAAAAAAAAUAAUAAAAAGAAGGACCUUUCGUAUUGCCCUUGUUUUUGAUCUCUUUUUUUUGCUGAUUUGCUUGAAUCCUUGUUUGAAAGUGUUAUGUUUUUAUUUUUUGUUCAUCAAAAGGGAAAAAAGAACCCCCCAUUACAGAUUUUUCAUGGUUUUUAUAGCCAUUUUUUACAACGUUUUUAUAUUAUUUUUUGUCAUUUCUUACAGGCCACUUGAAGGCGGUGGAGCAGUGGCGGUGAUGGCAGAGGGCAGGUGAGCGGCAAUGGGACGUGCGGCGCCUGGGGCUAAGGGGCAGAAGGCUGCGGCGCUAGGAGCGGCGGUGGCAGGGCAAGUGGGCAGAAAACCUCUUUUUAACUGUUCCAACUCACCAAAGCAAAAUACAAACUAAAUAUGAGCUUCACAUGCAUACCUCACACAACUGCAUUCACUUACAAAGGAAAAAAAGCAGAAAUAGAGACAUUGAAUGAUCCCCAUUCAUUAUUUAAGUAAUUCCCCACUAACAAUAGUAUUUCCAGUUAACCAUGUUUGAGAGCUUCCUUAACAAAUCUGUCGAAAUCAAUAUAAGAUGAUCCCCCAACUUCAACCGCUUCUUCCGCUUUCUUCUUCCAUCCCAAUGCCUUCUCUUUCUUUUUCUUUCCUUCCUCACCUUCCAUCAUUUCCUUAACUAAAAACUCUAUGUUCUCUCGCUUCACAUCAUGAUCCACCUCCAUGCCAAUGCCCCAAUGAGUGCAAGCAUAUCGACAAUUGGUUUGCUGAUCAGCAAAAAAUGGCCAACAAACUACUGGCACACCUUCUGAUAUGGUUUCCACGGUAGAAUUCCACCCACAGUGUGUCAAAAAAACACCGACUGAAGGAUGUGAAAGGACCUCAUAUUGGUUGCACCAGCUUGUUAUCAGCCCUCUUUCCUUCAAUCUCCUUCAGGAACUCUAGAUCCAGAAUUGCAGAAUCACCCAUCACGACAUCUGGUCUAACGAUCCAUAAAAAUGGGUGUUUAGAGUUAGCCAACCCCCAUGCAAAUUCUUUGAGAUGCUUCGCCGACAUGACAGUAAUGCUUCCAUAGUUCACAUACACAACUGAAUUGGGUUCCCUUUCGUUAAGCCAUUCAAUGCAGCUUGUAUCUUCCUUCCAUAGGCUUGGGUUCAUUGACUUGGAGGGAUCGGCAUGUAGGUGCCUGGCAACCAAAUGAAGUGGUCCUACUGUAUAAAUUCGAGGAAAUUUGGCAGCGAUGGCGUCGAGCACUUCAUGUUCGAACUCUUCAAAUGCGUUGAAGAUUAUUGCUGAAGCUUUUAGGCAAUUUUGAGCUUCGGAUCCUAAAUAAUCAAACAAAAUGUCAUUCGGAUCGUUGGCUCUGACGAAGCUUGGAAAAUCUCUGAGGCGAAUGUUACUCAUUCCAGGGACCCAGUCAAUAGGUUCAUCGAGAAAUGUUUCACCUGACACGACAAAGAGUCAAAUUUGAGUUCCUUUUAGAGAAUUUUCUUAGCUAUAAAGUUACAAAGUUGAAAUAAGAAAGUACUUACUUUGGAAUGGAAUAAUGCCUCGUUUAACCAGUUCACUGAAGUGAAGAUAUCCCAUGAAACUACAUGCUGAGGCAGUCCAAAACUGAACUUCUGGUAUGCCAAGUUGUUCAGCAGCCUUAAUAGCAAAGCUCAUAAGUCCAUCAGAGAUUAUGAAAGUAACAGUGGGCACUUGGGGCGAGGAGUUUAACUUAGCUAGUAGAUCUACGAAUGGUGCCAAGCAAUGCUUUCGUAUCGAAUCACACAGAACUGGAAGAUCCUGUGUUGCAUUUCGAUCGGACGAUGUCAGCCCUUCCGGAAUUGUUUCGAACUGGAAAUCAGGCAGACCUUUAACAAAGUCAGGGCCUUUGGACCUGACCAAACGCCUAUGGUUGAACUCAGUGUUAACAAAGGUUAUGAAGAAGCCUCUAGAGUGUAAGAGCUUAGCAAGUAGCAUCAUGGGGUUAACAUGACCUUGUGCUGGAAAUGGGACGAUUACAAUAUGGGGUUUACUGGUUUCAAGUGAACCCAUCUUUGCAAAGCAAUAACAAAGUUGUAAAAUUAAGGUGUUUGCAGAGAAGCUUUCCUUGCUUUCUAGCUUCUCUAAAGCUUGACGAGUAGCAACAUGCAAUAUAUAGGAAAAGGAUGGCGUGAAAGAGUUCAUUUGUAUUCCUUUUUCAAAAACUGUCAGAAAAUUCAUUAUUUUUAAUUUAGGCUAUUUAUAAUUUAUAAAAUUUUAAAUUAGUAAUGAUAAAAUUACACUUUGGCCCCCUUAAAAAUGAUAAAAAUUUGAUUAAUUUUUUAAAAAUGAUAAAGAUAUAGACUAUUAAAAUGAUAAAAUUAUAUUUUUACUAUCAUAAAACAUACAAUUUAAUUCCGCCCUGAAAAACUUUUCUAAUUCCGCCAUUGUUUUAUAUUUAAAUUAAUUACGCUAGAACUAGAAUGUCACAUUAUUCUCUAUAUAAUUUUUUUUUACUUUUAGAUUUAUAAUAUUUUAUAUUUAAUAGUAUAUUUUAUUUCAAAUGUUUCAUAUUUAUACUCAAAGUCAUUUAAAUUUUGGGUUUGUUUCAUAAAAUGUUUAAGAAAAAAAAUAAAAAUAUAAAACAUAAAACUUUUACAAUUAAAAAUUUAUAUUUAUCAAACAAUCUAUUUAUAUUUAAUAAUUAAUUUUAAGUAAUAUAUCAAAUAAAUUUUAUAAUUUAAAUUUAAUAUAUGUAAUUUUUAACACUUAAUUUUUAAUUUAUUUUUUAUCCAUAUUUUUCUUCCCUUAUUGUGGGAGAUUCGGCCCCACCUUUGAAUAUUCAAAUAUUAUUGUUAUCAUAUAAUAGUUUAUAAUUAAACUGUUGUUGAUAUAAUAAAUUUAUGUAUUUAUAUUCCAACUCCAUUAUAUAUUUGAAGUUAUUGUUUAAAUUGAAGAUUUUAUUUUUCAAAAAUAGUUUAAUAAUUUUUAAUAUUUCCAGGAAUUAAUUUAUGAACCAUUUUAAUUUUAGUUGGAAUAACAAAAAAAGAAAAAGAAAGAAAAAAACUAUAAUAUCUUCUUUCGUAGCUAAUUUUUGUACCUAUUUUUUUAUAGAAUUUACAAUUAUUUAUACUAAAUUAUGUCACAUGUUGCGACUCUUUACCAUUAGAUCAGACCAUUGCCACUAUGUUACGUCUUUUUAGUUAAUCAAUUUGAAUAUAAAUCAUAAUUAUUCUCAAGUUAAGAUGGAUAAAUGAUGGACAAAACCGGCUGUCAGCGUGUUGUAAUGUUCUAUGAAUGUUGAGGCUAAAGUCUUUGUCGUAUUGAUGGAGUUUGUCCUUCAUUGUCGACAAUGGAUGUUUUUUUUCUUUUCCCCAAAUUGUAUGGUCCCAUUUGUGGAAUAAAUUAAUAAAAUUUUCCUUUCAAAUGAUAAUAAUUAAAUAUAGAGGUAGUUGCAUCGGGUGUAACACCCCAAACUCGGCCUGGACGUUAUGAUUGAAUCUGGCAAUGUCACAUGAUAGUGUGUUUGAAAACCGAUGCUCGUGUUGAAAAAACCGUAACUUUGCUUAAAACAUUUUCCGUUUAGAUCUCGUCGUUAUCUUUUAUUAAUCCUAAAAUAGUGAUUUUUAUUCAGUCGUUAGUUUGCAAAAUAUUAUAUGUUGCAGAAGCUUUUUAAAGUAGUUUGUGUCCUUGUGGGUAUUUUGCUAAAACACAUGCAUUUCUUUUAAAAACUCGUGUUUUAUCUACCUCUAGCAGAUAUAAAACAUAAAGCAAUAUAAAAUCCAAAAUUUAAGCAAAAACUCAUAGCGGCCAUUAUUACAGAAAAAUACCCCAAAUAAAGCCCCAAAUAAAGCUUUAAAAAAUAAACCUAAUUAAAUACGAAACAGUAAAAAGGAGUCGUGUGGCCAUAGCUGAGUCCUCCGCCGUUCCGAUCCGCCUAAGUCUGGGGAUUACCUAAAUAGAUGAAUCAGAAGGGUGAGUUUACGAAAACUCAGUGUGUAAUCCCCACACAAACAAGCAAACAAUAUGCAAUCAUAGUUUGGGCUUAAGCCCAUUUCGGUAAUAGUUUCAGUUUCAGUUAGGGCCUUAGCCCAUUACAAUACAGAAGCAGACGUGCAUUUGGCCCUUGGCCCAUUACAAUAUCAAUACUCAGUACAGUGACAGAUAUGCAGUGUCAAAUCCUACCCAGCCAGCUUCUACACUCCAGCUCUGUCCAACCCUACACUCCAUGUGGGGAAAUGAUCAACCCACCCAUCCCUACACUCUAAAAAGUACCAAAUGCGGCACUAGACAGUAGUUUACAGUUGAGCUGCCAGUAAUUUAGGCUCGAGGCCUUUCAGUACACUUCCUCCGAACAAUAUAACCCAACCCCAAUGCAAUGCAAUAUAUAUAUGACAUGUUAAAACAUAAUAACGUGCAUAAAAUCAGGGCAUACAGUAUCAAACCAGUGGUACAUCAUCAUGCUUAAUAACAUGCAUAAUCGUAUCAGUCAUACAGUCAUUUUAGUCAAUUAGGGGUCUAGGAAAGCUUAUCGACCCUACAGUAGGUCCACAGUCGACUCGGGCGACCCGUGUAACCUUAGUAGUCAAAUAGUGAAAAUGGGUCGACGACCCAUGUUGCAUGCCCAUGUGGCCCAUACGGCCUAAAAUGGCCUUGGCCGUGUGGAUCUCACGGCCUGGCCUAAUAUUCCCAUACGCCCGUGUAGUUCACCUGUGUGGGGCCCACGCACCCGUGUGGUCCACACGACCUAAUUCAGCCCGGCCCAUGAAUCGUACAUGGCCAACCUCAUCGAUCACGCGCCCAUAUUCAAUCACACGGCCUACCACACUGGCGACCGCACGCCCGUGUGGCGUCGACAAUCACAUUUUUUGGCUUUUCACCGAUUUCUGUUUUCAGAGUUGCGUUUACACACCUGGUUUCUAUUCGCUGAGAAGGAAAACACCGAGCCUUUGAAACCUACAUUUGACCAAACAAUCACCAAUUAAUCACUUAUACCCUUACUCAAUCAAAAACACACGAGUUGACCAAGUGUUAACUAGCAACAAUGUUACCUUCAAUCGAGUAAAGAGGGAGGUUUUGCCCACUUAAUCACCAAUUAAUGAUCCUCCACCCCUCGAAUAACUCCUAGGCACCAACCAAAAUCAGAUAAGCAUUGAUUCAUUAGGCAAUAAGAUAACAAUAUACUAUCUACCCUUACCAACAACGUAAGAAGAGUACCAAUUACGAAGUGCAAGAACUUAUUAGCAAGUAGAUAUUGAUAACCAGAAAGACAGCACAGGAAAAACAGUCAGCUGCAAGGGAAAGAAAAGAAUCGACAAAAAGAAAUGAAAGGAAAGAAUGAAAAGAGGGGGAAGACUCGGCCAAGGGAAGAGGGGAACAUUUUCUUACCUUUUUCUAAAUAGUAAAUAUUUUGGAAAGCCAAAAGAGAGAGACCACAAGAACACUAAUUCGGCAGAAAACAAUAAGAACAUAAUCAACACAAUGAAGGUAGAAAAGGAAAUCGGCAAGGAAGAAAAACUAGCAGAAGUUUCGGCAGAGAACUUUCAGAAAUCAAAAAGAAAAUUUCGAUAAUGGGGAAACAAAACAACAGAGAGCAAAUUGUUAAAAAUGAAAGAGUGAGGGGAAAGUCGAACUUGCAACUACAGUUUGAAUGCUCUCAAACUCCUCACUCCUUAAUUUUCUCACCAUAUCCCUUAAUCCUCUCCCCAAAAUCGUCCACCUCUCCCUCAACCACCUAAUUCAAAUUCCACUCAAACUCUUCAGUAUUUCGGCUAAACUAGAACACCCACACGGCACAAGUAACAAAAUAAAACACUCCCUUGCAUAUACCAAGACCACCAACACUUUACCACUCCAUUUAUCCACUAGACUAGCAAGCCCAUUCUGACAUAUUUCACCAACAUUUAUUUAUAAGCAUACUGAUUAGAGAUAUGAGUUUAUUCAUUUAAGAACAAAAAUUUACUCAAGCUAAGAGUUGAACUUAGGACCUCCCAAACACUCCCAGAACACUUAACCACUGAAGCAGACAAAUAUUUGUAUCACAAACAUACAAAAAUAAAUAUAUAAAGGAUUUUUGGGGCGUUACAUCGGGUAUCCCCGAACUAUGAUUCUCAUUUUAAUUUGGUUUCCAAACUUCAAAAACGCUUUUAAUUACAUAUUCAAACUAUCAAUGUUAUAUCAAUCAUGCCCUUCUAUUAUUAAAAUCAUUAAUUUAAUCAGUAAAGGACACUUCAAAUCUUAUGUGACAUAAUUUAAAAUGAAAGUUUUAAAGAAAAGUAAAACAUUACCACAUAAAAUUUUAAAGUUAAAACUAAAAAUAAAGUAAAACUGGAAAAAAGAGAUAGUGAACAAUAAAGCUUUUGUAAAAGUUUCAAAAACCUCAAAAUCAAGAUUUUUACAACAUCCAUUUUUACAAUAUUCAUUUUUCUUUAAAAAUUUCAAUUUAAUCUAUGCCAUAUAAUAUUUGGUAAUUGAUUUAAUGGUUAAAUUAACAAUUUUAGUAAAAGGACAUUAUUGAUAUAACCACAAUAGUUUGAAGAUGUAUUGAGUGUUUUAAAGUUUGGGGACCAAUUUAGAAUAAAGGUUCUAGGUUGAGAAUAUAUGGUAAAACAAUUGAAGUAUAUUUAAUAUUAUUGAUUUGAUGUGUUUAUUUAUUUAAUUUAUUUUUAUUCAAGAUCUAAACUAUUUUUUAUUUUAGUUUCGUAGAUAUUACAUAUGAGGUAUUAUUAUUAGUUUCAAAACUUACGUUUAAUAUUCUUAAUAUGAUGUAAUUACCUAUUUAAAUUUUAUUUUACUUUCAAUUUAAACUAAUUUUUAUUUUAACUUUGUACAUGUUGCUAUUAGUUUCAAACCUUACGUUUCAUUAUUUAUUAUACAUUAUUUUUUUAACACAUACGCGUGUUCUAAAUGCACAGUUUCUAUGCACAUACAUGUUCUAGGAUAUUAUAAUCGUAUUUAAAUAUAUCGUGUCUUAUUUCUUAUGUUUUAAAGUUUAUUAAAUGUAUUUUAUUUAUAAUUUUAAAUUAUGUUUAAAGUUGGGUGAAAGUACCUUUAAAGUCCCUAUAUUAUAGAGUUUGGAUCAAAUUAAGCCCUCUAUGAUUAAAUGGAUCAAUUCAAUUAUUCUACGAUUAAAAAGAAUCAAAUAAGGCCAAAUUGGAACAAAUUUAUAAUUUAUUGUUUAAAAAAUGACAUAAAAAUAUUUUUUUUCAUUUAUAGUUCAUCUUCAAACAAAAAAAAUUCAUCUAUAAAAUCAUAAGAAGCUUUCAAAAUAUAACUUUGUUAAAUAGUAAAUGACAUCUUUUAAACAAUAAAUGUUAAUUAUGUUCCAAUUUUGCCUUAUUUUUUUUUAAUAGUACAAAGACUAAAUUGAUCCAUUUAAUAGUAGAGGGAUUAAUUCGAUAUGACCCCUAUGAUAGAGGGACCUGCUAGAUACAUUUAGCUUUAAAGUUGUGACUUAGCGAGACUAUUUCGAAAACUAGUAUCCUUUAAAAUAAUGUUUCUAUUCCACGAUCUAACUUGAUUAAUUAGUUAACAUGACCCGUCAACUGACAAGAUACUAGUGUCAUAGAUAAAUGGUAGAAAUAUUCAUUCCAAUAAAAAAAAUUAAUAUUAAAAAUGAUAAAUACACAAUAGUUACUUAUAUUUAAUAGAAAAUUUAUUGAAUUACUUUUUUUCUUUUAAGAUUAUACCAUCCUUUUAAGGCAGUAGCGGAGCUAAGGGGUUGGUAGACCCCUACCCCUUACAAUGGGAAAAUUUUCAUUUAGGCUAUUUAUAAUUUAUAAAAUUUUAAAUUAGUAAUGAUAAAAUUACACUUUGGCCCCCUUAAAAAUGAUAAAAAUUUGAUUAAUUCUUUAAAAAUUAUAAAGAUAUAGACUAUUAAAAUGGUAAAAUUACAUUUUUACUAUCAUAAAAUAUACAAUUUAAUUCCGCCACUGUUUUAUAUUUAAAUUAAUUACGCUUGAACUAGAAUGUCACAUUAUUCUCUAUAUAAUUUUUUUUUUACUUUUAGAUUUAUAAUAUUUUAUAUUUAAUAGUAUAUUUUAUUUCAAAUGUUUCAUAUUUAUACUCAAAGUCAUUUAAAUUUUGGGUUUGUUUCAUAAAAUGGUUUUAAAAAAUAAAAAUAAAAAUAUAAAACAUAAAACUUUUAUAAUUUAAAAUUUACAUUUAUCAAACAAUCUAUUUAUAUUUAAUAAUUAAUUUUAAGUAAUAUAUCAAAUAAAUUUUGUAAUUUAAAUUCAAUAUAUGUAAUUUUUUAACACUUAAUUUUUAAUUUAUUUUUUAUCCAUAUUUUUCUUCCCUUAUUGUGGGAGAUUCGGCCCCACCUUUGAAUAUUCAAAUAUUAUUGUUAUCAUAUAAUAGUUUAUAAUUAAACUGUUGUUGAUAUAAUAAAUUUAUGUAUUUAUAUUCCAACUCCAUUAUAUAUUUGAAGUUAUUUUUUAAAUUUAAGAUUUUAUUUUUCAAAAAUAGUUUAAUAAUUUUUAAUAUUUCCAGGGAUUAAUUUAUGAACCAUUUUAAUUUUAGUUGGAAUAACAAAAAAAGAAAAAGAAAAAGAAAGAAAAAAACUAUAAUAUCUUCUUUUGUAGCUAAUUUUUGUACCCAUUUUUUUUAUAGAAUUUACAAUUAUUUAUACUAAAUUAUGUUACAUGUACGUGAAAACUAUUAUAUAAUAAAUUUAUUAAAAUUGAUAUGAAAAUUAAAUAUUGCUUGGAGUAAAUUUGAUGAGAAUUUGAGUUUAAAUCCCAUUAUAUAUAUUUUCUUGGAUUCUAUAGGAAAAAGAUAAAAUCCUUAAAAUAUUAUUUACUAUUUUGUUAAAAUAAUGGUCUUUAAGCUAAUUGUGUUGAGACCCGAUUGAACAGUUACACCAACUCAAAUAAAUUUUUUAUAAAUAAUAGAAAUAUAAAAUCAUACUCAAUAAUUAAUAUACCUAAAGAUUUUUAUUUCCAUUUAUGGAAUAAAAAACAUACUCAAUUAUUGAAGUUCAAUGAAUUUGGUGUGAAGAAAGUAGAAAGGGCCGGGCUGCCUCAAAUAAAACUUUUCUGCCAAUUUGUUUGGCUUCCAACAUGACACGUGCCAAUUAGGAAAUACAUACGUAAACGGAAGGUAAGAAAACAACAGGUUGCGACUCUUUACAAUUAGAUCAGACCAUUACCACUAUGUUACGUCUUUUUAAUUAAUCAAUUUGAAUAUAAAUCAUAAUUAUUCUCAAAGAUAAGAUGGAUAAAUGAUGGUAUUUGUCGUCAUAAACUUUCACUUAUCACUAGUAAUUCUUUUUCGAAAAAUGGGUUGAUAGUAGAUAUUCGAUUGGUGACUUUUUUUCAACUUUUUAAUUGAUUUCUAUUUGAAGAGUUUUUUAAAAUAAUAAAUGAUUUCACGAAUCGAUUUAAACUCUGUUGUCUUUUAAGUCUUUACCUUUGAAAGUUUUGUCUUGUCUUGUACAAGCUUUUUAGUCUUGCUUUUGUAAGUAAUUUUAGAAAUGAUUUUUCGUUGUCCUCUCCUGUUUAGUGGAUGCUCGGUUCUUUUGUUGGUUCUGCACAUCGCUUUGGACCAUUGGGGGUUGAUUUCUUUAUCCUGAUAGUUGCUUGCAAUAACUUCAAAUAUGCCGUGCUUGAGUUGUGACAAAACCGGUUGUCAGCGUGUUGUAAUGUUCUAUUAAUGCUGAGGCUGAAGCCUCUGUCGUAUUGAUGGAGCUUAUCCUUCACUGUUGACAAUGGAUGUUUGUUUUUUUUUUCUUUUCCCCAAAUUUUAUGGUUCCAUUUAUGGAAUAGAGUAAUGAAAUUUUCCUUUCAAAUAAUAAUAAUUAAAUGUAGAGGUAGUUGCAUCGGGUAUCCCCGAACUAUGAUUCUCAUUUUAAUUUAGUUUCCAAACGUCAAAGCGCUUUUAAUUACAUAUUCAAACUAUCAAUCUUAUAUCAAUCAUGCCCUUCUAUUAUUAAAAUCAUUAAUUUAAUCAUUAAAGGACACUUCAAACCUUAUGUGAUAUAAUUUAAAAUGGAAGUUUUAAAGAAAAGUAAAACAUUACCGUAACUUUUAAAAGUUAAAACUAAAAAUAAAGUAAAACCGGAAAAAAGAGAUAGUGAACAAUAAAGCUUUUGUAAAAGUUUCAAAAACUUCAAAAUCAAGAUUUUUACAACAUCCAUUUUUACAAUAUUCAUUUUUCUUUAAAAAUUUCAAUUUAAUCUAUGCCAUAUAAUAUUUGGUAGUUGAUUUAAUGGUUAAAUUAACAAUUUUAGUAAAAGGACCUUAUUGAUAUAACUACAAUAGUUUGAAGAUCUAUUGAAUGUUUUAAAUUUUGGGGACCAAUUUAGAAUAAAGGUUCUAGGUUGAGAAUAUAUGGUAAAAUUAACUCUUAAAUGUAUUAACCUUCUAAAACAAUUGAAGUAUAUUUAAUAUUCUUGAUUUGAUGUGUUUAUUUAUUUAAUUUAUUUUUAUUCAAGAUCUAAACUAUUUUUUAUUUUAGUUUUGUAGAUAUUACAUAUGGGGUAUUAUUAUUAGUUUCAAAACUUACGUUUAAUAUUCUUAAUAUAAUGUAAUUGCCUAUUUAAAUUUCAUUUUACUUUCGAUUUAAACUAAUUUUUAUUUUAACUUUGUAUAUGUUGCUAUUAGUUUCAAACCUUACGUUUCAUUAUGUAUUAUACAUUAUUUUUUUAACACAUACGUGUGUUCUAAAUACAUAGUUUCUAUGCACAUACAUGUUCUAGGAUAUUAUAAUCGUAUUUAAAUAUAUCGUGUUUUAUUUAUUAUUCUUUAAAGUUUAUUAAAUGUAUUUUAUUUAUAAUUUUAUAUUAUGUUUAAAGUUGGGUGAAAGUACCUUUAAAGUCCCUAUAUUAUAGAGUCUGGAUCAAAUUAAGCCCUUUAUGAUUAAAUGGAUCAAUUCAAUUAUUCUACGAUUAAAAAGAAUCAAAUAAGGCCAAAUUGGAACAAAUUUAUAAUUUAUUGUUUAAAAAAUGGCAUAAAAAUAAUUUUUUUUCAUUUAUAGUUCAUCUUCAAACAAAAAAAUUUAUCCAUAAAAUCAUAAAAAGCUUUCAAAAUAUAACUUUGUUAAAUAGUAAAUGACAUCUUUUAAACAAUAGAUGUUAAUUAUGUUCCAAUUUGGCCUUAUUCGAUUUUUUUAAUAGUACAAAGACUAAAUUGAUCCAUUUAAUAGUAGAGGGACUAAUUCGAUACGACCCCUAUAGUAAAGGGACAUGCUAGAUACAUUUAGCUUUAAAUUUGUGACUUACUAUUUCGAAAACUAGUAUCUUUUAAAAUAAUGUUUCUAUUCCACGAUCUAACUUGAUUAAUUAGUUAACAUGACCCGUCAAUUGACAAGAUACUAGUGUCAUAGGCCGCACAAAUAAGCCGGCGACCAAGGCACACUCUAAUGUUCCCUCUUGUUCAUUGGGGGUCAUUCGGCCCGAUAAGACUGACCCAUUGCUUGGAAGAGAUUUAAGGCCUAUCUACUUGGAUCCUGGUUAAAUUGUAAACAUUGUAUUUUACCAAGGUAAUUAUUGUAAAUCCUAAAGGAUAAACAUGUAUAGGAUUUAAAUCCCUUAGAACUCUCAUAUUGUAGAUGGAAGAGACUAAAGUUCUAACCCUAUGACACUGGUACUUUUUAGGCUUUGUCGAGUCGACAUUGUGAGCAGAAGCUGAUAUUGUUCUCUUUAGAUACUCCACAAAUUCCUCAAGGUUUUUCCAUUUGAAGGUGCAACUCCUGAAGUUCGAACCUAGGACCCUUAUAUUAUAUUCCUUUUUGCAGCCAUCUUAGCUUGAUUAAAUGGUAUGAUGGUUGUGAAAAAGGAUGGGGAGGUCUUAGGUUUGAAUUUGAGGAGACACACCUUUAGGGACAAAGACUUCAGAGACCUAUGGCGGGUGCCCAAAGAGGAUAAUACUAACUUAUGCUUACAACUUUGGCGAUUGAUGGGUUGUGACAUUACUAGGCACACUACAAUAAUUUUUUUCUAUUAGUGGCGUCUAAUGCCAUUAAAAAUUAUAUUCAUAUAACUAUUUAUAUUUGGUGACGUAAAAUUCAUUGUCAUGAUGUUCCUCCUGUUAAGUGUGUCACUAAAGGUUAAGAGAAACAUUUAUUAUUUUUCACUACGUAUUGUCAAGAAUAUGGUGAUGAUAUUGUAUAAUGUCACAUUUUAAUUAAUAUUCAAUGACAACUACUAUCAUCACCAAAUUAUAUAAGAUCUCAUCAUUGGUUAUUCGUCUCAUCAUCAAUAAUGAAAUAACAUUCUAUAUAUAGGUGACGAAAGCAACAUCGUCAUGGUGUUAAUGACGUACUAUAUCGUCACUUAAUAUGAUCAAAUAAUAGCAUGAAUGGCGAUAAUCAGUAGUUGGUUAUAGUUGAUUUCGUCACUAAAUCAUAUACAUAAUUGACAUUGGUUAUAAAAAUUAUCACAAAAUAAGCAUCGUUGCAUAGUUAAUGGCGUAAUAUAUCAUCACUUAUAUGCUAAAAUAAUAUGCAAAAAUGACUCCUAUAUGGGGAGGUCUUGGGUUUGAACUUGGGGCCCAAGUCCGGGGGACAAAAUCUUGAGAGAUGACAAAAAUAGAGUAAUCUCUUGAAUUUUAUUGAUAGACCUCAAGGGUAUAUAUAUACAAUAGUAGUUAUGUUGGAAUCAAAUUGCUAAAAGAUAAUAUCUCAUAGUAAUAUUCUAUGGGGGUGCUUAAAGAGGACAAUACCAACUUGUGCAUACGACUUUGGCAAUCGAUGGGUCGUGACAUUACUUGAUAAAACUCUAGAAUAACGUAUUUUUAUGUAUUAAUUAUGUAUUUAUUCUGAGUAUGAUUCUGCUAAUUUGAGUUAUUUAUGAUCUUUUAUCUCAUAGGGAUUAAAUUUAAGGCAAAAACAAAAUUAAGGGCCAAAAGCGUGAAUUUAGAGAUAAAAUGGGCCAAUGUGCGACACAAGGAAAAGUUGGUGCCAAAAGUGCAAGCAUGGAGGAAACAAGGGUUGAAAUGCAAAAAGAAGAGAUUUUAUUUUAUCAGACUCUAUUUUAAUUAUAUUAGGAUAAUUAAUAUUAAGAUAAUUAUUAAGGAUUAUUUAAUUUUAGGAUUUUAUUUUAUUUAUCUUUAUUUAUCUUCAAUUAAAUGUAUUUAUCUUUUAGGAGUUUAAGUAGGAUUAGACUAUCUCUCCUAGCACUAUAAAUAUGGGGUGAAGUGACUCAAGAGGCAUCCAUCUUUUUCUGUAAACACUCUCUCCCCAAAAGUCUAGGCUUUUGUUCUUCUCAUAUUUCCUUUCAAUAAAAUCUCCAUUUUCAUUUUAUUUAUUUUCUUUUCAACCACAACCAUGAGCCACUAAACCCAUCUAGCCGAAAGUUGUCGAUAUUCCCCAAAAAGGGUUCUUGAGGCUUAGAGUCCGUACUUAGCCUCCUCGUUGAGUAUUCAUCGUUUCUCCGCACUACGGGGGUGACACUUCCAUCCAUCUCCCUUAAGAAGUAAGCUUUUCAACGUAUGCAAAGGCGGUCGCUUUGUAUGUUUUGGGAAGGUUGCACAGUCUGUUCGUUAGCUUACUGUGUCAGAGGUUCGUGAGCCCAAGAGACAAAAUGGCGUGGGAUUCGCCAUUGAGAAGCACUGAUCUAGCAUAAGACGAUCCCACAGAAGCCAUUAUUGGCUAGAGUCAGGUUCCACUAAAUCGUAAGUCUAAAUCCUUGAGCUGGUAGUCAUAGGCAUCCUCUUCCACUAUAACUGGCUUAUUCAAUUUGGGAAGGAUCAUCAAAAAGCCGAGGAUUGAACCCAAUGUGGAACGAGACAACUAGAGGCUGGAAUCUCCCAUAAGAAUUUUCUUUCUCUUAACUCUAUUUUUAAUUUCUCAAAUUUUUGAUUCAAUAUUCUUAAUUCUGUUUUUAUUUUAUUUUAUUUUUUAGAUCCAAACCUUUAAUUUUUUUAUUUUAUUUUUUUCCAGGAACGCAAGUUUUCUUGGGCAAGAUUCUGCUUAGGAUUUCACGGAACAAGAUAGUGUGCAAGUCCAGUCCUUAAGGAUUUUACCCUACUUCCAUUUUACUAUUCUUUUUCAUUAUUUAUUAGGGAUAGGAUAUUUUUGGUGCUUUCAACGACCGCAUCAAAUUUACUAUUCUUUUUUCGUAACUUGUUUUUUGUUUCUUAUGACCAGAUCUGAUCCAGGUACUCUUGCGUUCGAUUCAGAAAUUGAGAAGACUGCUAGAGCCAAUCGCAAGGAGACAAAGUUACGGAAAAAUCAGUCAGCGAUGGUUGGAACUCAAAGUAACCCACCGCCAGAAAUCGAAGUCGACGACGAAGCUGAAACUAGGGUUAACAAAAACCCUACUCAAACACUUGAAAGUGAAAAAGCAGAAGUCGACACACUAGAAGAAGUGUUUAACGCUAGGGUUAACGAAAACCCGAAUCUAGCAUACCAACCAAUGGCUCAAACGAUUCGGCAACUAGCCGAAGCUUCGACAGAACAACCGCCAUUGUGCAUCGCGUAUCCUACUGUGGAUACCGAUUUUGAGUUGAAGUCAGGUUUAAUCCAGUUACUGCCAACUUUUCGUGGGUUGCAAAAUGAAGAUCGCCACAAGCAUCUGAAAGAGUUUCAUAUGGUUUUUCUUAGCAUGAAACCUUAGGGGGUAAUUGAGGAUCAGAUUAAAUUGCGUGCUUUCCCUUUCUCCCUAGCAGAUUUUGCUAAGGAAUGGUUAUUUUAUUUACCCCCUGGAUCUAUUACAACUUGGGUUGAUCUAUCUCGUUUGUUUCUGAACAGGUUUUUUCCAGCGUUUCGAGUAGCUGAACUAAGAAGAGAGAUCGUUGGAAUAAGGCAAAAAGAAGCUGAGUCCCUUUACAACUAUUAGGAGCGGUUUAAAAAGUUGUAUGCAAGCUGCCCAUAACAUGGUAUAACGGAGCAAUCUCUCCUCUAAUGCUCUUUCGAAGGUUUGAAGCCCAUGGAGAUGAAUAUGGUAGAUGUCGUUAGUGGAGGAGCAUUGGUCAACAUGACUCCCCAACAAGCGAGAGGCUUGAUCUCCACGAUGGUUACAAAUUCUCAGUAGUUCUGAGCCAAUACUGAACCCCUAGAAGGGUUCACCAGCUAAGUAAUUCAACCUUAGAGGAUAAAGUUGAUAGACUUACUAAUAUGAUGAACUCUCUUAUUAUAAAAAAAAGCGAAGACAACCCGGUUAUGCGGAAUAUGUACUACACCUGAUCAUGCAACUGAUGCAUGUCCCAAUUUGUAUGAUGAUACCAUGGCCCAUCUGGAUACUGCGGGAAAUUUUCCUGGGCCGCCAUAAAGGCAAUACGACCCCUACGCUAAUACCUACAACCCAGGGUGGAAUAACCACUCCAACUUAAGUUAUGGCGCCAAUCCACGAAAUAACCAGCCAUACCAAAAUCGAUUUCCGCAACAAUCGUAAGGUUCAGGUAAUUUUCUAAAAACCAUGGUCAAUAAGUUAGCAGUUAAUGUUCUUAAUUUUCAACAACAAACUCUUAAUUUCCAAAAAGAGAGGAAGGAUUUCCAACAGAAAACUGAGACGUCCAUCAGAGAGUUGACCACAUCGAUCGAGAAAUUGACCUCUCAAGGGAAGCUGCCGUCACAAACAGAACCAAACCUAAGACAAAAUGCAAAUGCAGUGACGUUACGAAGCGGAAAGGUACUGGAACUGAUUCCUGACAGGAAUCUUGACCAAGAAAUCGCCCAGGAAAAACUAAAGAAAGACGAACAAGUCUGAUCGAAGCCUCCAUUGCCUAAAAUUCAACCUCCAUUUCCAGAACGAUUCAACUAGUGUCGAAGAGGUAAAGAGGACAAGGAAAUCCUUGAAACAUUUAGGAAUGUCGAGAUCAACAUUCCGCUUUACACCAAUAAGCGAAAAUUAAUAGGUAAUGAAAGGGUGAAUAUUGGUGAGAAUGUAUCCGUAGUGUUACAGCGGAAAAUGUCGGCAAAAUGCAAGGAUAGGUGCAUGUUUGCAACACCACGCAAAAUAGGCCAUCUGGGGAUUAAGAAGGCUAUGUGUGAUCUAAGGGCUUCUAUAAUUGUAAUGCCAUAUUCUAUUUAUGAAUCACUUAACGCGAGUUUUUUAAACCAAAAUAGGUGUUAUCAUUCAAUUGGCGGACAUGUCUGUUGUGCAUCCAAAAGGAGUCCUUGAGGAUAUUCUAGUAAAAUUUAACGAGCUUAUUUUCCCUGCAGAUUUUUAUGUGAUCAAAAUGGAGGAGGAUAGCACUCUUGGAUCUUCAGAUCUCCUGUUGGGUAUACCAUUCCUUAGUACAGCUAGUACUAAAACCGACGUUCAAAGUGGAACUCUCACGAUAGAGUUUGAUCGGGAGACCGUAAAAUUUAAUGUCUACAAUGCCAUUAGCCAUCCAAGCGAAAUCUUGAGCGUAAAUUGUAUUGACACAAUUGACUCUUUAGUGGAAAAGAAUUUUGAGUCAAUUUAUGGAGAUAAUUAUAAACUUGAUAAAUUUGAAUUUGUCAAUGAGUUAUUAUCUCCAAAUACUAAACUGUUACCUUCUGUUAUACAGGCACCAGAGUUGGAGUUAGAACCCGUAGGAAAGGCAAGGAAAUUAGACAUCCAAGAGUUAGAAGAAAUUUGCAAUAAUGCCUACGAGAAUGCUCGCAUUUAUAAAGACAAGACAAAGUUGUUUCACGAUAAGAGAAUAGCUCAGAAGCAUUUUUCAGUAGGACAAAAAGUUUUACUUUAUAACUCCGUUGUAGAAGCCCAAAUUUGCCAGCCCAUACUAGCAAAACAAAACCAAACAAAAUGUUAAAAAGUCCAGAUACAUUAAACCCAAAUUCAAGCCCAAUUGCCCAAACCCUAAGCCCAAACCUAAUAGCCCAUAACAAAUUUUUAACAGCAGCAAACCCUAGCCCCUACUGCCCUAGGUGCACCGCAAGCCUCUGCCAGCCUCCCCCGCAUGACGUCGCUGCCGCUACUCGCCUAUCGCCCCAUCCACGCGUCUGACACCUGCAAAAUGAAGCCACACGCAACAGCAAGAAAGCCAAAUAGCAAAGUGACAAAAAAAUAGAAAUAACAAGUUGUAAAAUGGCUAUAAAAAGCCACAAUGAACAAUAGUUCCUUCUUCUGGACGUUUUACGAAUAUCAGAAAUAAAAGAAAUAAAAGGUCGCUGUUUGUGUUCUUCUUCUUUUUUUUUGUCGAUUUAUUAUUAUUUUUUAUAAAAUCGCUUUUUCUUCUUUUUAAAAAAAUAACUAUUAAUAAAUAAAGAAAUAAAAAGGGAGAAGAAGGGUCACCUGAAUCGCCGCAAGCCCCGUCACCGGAAGUCCCUCCUUUGUCGCCGGAAUCGGGCUAGAACGGGUGUGAGGAAUCCUUUUUUUUGGGUUUUCUUUGGAUAAGAAGGCUUGGCCUUUGAGCCCGCCGUAAAACGGGGCUGAAACACCCUUUUGCGCAACACCGGCCACCGGCCACGGCAGCGCUUCGGCGGCUCAUGGCCGGAAGCCUUAACCGGAUUUUAGGGGGGUUUGAGAGAGAGUUUGAGAGACUCUCAGUUUUUUUGUUGAAAAAAAAUGAAGCUAAUGAUUUUUUUGUUUAAAUUUUGAUAUUUAUAUGGUGUUCAAAACGACGCCGUUUUGAUUGUAAGAAACAAUAGCCAAAACGACGUCGUUUUGCGUCUGACCCGGUUCGACCCGACCCGAAUGGCAAAGAAUCCGCGCGUUUUCAAAGUUCAAGGGAUAUUUGCACUGUGGGUCCUUCGCUUUGUCGCACGCUUUCAAUUGGAUCCUUUCUGUUCCUUCUUUUGAGUUUCUUAAUCUGCCCCCAUGUUUUUGCGCUUAUUUCAUUUCAGUCCUGAGUCACACCUCUCAUUUAUCUACAGUUUGGACCCCCCAGAUUUUGGUUUGAUUUUAUUUUCAUCCUUUAAUUCGUUUAUUUACUUUUUAAAAAGAGAAAGAGAGUUCCUUUAUUAUUUAUUUUAAGUUAUAUAUAUAUUAUUUAUCUAAUAUUGUUCUUAUUAUUUGUAUUAUUUGAUUCAAGUCAAUAUAAAUACAUGUAUGCAUUUUUAUAAUACACGUACAUAUUUUUCCCAAUUUAUAUGUAUACAUACUUAUACAUAUAUUCUUUAUAUUCUAUAUACAUUUUUAUUUCCAUAUAUAUAUACAUACGCACUCAUAUAUUUUUGUUUAUAUACAUCUUUCUAUUUUCACGAAUAUAUACAUACUUAUAUAUAUAUUUUAUAUUCUAUAAUUUUUAUGUACAUAUAUCCAUUUCUUUUAAAUACGUAUAUACUUUUUAAGUCUUAUAAUGUUAAAAUACAUAUAUACGUAUAUACUUUUGAUAUUUUUUUAAAUAUAUAAAUUGUCAUUAUUUACUUAUAUUUUUAUUAUUUUCAAACUUUGAUGUGUACUUACAUAUAUAUCUUCUUACAUUCUUUACAAUUUUAUCUAUUUACGUUUUCAUCAUUAUUUUAAAAUAUUUUAAUCUCACUUGCUUAUAUGUUUGUUUUCUUGUAUGUCGUUGAUUUGUCUUUUUUUAUUUAUCUUAUCUUUGAUGCUAUUGCUCGUAUUAUUAUUUUACUUACAUUAUCAUCAUUGUUAUUCCAUUACGCCCAUUUUUACUCAGAUUUGUAAAAAAGGAAGAUUUCGAAAAUAAAUGCAAUACUCGAUACUUGGGAUCUUCGAGAGAAUUGGGCCCUAACGAGCUGAGUUCUAAUUUUUUUCAUUGAAUCUAAAUAAUCGAGAAUGCUCUUUAAUAAAAAAUAAAUAAAAGCUCAUUAUCGGGAUUUCAAUACGUUGUGUCCUAACGCAUUGGAUAUGACAUGUUGUUUUCUUGAUACGAGGAUUUUUCGAAAAUAAAGGCAAUAUUCCGUAUUUCGAAAAUUCGAGAAAUCGUGCCCUAACUUACUGAGCUUCGAUUUUUCUCGCGUUGAUCCUGAAUAACUGAAUAUCCUUUGAAAAUUGAAAUAAAUGAGGUUUAAAUAAAAAAUAAAAGGCAAGCUUACUCUCAAAAAUACGAGGUGUUGUGUCCUAACUUACUGGAUGUGACAUCUUGUUACUUCGAGAUAAGGAGGCAUUUUCCAUUUUGAUUUAUUUGAGUAAUUUUAAAAAUAACACAAUAUAAAGAGGGAUCGUAUUUUUAAAUUCUUUUCGAGUUUUUUUUAAUUUUCGACACCAAUACAUUAAGUAAUCAACUAGGUACCAAUUUUGGGCGUAUCGAGGGUGCUAAUCCUUCCUUGUUCGUAACCGACUCCCGAACCCAUUUUUUUGAAUAUCGUAGACCAAAAUUGUGGUUUUAAUAAAAUCAAACCGUUUAUUAAAAACUACCACUUUUCAAGGUGGUCCGAUCACACCUUAUCAAAAAAGAUUGGUGGCGACUCCUUUUUUUUCGUUUUCAUUUUCAAAAUCCAAGUCGACCCCGUUUUUAUCAAAAAAAUGGUGUCAACAGCUUGGCGACUCCACAGGGGACACUUAAAAAGAGAGUCAAGCCACGUGUUGAUUAUUUUUGUCUUCUUGUCGAAAAUAAAAAACUUGGUUUAAAUGUAUGAUCAUUUCGUUGCAUUUCAUUCGUCUUUAUUUCGGUUUUAUCAUUGUGAUUUGAUUGCUGUGGUUGUUUAAGUUUUGUAUACUGCUGCAUUGCAUUGCAUGAUCGGUUGAUCUUACCCUUUUAAGUGGGAGUAAGAAACUAGUCCUUCGUGAGGUCUUCACCUCCGUGCAGGAUAGUGGAUCGCUUUCGGGAUACAUCCGUACCUAUGUCUUCAUGAGAUUUUCAUCUCCGUGCAGCCAUAGGGAAAUGUAUUCCCUUGAACUGAACUUGGUCCGUAUGAGGCUAUAAGGGGUGAGGAUCGAGGAAUCUGCUGGUUCGGGUACCUUUGCUUUAGAACCAUGCCACAUGUAAAAGACCUUAGGAGCCCCCUAGGUAGAGCCACUCCAAACCCCUAGUGAUCACCCGAACAGGUGCUCUAUUUGUUUCUUUCUUGCUUAUUUUUGCUUUGUACUAACCGUUUCGUGUUGAUGUGGUUAUGAUUACAUUGCAUUUUUCAUCAUAAAAGAGGUGUUGAUUCACGUUCAGUAUCUAAAUAGAGAGCUUGUCAUAAGAAAAUGAGUUUCAUGAUAAAGUGGAAAAUAAUACGGUCGUCCUAAUACGUCUAAGAAAACGUAACGAGGGAAGGAUAAGUGCGUAACUUUGCUUCGUUGCUAGAAGAUUCAAACUGACGAAGAUUAUUCGAGAGCUACUAACGGAGCUAAUGACGUGAGGAUAAAUGACCAAUGGGGCACGACCCAGAUCAAGCAAACACGGUGAUAGAAGAGGCAUCUAUUUGGAGAGUUCGCGAGAUUCGAUCUUAGCAUUUGGAUGUAAGGAUCAAUGUAUUCACUCCGAGUAUUAGGGUAAUAUGUAAAUAUCCGUUUUAUGUAAAGAUAUGUGUUUUCUAGAAAAGUUGUUCUAAUUGAAUUGAACCAAGAAUCAAUGUCUCUUUUUGCAUUCAUGCAUCUGCAUUACAUUUCAUUGCAUGCACCUUUUCAUUCAUUAACAUUACAAUUCAUUGAAUACAAUAAUUUUCCUAAAAUCCAAAAGCACAUUGAGUUCAGAACUCUAGUACAGAGCCAGAUCGAUGAUAAAGAAUUAGAAUUCUUUGAAAAUAUCGAUGGUUCAAGAGGUAAAGAUGUUUGUGCCUUUGAAGAAGGUACUAAAAAAAACCUAUCAGGAAUUUGUUUCUAUAUCCUUAGAGGCGUUCUGGACAACGGGAAUGUGGAGGAGAUUCUUGUGUUUUCAGGACCAGUUCAGAGUAAUAUUCAGAACACUCUUAUUGCUCUAAGCCUGGGAGCAAUAGAAAAUCCUUUUGUGAAGAAGGCACAUGUCCACUAUUCUUUAUUUCAACGAAAUGCAUCUUUGUGUCUUGUUUUGGCAAACAUUCUUUUGUUCCUUCCAUUUCAUUCAUACUCAUACCACACAAAUAAUUCCCCUUUGAUUCAUUAGUUCUUUGAGUCUUUUUUUGUUCCCUAGAACAUGUCUCCAGAUAUCAAUGAUAUGAGCGACACUGCUACUGACUCAGAACUUUCUUUUGAGCAAGAUAUGUUUCUAGAGGAACCUCCAAACUUCGAAGAUGAUCGAGACUGUAGCUUAUCUCCUGAUUUGUUAAGGAUGGUAGAGCAAGUCGAAAAAUAGAUCCUAGCUUACAAAAAAAUCAGUUGGAAAUUGUGAGCUUAGGAGAAGAGCAAAAGGUGAAAAUCAGAGCCUGUAUCACCGCAGAGACAAAGCGGGACGUCAUUGAGUUACUCUGAGAAUUCAAAGAUGUUUUCGCAUGACUAAGAUAUGCCUGAGCUACCAAGGCGUGUGGAUGCUGUUGAGGCUAAGAAAGUAUUAGAAAAUGUCCAUAAAAGUGUCUAAGGAACACAUGCAUUGAUUUUACAAAGGCCAAGUAAAUCAUGAGAUUUAGGUACCGCUGGUCCACCAUGGAAGGGGAUUGCAUCAGUUAUACCAAGAAACGCCACAAGGGCCAAAUUUACAGAGAUAAGAUUUAUGUGCUUCCUUUAUCUCUUCAUUUUAUGACUUUUCCAUUGACUUUCUCUAUGAGGGGCAUGGAUGUCAUUGGGCCGACCUCGCCAAAAGCUUCUGGAGGUUAUUGAUUCAUCUUUGUGGUUGUCGAUUACUUCAUAAAGUGGGUAGAGGUUGUUUCAUAUGCCAAUAUCGCAAAACUGACAAUCAGCAAAUUUCUUGAAGAAUCAUAUGUCAAUAUGGAAUGCCAAAAAGGAUCAUAUUAGACAAUGCAUUAAAUUUGAACAACCGCAUGACAUCAGAAGUUUGCAGUCUGUUCAAUAUUAACACCAUGUCGCCCCAAAAUGAACAGUUCAGUGGAGGCAAAAAAACCAAAAACCAAAAACCAAAAACACAAAACUAAAAUAAAAGAACAAAAUAGACAAAAAAAAAAACAAAAAAAACCUCUACUGGGGCACCUCAUUUCUCAUUGGUAUAUGGAAUAGAGGCAGUAUUACCCAUCGAAGGUGAUAUUUCUUCCCUUCGAGUCUUGUCAGAAUUAAAGUUGGAUGAAGCAGAAUGGAUCCAAGCCCGAUAUAAUCAGUUAAAUUUGAUCGAAGAGUAAGGGUUGAAAGCUAUCCGUCACGGUCAGAUGUACCAAAAGCGAAUGAUACGAGUUCACUAAAAAAGGUUUGCUCCAGAGAAUUCCAUGAGGGGGACCUAAUAUUGAAGAAGAUCCUUCUCAUACAAAAGGACUUUAGAAGAAAGUGGAUGCCAAACUAGAAAGGACCUUAUGUGGAAGGCCUUAUCUGAAAAAGCAUUGAUAUUGACCAAGAUGAAUGGCAAGAACCUGCCUAAUUUUGAGAAUUUUGAUUCAAGCAAUAAAUACUUCACUUGAAAAAAAAGAAACACAAAAAGGAAAGAAAAAAGAAAAGAAGAAAAAUGAAAAAGAAAAAGGAGAGGCCAAGGUGAAAACCAGCAAAGGGCACCUUGAGACCAAAAGGGGUUUUGAAUUGAAAACCCAAAAAUGGGUAGUUCAAAUUUCGAUCAAAUGCGGGGCAUACGGUAGUCUUGCCCUCUCUGAAUUAAUAAGAAGGAGAGAUGCUACAUCUUGGGGCAUCAACAAAGUCUUUUAGGACUUCUAAAUACAUGUCAAGUUCAAAAAGGGUCCUCAAGAAGUUUGGAGCAGAGAAGCUCAUACUACGAUAUCGGGGGCACCUAUUUCCAUUUUAUUUAUUUUUUGUAUUUUGACAAAAUACGCCAUCUUGAUUAAUUUAUUCUCAUUUUGUAUUUUAGCAAAAUUUGCUAUCUUGAUUAAUUUAUUCAUUUAGAGCUUUGCUCUCAACAAAUUUUCAUCUUAUCUAUUAUGAUAAUCUUUUUCAUCUUAUACAUCUCGUAUCUCAGCAAAAUUUGCUAUCUUGAUUGAUUUGUUUGUUUAGAGCUUUUCUUUCAACAAAAUUUCAUUUUGUCCAUUUUGAUAAUCUUUUUCAAGCAUUUUUCAUUGAAAUAACAAUUAAUGGACUGACAAUACUCAUGCAGAAGGAGUUCUGCAUAUUACUCUGAAAGUUUCUAAAUAAUACGAUGACCUGAAAUAGGACUAUUGUUUAGAACUGACCAAACCUGAGGGUUGAAAACAUUUGAGAAAUGAUAGUCUAAUUUAAGACUAUUUCUUUGAAUCUUCUGUCAAAGAUACUUGCUGAACGCGAAAACAUCAGUGAUAGAACCUUGAUGAACAACAAGGAACGACAAUCCAAACAUUAAAAAGGGAUCAUUCUCGAAAAAUGACAUUCUGCAUUCAUGCAAAUAUCAUACAUACAAAUCUAGUUAGGAGCAUUUGAUUCAUUCUAAUCACGACAUCCUAAACACUAGGCAUAAAUAGGUCCAUGAAAUGGAUUUUACAAGUCAUGUUCCCCAGAGAACAGAUCAAAGAAACAGAUCCUGUACCCCUGAAGUUGCAGUGGGAUGGAUUGAAGACAUUAAAGCAGAUCUUGUCUUCAUGUAUUGACGUGAAGUAGAUCGAAGAUUAUAAGUCCUGUCUUCUUAUAUUGGUAGGAAGUGGAUCGAAGAUGCAGGUCUUGUCUUCCUAUAUUGGUAGGAAGUGGAUCGAGGAAAGCAGAUCUUGUCUUCAUGUAUUGGCGUGAAGUAGAUCGAAGAUGGUAGGUCCUGUCUUCCUAUAUUGGUAGAAAGUGGAUUGAAGAUGCAGAUCUUGUCUUCCCAUACUGGUGGUGAAGUAGAUCGAAGAAAGCAGAUCUUGUCUUCAUGUAUUGGCGUGAAGUAGAUCGAAGAUGGUAGGUCCUGUCUUCCUAUAUUGGUAGGAAAUGGAUCGAAGAUGCAGGUCAUGUCUUCCUAUAUUGGUAGGAAGUAGAUCAAAGAAAGCAAAUCUUGUCUUCAUGUAUUGGCGUGAAGUAGAUCGUUGAUAGCAGGUCCUGUCUUCUUAUAUUGGUAGGAAGUGGAUCGAAAAUACAGAUCUUGUCUUCCUAUACUGGUGGCGAAGUAGAUCAAAGAAAGCAGAUCCUGUCUUCAUGUAUUGGCGUGAAGUAGAUCGAAAAUGGUAGGUCCUUUCUUCUUAUAUUGGUAGGAAGUGUAUCGAAUAUGCAAAUCUUGUCUUCCCAUACUGGUGGCGAAGUAGAUCAAAGAAAGCAGAUCUUGUCUUCAUGUAUUGGCGUAAAGUAGAUCGAAGAUAGCAGGCCCUGUCUUCCUAUAUUGGUAGGAAGUGGAUCGAAGAUGCAUAUAUUGUCUUCCCAUACUGGUGGCGAAGUGGAUCGAAGAAAACAGAUCUUAUCUCUCUGAAGUUGCAGUAGAGAAGAUCUUAUCAAACCUUAUCUCUCUGGCGAUGCAGUGGGGCAGAUUAAAGCUACGAUGGCAAAUCUUGCUUCCCCGACAUUGCAAUUUAAAAGAUUGAAGCCACAACGGCGAAUCUUACUUCCCAGGCGAUGCAGUGGGGCAGAUUAAAGCUACGAUGGCGAAUCUUGCUUCCUCAACAUUGCAAUUAAAAAGAUUGAAGCCGCAACGGUGAAUCUUACUUCCUUGGUGGUGCAGUAGAUCAGAUUGAAGCUACGACGGCGAAUCUUGCUUCCCUGACAUUGCAAUUAAAAAGAUUGAAGCCGCAAUGGUGAAUCUUACUUUCCUGGUGGUACAGUGGAACUGAUUGAAGCUACAAUGGCGAAUCGUGCUCCCCGACAUUACAAUUAAAAGGAUUAAAACCACCGAUCUUAUCUCCGUAAGCAGUAGUGGAGUAGAUCGAAGAUGGCGUAUUUUACCUCCCUAAGAUUACAGUGGAGUACAUUGAAGCUAGUAGUUCUAUCUCCCUGGGCAGCAGUGGAAUAGGUUGAAGAUUGUAGAUCUUAUCUCCCUAAGCAGUAGUGGAACAGAUCGAAGAUGGCAGAUUUUACCUCAUUGAGAUUACAGUGGAGUACAUUAAAGCCAGCAGUCUUAUCUCCCUAAGCAGUAGUGGAGCAGACAAAAGAAACUAGAUCUUAUCUCCCUAAGUAGUAGUGGAGCAGAUCACAUCAAGUCUUAUCUCCCUAAGCAGUAGUGGAGCAGACGAAAGAAAACAGAUCUUAUCUCCCUAAGCAGUAGUGGAGCAGAUCACAUCAAGUUUUAUCCCCCUAAGCAGUAGUGGAGCAGACGAAAGAAACCACAGAUCUUAUCUCCCUAAGCAGUAGUAGAGCAGAUCGCUUCAAGUCUUAUCUCCCUAAGCAGUAGUGGAGCAGACGAAAGAAAACCAAUCCUAUCUCCCUGAACUUGCAGCGGAGUGGAAUAAAACCACAAAUCUCAUCCCCAUAGAGUUCCAGUAGAGUAGAUUUAAGUUGUAUCUCUCUGAAGUGCAAUGAAGUGGAUUGAAGCUAUAAGUCGUAUUUCUCUGAAGAUGCUGUGAAAAGGAUCGGAGAAAUAAGACGCAGUGGAAUAGAAUGAGGCUACUUGAAGAAGAUGAGCACAAAGAAGUCAAGACUCGGCAAGCCCGGGCAAAUUUGGUCUUUCUUGGUCUUUGCUCUGUUCUCGUUACAUGAAAACGAGCAAAGAGGGGCAGCUGUAGAAGCCCAAAUUUGCCAGCCCAUACCAGCAAAACAAAACCAAACAAAAUGUUAAACAGUCCAGUUACAUUAAACCCAAAUUCAAGCCCAAUUGCCCAAACCCUAAGCCCAAACCUAAUAGCCAAUAACAAAUUUUCAACAGCAGCAAACCCCAGCCCCUACUGCCCUAGGUGCGCCGCAGCCUCUGCCAGCCUCCCUCGCAUGCCGCCGCUGCUGCUACUCGCCUAUCUCCCCAUCCACGCGUCUGACACCUGCAAAAUGAAGCCACACGCAACAGCAAGAAAGCCAAAUAGCAAAGUGACAAAAAAAUAGAAAUAACAAGUUGUAAAAUGGCUAUAAAAAGCCACAAUGAACAAUAGUUCCUUCUUCUGGACGUUUUACGAAUAUCAUAAAUAAAAGAAAUAAAAGGUCGCUGUUCGUGUUCUUCUUCUUUUUUUUUGUCGAUUUAUUAUUAUUAUUUUUUAUGAAAUCGCUUUCUCUUCUUUUUUAAAAAAUAACUAUUAAUAAAUAAAGAAAUAAAAAGGGAGAAGAAGGGUCACCUGAAUCACCGCAAGCCCCGUCGGCGGAAGUCCCUCCUUUGUCACCGGAAUCGGGCUAGAACGGGUGUGAGGAAUCCUUUUUUUCAGGUUUUCUUUGGAUAAGAAGGCUUGGCCUUUGAGUGCGCCGUAAAACGAGGCUGAAACACCCUCUUGCAAAACGCCAGCCACCGGCCACGGCGGCGCUUUGGAGGCUUAUGGCCGGAAGCCUUAACCGAAUUUUGGGGGGGUUUGAGAGAGAGUUUGAGAGACUCAAUUUUUUGUUGAAAAAAAUGAAGCUAAUGAUUUUUUUGUUUAAAUUUUGAUAUUUAUACGGUGUUCAAAACGACGCCGUUUUGAUUGUAAGAAACAAUAGCCAAAACGAUGUCGUUUUACGUCUGACCCGGUUCGACCCGACCCGAAUGGCAAGGAAUCCGCACGUUUGCAAAGUUCAAGGGAUAUUUGCGCUGUGGGUCCUUCGCUUUGUCGCACGCUUUCAAUUGGAUCCUUUCUGUUCCUUCUUUUGCGUUUCUUAAUCUGCCCCCAUAUUUUUGUGCUUAUUUCAUUUCAGUCCUGAGUCACACCUCUCAUUUAUUUACAGUUUGGACCCCCCAGAUUUUGGUUUGAUUUUAUUUUCAUCCUUUAAUUUGUUUAUUUACUUUUUAAAAAGAGAAAGAGAGUUCCUUUAUUAUUUAUUUUAAGUUAUAUAUAUUAUUUAUCUAAUAUUGUUCUUAUUAUUUGUAUUAUUUGAUUUAAGUCAAUAUAAAUACAUGUAUGCAUUUUUAUAAUACACGUACAUAUUUUUCCCAAUUUAUAUGUAUACAUACUUAUACAUAUAUUCUUUAUAUUCUAUAAUCUAUAUACAUUUUUUAUUUCCAUAUAUAUAUACAUACGCACUCAUAUAUUUUUGUCUAUAUACAUAUUUCUAUUUUCACGAAUAUAUAAAUACUUAUAUAUAUUUUAUAUUCUAUAAUUUUUAUGUACAUAUAUACAUUUCUUUUAAAUACAUAUAUACUUUUUAGGUUUUAUAAUGUUAAAAUACAUAUAUACGUAUAUACUUUUGAUAUUUUUUUAAAUAUAUAAAUUGUCAUUAUUUACUUACUUAUAUUUUUAUUAUUUUCAAACUUUGAUGUGUACUUACAUAUAUAUCUUCUUACAUUCUUUACAAUUUUAUCUAUUUACGUUUUCAUCAUUAUUUUAAAAUAUUUUAAUCUCACUUGCUUAUAUGUUUGUUUUCUUGUAUGUCGUUGAUUUGUCUUUUUUAUUUAUCUUAUCUUUGAUGCUAUUGCUCGUAUUAUUAUUUUACUUACAUUAUCAUCAUUGUUAUUCCAUCACGCCCAUUUUUACUCAGAUUUGUAAAAAAUGAAGAUUUCGAAAAUAAAGGCAAUACUCGAUACUUGGGAUAUUCGAGAGAAUUGAGCCCUAACGUGCUGGGUUCUAAUUUUUCUCGUUGAAUAUAAAUAAUCAAGAAUGCUCUUUAAUAAAAAAAUAAAUAAAAGCUCAUUAUCGAGAUUUCAAUACGUUGUGUCCUAACGCAUUGGAUAUGACACGUUUUCUCGAUACGAGGAUUUUUCAAAAAUAAAGGCAAUAUUCCGUAUUUCAAAAAUUCGAGAAAUUGUGCCCUAACUUACUGAGCUUCGAUUUUUCUCGCGUUGAUCCUAAAUAACCGAAUAUCCUUUGAAAAAUGAAAUAAAUGAGGUUUAAAUAAAAAAUAAAAGGCAAGCUUACUCUCAAAAAUACGAGGUGUCGUGUCCUAACUUACUGGAUGUGACAUCUUGUUACUUCGAGAUAAGGAGGCAUUUUCCAUUUUGAUUUAUUUGAGUAAUUUUAAAAAUAACGCAAUAUAAAGAGGGAUCGUAUUUUUAAAUUCUUUUCGAGUUUUUUUUUUAAUUUUCGACACCAAGACAUUAAGUAAUCAACUAGGUACCAAUUUUGAGCGUAUCGAUGGUGCUAAUUCUUCCUUGUGCAUAAUCGACUCCCGAACCCAUUUUUUUGAAUAUCGUAGACCAAAAUUAUGGUUUUAAUAAAAUCAAACCGUUUAUUAAAAACUACCACUUUUCAAUGUGGUCUGAUCACACCUUAUCAAAAAAGAUUGAUGGCGACUCCCUUUUUUCGUUUUCAUUUUCAAAAUCCAAGUCGACCCCGUUUUUAUCAAAAAAAUGGUGUCAACAUCUGUGUUAAAGUUAUUCCCAGGUAAACUUCAAUCACGAUGGCAAUGACCUUUUAUUGUUACUGAAGUGUUCACACAUAGAGCGAUUGAAAUAGAGAGUAAAGAAUCUUCAAAGCAGUUCGUAGUCAAUGGCCAGCGGUUGAAGCCAUUUUAUGAGAAUUUUCAAGCCCACACGGUUGAGAAAAUCCAUUUGGAACCACCAUUGAACCAAUAACGGCGUCAAGCUAACGACGUUAAACAAGCGCUUGUUGGGAGGCAACCCAAUUUUUAUUUUUAUUUAUUUUAUUUUAUUUUAUUUUCUUUAAUUUAUUUAUUACUUUAAUUUAAUUUAAUUUAUUAAUUAUUACUUAUUUGGAUACUAAUAAAUUUCUCUUCUUUUGCUUAGAUAAAAUAAAGCGAAAAUGCGAAGAAAAAGGGAAAAAGCUAGAAAAAUAGAACCAAACAACCCUAUCCAUGGUACCAAACAACCUCUAUUCCAGAUACUAUUCUAGCCCAGAAUGCCUGCAGCCAAACUACCCUAUUCCUGCAGCCAACCACCCUUAUCCCUGCACCUAAGCACCACCCUCAGCACAAAUUAACCCCCCAACCCUAAAAUUUUAAAACAUUUUUUUCUUUCCUUUUCCCACAAAACCCCCUAGCCGCCGCUCUUCCCUCCACGAUUCUCCCUCACUAUCGAUCGCCACCACCAUGGUUUGGACCCGUAGCCGUGUCGCUGCCAAGCCCUCCUUCACUAUGAACCCACGACGGUACCGUUUCUCCGCACCUCAGCCAUCAUAUACGAUCGACAGUAACAACACGAGAAGUUUUUCUAAACUUUUCUACCUAUUUAUUUCUUUUCGUCCACAUUGAGGACAAUGUGCUUUCAGUAGGGGGAGGUACUCUUCGUUAAAACUGUCAUUUUCUGCUGUAAUUUUGGUUGUUGUUGCUGUUGUUGUUGUGAUUAUUUUUGGCUAGUGUUGCUGCUUGAGGCUCCAUUUUGUCCAUAUUUUUUUAUUUUUUUUAGAAUCUCUUGCCUCUUUUCAUUAUCAAGAUUUUUACCAAGAAUUGCCUACUGUUGACCUACAAUCAUGAUUCUUAUUUUCUGAGGAAAUUACGGAUUUUCCAUAAUUGAUGCCAUCUCUACUGUUUUAUUCUUAUUAGACUAAAAAUAAUUGUGAUUCAUAGAGUUAACUUUAUCUUGGUUUUCGUAAAAUUAAUCAAGUUUAAUACAAAGUGGACACUUAAUAUGUUUGCAUGCUAAAAUAUGUUCAUGACUAUUAAGGUAAUUACUGAAACUUAUUUUUGACACUUGAUUCUUUUAUCUCUAAAGUCCUCAUAAAAAAGUUAUUAUUAAAAUGUCAUUUAAUGUUUUCGUGGUUAUGAGUGCAGCUUAAAAACGUGACUGACUAAGUAACCGGGGUAGGGUGCUUAGGUUGUCAUCCUAUUUCGCUUCAAAAGAUUGUGUGACGUGUUAGGUAAAACUUCACUAACUGGAAUUAAUUUUUAAGAACAUGUUGGGCUGAGUAACCGGGGUGAGGUGCUUGGCUGUCAUCUCUCUUCUCGUCAAAAGGUUCGAUGUGUUCUUAAGAAAAAAUUAUAAUAAACUAGGAGUCUGCUGGGUUGAGUAACCGGAGUGGGGUGCUUGGCUGUCAUCUCUCUUCGCGUUAAAAGGUUCAGUAUAUUCCUAAAGCAUAAAUAAUAUAAAUAAUAAAUAAAAAUCAAAAUAAAUUAAAAAAGGGAAAAAAAAAGAAAAAGAAAAAAUAUAUAAUUUGGGGACUAAAAGAGGAAACAAAUAGGGUGUCUUGGUAGGUUUGGUAAUUUACCUAAUUUUCAUUAAAUAAUUCAAGUCGAUUCUAAUUUUUUUGUGUAUUCAUUGGAAAACUUUUUCUGUUUUACUUAAAGCAAGCUUAAGGUUCUCUUUAUUUUUCAGAAGCAUUUUUGACUGAUUUUUUAUAAAACUUUGGAGUGGUAUUUCUUUUAUGGCAGAAUCUAACUUUCACAGUAGAAGGAACCAUACUUGAGGACAAGCAUGGGCUAAGUAGGGGGAAUUUGAUAACACUCUAGAAUAACGUAUUUUUAUGUAUUAAUUAUGUAUUUAUUUUGAGUAUAAUCCUGCUAAUUUGAGUUAUUUAUGAUCUUUUAUCUCAUAGGGACUAAAUUUGAGGAAAAAGCAAAAUUAAAGGCUAAAAGCGUGAAUUUAGAGAUAAGAUGGCCCAAUGUACAACAUAAUGAAAAGUUGGUGUCAAAAGUGCAAGUAUAGAGGAAACAAGGGUUGAAAUGCAAAAAGAAGAGAUUUUAUUCUAUCAGACUCUAUUUUAACUAUAUUAGGAUAAUUAAUAUUAAGAUAAUUAUUAAGGAUUAUUCAAUUUUAGGAUUUUAUUUUAUUUAUCUUUAUUUAUCUUCAAUUAAAUGUAUUUAUCUUUUGGGAGUUUAAGUAGGAUUAGACUAUCUCCCCUAGCACUAUAAAUACAGGGAGAAGUGACUCAAGAGGCAUCCAUCUUUUUCUAUAAACACUCUCUCCCCAAAAGUCUAGGCUUUUGUUCUUCUCAUAUUUCCUUUCAAUAAAAUCUCUAUUUUUAUUUUAUUUAUUUUCUUUUCCACCACAACCAUGAGCCACUAAACCCAUCUAGCUGAAAGUUGUCGAUAUUCCCCAAAAAGGGUUCUUGAGGCUUAGAGUCCGUACUUAGCCUCCUCGCUGAGUAUUCAUCGUUUCUCUGCACUACGUGGGUGACGCUUCCGUCCAUGUCCCUUAAGAAGUAAGCUUUUCAACGUAUGCAAAGGUGGUCGCUUUGUAUGUUUUGGGAAGGUUGCAAGUCGGUUCGUUAGCUUACUGCAUCAGAGGUUGGCGAGCCCAAGAGACAAAAUGGUAUGGGAUUCGCCAUUGAGAAGCGCUGAUCUAGCAUAAGACGAUCCCACGGAAGCCAUUGUUGGCUAGAGUCAGAUUCCACUAAAUCUUAAGUUUAAAUCCUUGGAGCUGAUGGUCGUAGGCGUCCUCUUCCACUAUAACUGGCUUAUUCGGUUUGAGAAAGAUCAUCUAAAAGUCAAGGAUUGAACCCAAGAUGAAACGAGACAACUAGAGGCCGGAAUCUCCCAUAAGAAUUUUCUUUCUCUUAACUCUAUUUUUAAUUUCUCAAAAUUUUGAUUCAAUAUUCUUAAUUUUGUUUUUAUUUUAUUUUUAAUUUCCAGAUCCAAACAUUUAAUUAUGUUAUUUUUUUAUUUUAUUUUUUUUAGGAACGCAGGUUUUCUUGGGCAAGAUUCUGACUAGGAUUUCACGGAACAAGAUAUUAUGCAAGUCCAGUCCCUGAGAAUUUAACCCUACUUCCUUUUUACUAUUCUUUUUCAUUAUUUAUUAGGUAUAUGAUACUUUUGGUGAUUUCAAUGACUGCAUCAUUACUAGACAUGGAAGAAACAUUUCGAUUUGUUAUUUGCUCAAAUAUCAACCGCAAAAAAGCUUUAUAGUCAUAUGACCCUGGUUUCGAAGAUUGAAUUUCUCUUUAUUGAGAGCUCAUCCUUAGGUAAUUUCUAAGCGAUAAGGGAAACCCUAGGAUGCUUUUAAAGAUCGAAAUAAGAAUGGUAGCACCAAACCAAAAAGGAGUUGGUCUUGAAUUAGGAGAUUUUGAUUUUGACUUGGGAUUAAUUUAUUGGCAAUCAUCCUUAUUAUGAAAAGUCAAAGAUAUGAGUAUCAAAUAUUGGAAAGUCAAAGAUAUAGGUAUCGAAAUAUUGACAUAAGAAAUCUGAGAUAUUUGCAAUAUUUGGUCACUAAUUGUAUAGUGACUUUGCAAGUUGAUCCCUGAACCACAACUAUAAAUAGGCCUAACCAUAUCUCAUUCAUAGUAUCCUAUAUUUGCCAUUCUCUACUUAAGGCAUUGUUCUCUCUCUCUCUCUCUCUUUGUAAAUUUUCACUUGUAUUUUGGAGUGAAAUAUAUUUGGUAGUUCCCAAGGACAUAGGCAAAAUUUGCUGAACCUCGUUAAAAUUCUUGUGUUCUUUAUGGUAUUAUUCUGUAUAUUUUGUGAGUGUGAUUGUAGUGAUUUAUUAUGCUAUUAAAUUACGAUUGAGGGAUAUUCUGGCUAGGAAAGACCUGGUACUAAGCGAUCAUUGUGAUCCACUUCUCUUUCCUGGGAAUUGAACUUAGUGUAAUUUUUUAGUACAAUAAUUUUACUCAUUUACACGCUUUUGCACAAUAAUUGGUAUCAGAGCUAGAUUCGUACUAGGGGAAUACGAUUAUUCACGGCACUGUUCACGUACAGUAGUUGGGAUUGAGGAGAAAAAUAGAAAAGGCAUCGUCAUCAGCAAACACUGCUGUGACUAAUCAAAAUUUGAAGUAGAGAAAUUUGAUGGUACCAAUAAUUUUGGUAUGUGGCAAUGUGAGAUCGUGGAUGUCUUAUGUCAGCAAGAGCUAGACAUAGCCUUUGAAGAAAAAAAUGACAAGAUGGAUGACAAUGAGUGGGCCAAGAUCAAAAGACAGGCAUGUGGAACAAUCUGCCUAUCUUUGGUCAAAGAGCAGAAGUACUCUGUCAUAAGGGAGACAUCAGCGAAGAAGUUGUGGGAUACACUGGAAAAAAAGUUUCUAACAAAAAGUCUUGAAAAUAGGCUUUAUAUGAAAAAGAAACUUUAUCGAUUCACGUAUGCAUCCGGUAUGUCGAUGAAUGACCAUGUGAACUCAUUCAAUAAAAUUUUAGCAGACUCGCUAAAUUUGGAUGAGAAAUUUGAAGAUGAAGGCAAGGCAUUAUUGUUGUUGAAUUCUCUUCCUGAUGAAUAUGAUCAUCUUACCAUCAUAUUGCUUCAUGGGAAGGAUACGAUCACAUUUGAUGCAGUCUGUAGUGCGUUGUAUAGAUCUGAGACUCGAAAGAAAGAUAAAAGAGAUUACAGAGAUACAACUGCAGAAGUCUUAACAGUAAGAGGUCGUUCGCACAGCAACAAAUCUGGUAAAAAGAGUAAGUCCAAAGAGAGAUCUACCAAAGAUGAAUGUGCUUUUUGUCAUGAGAAAGGGCAUUGGAAAAAGAAUUGUCCUAAUUUACAAAAGGGCAAAGGUAUUUCUAAUGCAUGUGUAGCAAAGUAUGAUGAGGAGUCAGACUUUAGCUUAGUUGGCAUUGCAAUGGCAUGUCAUACAGAUGAGUGGAUUUUGGAUUUUGGAUGUACUUACCAUAUGUGUCCUAAUAAGGACUGGUUUUCUAGUCUUAAAGAACUGGAAGGUAGAGUUGUUUUUAUGGGCAAUGGCAGCGCUUGUAAGACAAUGAAAGUAGGUACGAAUCACAAUGGCUCAAUUCAAGUCUUGACAUAUGUUCGCUACAUACCUAGCUUGAAGAAAAAUCUCAUCUCAUUAGGGGUCCUAGAAUCUAAAGGGCUCACAAUCACUUUGAGAGAUGGAUUACUAAAGGUAGUAGUUGAGGUAUUGAUGGUGAUGAAAGGAACAAGAAGGAAUAACAUGUACUAUUUAAAUGGAAGUAUAGUUAUUGGAUCAACAUCAACAGCUUCUGCGAAAGAUACAGAUUCAAAGGCUACCAGGUUAUGGCAUAUACUGAAAAAGCUUUGCAGAGUUUGACGAAACAAGGCUUGUUGAAAGGUGCAAAUUCUUGCAAAUUGGAAUUCUAUGAACAUUGUGUUCUGGGCAAGUAGACGAGGAUAAAAUUUGGUUCAGCAAUUAACAAUACAAAAAGAAUUAUGAACUACGUUCACAAUGAUGUGUGGGGACCUACUAAAGUGGCUUCUUUGGGAGGUAUGCAUUAUUUUGUUACUUUUGUUGAUGAUUAUUUAAGAAAAGUAUGGGUGUAUCUAAUGAAAAGAAAAAAUGAAGUUUUGGAUGCAUUUCUGAAAUGGAAGAAGAUGGUGGAGACCCAGACUGGUCGAAAGGUCAAAUGACUUCGAUUAGACAAUGGUACUGAGUAUAAGAAGGAUCCAUUUCUACAAGUAUGUCAAGAUGAGGGCAUUGUGUGACACUUCACUGUUCGGGAUACACCACAACAGAAUGGGGUGGCAGAAUGUAUGAAUCAGACUAUACUAGAGAAAGUUUGAUAUAUGUUGUCCAAUGCUGGAUUGGGCAAGAAAUUUUGGGUUGAGGCAGUUACAUAUGCGUACCAUCUAAUUAACCGGUUGCCAUCAGUUGCAAUAAAUGAAAAAACUUCUAUGGAGAGGUGGACUGGUAAACCUGCCACUGAUUAUAAUUCUUUACAUGUUUUUGGUUCCACUUGCAUAUUAUCAUGUAAAAGAAUCAAAGUUAGAUCCAAGAGCAAAGAAAUCAUUAUUCGUGGGUGUAACUGGUGGAGUAAAAGGAUACCGUCCCUGGUAUCCUAAUACAAGGAAGAUUGUUUUCAGUAGAGAUGUGACUUUUGAUGAAUCAACCAUGACGAAGAACAAGGAUUCACAAAAUGAUGACAAAACCAGUAAUACUUUGCAGCAGGUGGAGCUUGAAAAGGUUAAUGAUGAUCUAGCUAAUAUUGAAGGAACAAAUGAUGAAGAAUUUUUGACCCAAGAACUUCUACAGCAAUAAUAUUCAAUUGCAUAUAGGAGGCCAAAAAUAUAGAUUCGUAUGCCUGCUCGCUUUGAUGAUAUGGUGGCCUAUGCACUUCCAAUUGCAGAUAAUGAUGUUUCUUCUACUUAUACAAAAGCAAGAAGUAACAUUGAUGGUGUAAAGUGAAAGCAAGCUAUGAAUGAAGAAAUGCAGUCUCUUUAUAAAAAUAGGACUUGGGAGUUGGUGACACUACCUAAAGGAAAGAAGGCAAUUGGAUGCAAAUGGGUAUACGCAAAGAAGGAAGGAUUUUCUGGUAAAAGUGAAGUUUGAUACAAGGCUAGAUUGGUAGCAAAAUUUUACGCUUAGAAAGAAGAAAUACACUACAAUGAAGUGUUUUCUCCAGUUGUGAAGCAUUUGUCUAUUCGGAUUUUGCUAGCCUUGGUUGCGUAAUAUGAUCUUGAACUAGUUCAGCUCGAUGUGAAGACCGCAUUUUUAUAUGGUGAUUUAUAGGACUCAGCCAGAUGGAUUCAAGGUUGCUAAUAAAGAAAAUUGGGUUUGCAAACUGACAAAGUCGCUUUAUGGAUUGAAACAAUCUCCGAGGCAGUGGUACAAGCGAUUUGAUCAGUUCAUGAAAGGGCUAAGGUACACAAGAAGUAAAUUUGAUCAUUGCGUGUAUUUUCAGAAGCUCCAGGAAGGAAUUUUCAUAUACUUGCUCUUAUAUGUUGAUGACAUGUUGAUAGCAUCUAAGAGUAAAGUUGAAAUUGAGAGAUUAAGACUCAACUCAACCUUGAGUUUGAGAUGAAAGAUCUAGGUGAAGCUAAGAAGAUUCUUGGCAUGGAAAUAUGUAGAGAUAGAGCUCAUGGCAGAGUUAGUUUGUCUCAGAAGCAAUAUUUGAAGAAGGUACUACAGAAGUUUGGCAUGAACGAGCAGACAAAAGCUGUAAGUACCCUGUUGGCUUUUCAUUUCAAGCUUUCUGCACAACUAUCUCCUUCGACGAAUACGGAACAAGAAUACAUGUUACAAGUUCCGUAUUCUAAUGCACUAGGUAGUUUGAUGUAUGCAAUGGUGUGUACAAGACCUGACAUUUCACAGGCAGUUAGUAUAAUAAGCAGGUAUAUGCAUAAUUUUGGAAAAGGACAUUAGCAAGCUGUGAAAUGGAUUCUACGAUAUAUUCAAAAGACCAUAGAUAUUGGAUUACUGUUUAAGCAGGAUACUACACUUGGUAAAGGUGUUAUUGGGUACGUUGAUUCUGAUUAUGCCGGUGUUUUGGACAAACGAAGAUCAACCACCGGUUAUGUGUUUACACUUGCUAGAGGACCAAUAAGUUGGAAGUCUACAUUGCAGUCUACAGUUGCGUUGUCAACCACAGAAGUCGAAUACAUGGCUGUAACAGAGGCUGUAAAGGAAGCUAUUUGGUUACAAGGUAUGGUUAAAACAUUGGGAUUGGUUCAGGAACAUAUUAACGUGUAUUGUGAUAGUCAAAGUGCUAUUCAUUUAGCAAAGAAUCAAGUCUAUCAUGCAUGUACAAAGCAUAUCGACGUACGUUUCCAUUUUUGUGCGGGAAAUUAUUGAUGAGGGGAAAAUUCACCUUAAGAAGAUUAAGACUGCAGAUAAUCUCGCAGAUAUGAUGACCAAGGUGGUAACAACAAUCAAAUUCGAACAUUGUUUGAACUUGAUCAAUAUUCUGCAAGUUUAAUAGUUGAAGAAGGCACUAUCAAGUGUUGUUGACAAAGGCAGAGAGAAUUGUGUGAAGAUAAGAUUAUUCGAAUCAAAUCUUCAAGGUGGAGAUUAUUGGCAAUCAUCCAUAUUAUGGAAAGUCAAAGAUAUGGGUAUCAAAUAUUGGAAAGUCAAAGAUAUGAGUAUCGAAAUAUUGGCAUAAGAAAUCUGAGAUAUUUGCAAUAUUUGAUCCCUAAUGGUAUAGUGACUUUGCAAGUUGAUCCCUGAACCUCAACUAUAAAUAGGCUUAACCAUAUCUCAUUCAUAGUAUCCUAUAUUUCUAAUUCUAAUUCUCUACUUAAGGCAUUGUUCUGUUUCACUCUUUUUAUAAAAUUUCACUUGUAUUUUGGAGUGAAAUAUAUUUGGUAGUGCCCGAGGACGUAGGCAAAAUUUGUUGAACCUCGUUAAAAUUCUUGUGUUCUUUAUGGUAUUAUUCUGCAUAUUUUGUGAGUCUGAUUGUAGUGAUUUAUUGUGCUAUUAAAUUACGAUUGAGGGAUAUUCUGGCUAGGAAAGACCUGGUACUUAAGCAAUCCUUGUGAUCCACCUCUCUUUCCUGGGAAUUGAACUUAGUGUGAUUUUUUAGUACAAUAAUUUUACUCUUUUACACGCUUCCGCACAACAUAAUUUGAAAAUUGGAAAACAAGAAUUGAAAAUCAAUAUAUAAAUUAAAGGAAUUCAAAUUGAAAGAAAGGUGAUUCGACGAUAAAAUUAUAAAAGUCCUUGAAUUAAGUAUUCGAAUUUGAGGACUUAGAUUUGAAGUAAACUGAGUCGAAUUUGAACAAAUUUCCUUCUUGUAAUUCUAAAAAUUUAAAGAUAAAUAGUUAGAGCAAUUCAAGAAAAUUCAUAAUUAAAUAAUUGAGAUUGAAUAUUGGAGAAGAUAGAUAAAAUAAAUUGUCCUACCGAACCCUUUGAAGAUGAACUCUCCAACAAAUCCAACAAAAUGCUCUAAUCAAUUCUCUAAAAAAAUAAUCUUAGUCAAUUAAAGACUGAAGACUCCCACCACAAAAUAUUGAGGGCCAGUUAUUUAGUGCUUAAAAAAAGCAUUUUAGACUCCAAAAGUACUUUUGGAAGAAAAGUUGUGCAGAACAAGCUGCGCAGAACAAGCUGCUUUUAGCUGAAAGCACUUCUGAAAAGGAAAAGCUAAAAAUUUUAGCUUUUCCUCUCCCAAAAGCAUUUUUGGUGCUUAAUUACUUUUUCACCCCUCCAUUAACAUAGUACUUUCCUUUUUUUUGUGUGCAUAAUUACAAAUGUGUUAAAAUCAUUAAUUAAAAAUAAAAAAUAUUUUUUAAAAUACUAAUUACAAAUAUUUAAUGGUUAUAUUUAAAUAUUUAAAAUAUAGUUUAUAUAUUCUAAUUAAAUUUUAUAAAUAAUUAAUAUUUAUUGCUUAAAAAUAUUUAAAAUUUAUAUUUCAUAUAUUAAAAUAUUAACAACAAGUUAUAAUAAUUUUUUUAUAUUCUUACUAAAAUAUAAUAAUAUUAACUAAUUUAAAUAUUAUUUAAAUGCAUAUUUGUUACUUGAUAAUAACAUGUCUAAAAUGAACAUUUUAUUUCUCAAAAUCACUUUUUGACAGCAAUGCUAAACAUUCAAAUUUUAAACCAAACUUUUCAAAAGCAUUUCUCAAAAGCACAUUUCUAGAUCACUUUUCAAAAACACUUUUCAAAAGCAUUGCCAAACUAGCCCUGAAUCUAACUUCUGAAAAUUAAUAGUAAAUGAAUCUUGCAAACCUUGAUGUGGUAGCCACAUAUACUUAGUGUGAUGCCACCAUGUUAACAGCUAAAUUAAAAAUUAUAAUUUUUAAAAUAUAUAUGAUUUUUUUAAAUAUAAAAGUUUUUGAAAUCAAAUUCAAAGUUUCAAAAAUUAUAAAUAAACUAGUUUUCUUACUCGUGCGAUACACAGCUUAAUUAGUGUAUAAAUUAAUUAUAUUCUAAGAGUUAUGAAAAUCUGUCCAAAUUUGAAUCUAACAAUAAGUUAUUUAAUAAGUAAAUUUAAUGAAAAAUAGGGAAGAAUAUGUGAGUGUUCUCUAAUCAAUGUGAGAUCAAAAUUAACUUUUUAAUUUCUUAAACUAUAUCUAAAAAUAUAUAUUUUUUAUCUUAUUAAUUUAUAUGUAAAUUAAAAAAUCUAUUGAAGAUGUCAUCAAAACUUAAGUAUGCUUCUUUUUAUUUUAUUAAUUUAUUUUUAAAUUAAAAAAUUAAAAAAAUAUAUUCUAUUGAGUAUGCUUAUAAUAACUUUUUAGACUAAAAAAAAUAAAUAAAUGAUAGAUGUAGGUUAUUUUCGAACUAAUAAAAAUAUGAUUAUUUCUCUCUUUCCUAUAAUAUAUUAUUUUACAUAAAUAAUUUUAAACUAUAAACUCUUUCUCAAAAAUUUAUUCAAAGAAAGAAACUAUAAAGAGUUUACGAAAAUAGUAAAGAAAUUUAUACUUAUUUAUAAUAUAAGUGUGAGCUAUAUGAGUGUUCUCUAGUCAAUGUGAUUAAAAAUUAGUUAAUAAAAAAUUGGCACAUAUCAAUAAAAUGAAUAUGCCAUGUGUUAAAAUAUUAUACUUUCAUGUCAGCCGAGAGUCCAAGAUCUUAUAAUAUAAUAUAUAUAAUUAUCAAAAUUAUAAAAAAUCAAAUACAAAAAAUUAAAAAUAAAAUAAAUAUUUUGAAUAGUGGACAAAAGAAUUAAAUUAGAAUAAAUAUAAAAUGUAUUAAUGUGGGGUUUUGGUUUGAUGAUUGAGCUUGUCUAUGCUUUUAUGUUUGACUCUGAUUUUAUUUGUUGGGUUUAUUGGAAACUCAAAUUGUGGAAAAUGAAAUAUGAUCCCAAUCUCUUUUUGAAUCAUUUAACAUACUGACGGUUGCAUUGUCAUGUCAGCUUUCCAAUAGUCCUUCCAGUGUGACAUAUCACUCAUUUCUUCAUAGGUAUGUCCGGAUGCUUUCUCCUCCCUCUGCUUCUAUCUUGUCUUUACAACGAGGGUGAGUUUAGAUGGACGACUGGGUGCAGUGCGGUGAGUUUAGCUUACUUUUUGUCUCACGCUACAGUAUCGCUACACUAUCUAAUUUUACCACCACCGCUAUUUUUACACUAAACACAGGUAAACGCACCGCCCAUCCAAACUCACCCUGAAAAAAAUUUUCUCAACCUUGAGCUGGACCGAUGGUUGCGACUUGCAAGUGUUGCAUUGUGCAUGUCAAUUUUCUCAGCAACAAGACAAGAAAUGUCACCCAUCACUUUCCAUCAUUUGGGACAUUCUCACCCUCCUUUCAAUUUUAUUAUUUUUAUUGUAGGUAUUUGUUUUUUUUUUUUGAGUGAGUUCAAUAACUAAUCAUUCGUAUUCUAUAGUUUUAUCUAUUAAAUAAUAUAUUUUUAUAAUUUUAAAAAAAAAUAUUUGUUAAUUAAAUGAGUAUUUAUCUAAUUUAUAAUAAAAAUCUAUUAAUUUUAAAAAAUAAUUUAGAGAAUAAAAUAAAAAAUUUUAAGUAAAGAAAAAAGAAACAAUCAAUAAUAUAAUAUUAAAUAAUUAGAUAAAAUAAUCAAUAGUUAGCAACAUAAUAUUAUUAAAAUCACAAAACAAUAGGAAACAACAUUAUUAAUAAACAUUGCUUUACAAAGAAUUAUUACUUUUAACAUAAUAUUUUACAACACAAUGAUAAAUAAUAUUUACAAUUAUAUAAAUAUUAUUAAAAACAAAUAUUAGCAAAUAGUAAUGAAAAUCGUAUCUUUUUUUUUGAUAGAAACAAACCCUAUUUAAAACAAAUUUUUUUCAAUAAUUCUUGAGACGUUAUUUUGAACAAAAAUAAUUUGUUAAUGGAUAUAUUUAUAGUGCUAAAUAUUAAAUUUAAUUGAUAUAUAAUUAUAACAUUAAUUAAGUGAUAAUUAAUCUAAAAUAACAUAUGUACAAUCAACACUAUAUUUAGUACUGAUAAUGUGUUAAAUAUAAACACCAUUCAUUUCUUUCUUUUUUGAGAAUAUUUUAAUGUUUUUUGUUCAGUUUCAAAGUUGACACAUGUCUUGGACAAUCCAACACAACUCUAAGGGUCCGUUUGUUUGACUAAAAAUGGUUUCUGAAAAAUGACUUGCUUUUAUGAAAAAGCUAAUAUUUUCUGGUGUUUGGAUGAAUGUGUAAAAUAUUUUCUGUUGUUUGGCAGAUUUCCUGAAAAUAUUUCAUAAAAUCUGUUUUAAAUGAAACAAACAUACAUUUGAGAAUUUAUUGUCUUUUCAUUGUUUAAUUGAGUUUAUUUUAUAUCUAUUAAAUUUAUAUUUUAUAUUAUUAUUUUUUACAUAUUUUGCAAUGAUAUAUUUAUAAAUAAGUACAUCAAAUUAAAUAUAUAACAGUAAUCAAUUUUUUUAACAAAAAUAACAGUAAUCAAUUAUUAAGCAAUAUAUGGGCCAUUAUUGCUCUUUAGUCUAUCAACUAAAGUCCUUCCGAGAUCCUCUAUCUCUUUCGCAUACUGGAGAGCCUCGUAAUUGGCUCGGCACCUUAGCCUUUGAAUGGAGUUUGGAAUGUCAUUAUUAGCAAGCCUUGAAUAUGUAUGCGUGAACUUCAUCACCUUAUGUCGCUUUAGUAACGGGAGCACUUCCCUCAUGUAGUAAUUAGCCUGCAAAUGAAUCAAUUUAAGACACCUUACCAAAAAAAAAAAAAACCAAAUGGAAUAUCACCGUUUAUUUAACACCAAAUUUGAUCAUUUCAAUACACUAGGCCAGGAAACAAGGGCCUUUACUAGGGGUUUUAUUAUUGAGUACUUAAGGGAAGAUACCCAACAAUAUCAUAUAAUCUUUGAGUACAUUAAUUAAAUGCCUCCAAUAAAAAAAUAUCCUUGAAUUCACUGUGCACAACGUAUUCAAAAUGUAUUCAAAACAUUAAUGAAGAGUUGGAAAAAUAGGUUGAGGUGCACAAAUAUGCUUGAGUGUUGCAUAACUAAACCCCUUUGGCCCUAUAGAAAAUCUCGUCUGGAACUGAUGCUGCUCCACUUGUCACACUCACUUUUCGAGUUGGAAGUGUCUUUCUAUCAAAUCAUUCAAGGUCUAUUUAUAGAAAAUAAAUGCAAUUCAUCUAAUAGAAACAUAGCAUAUACAUACAUCCCAAUUUAACAGACAAUAACAUUAAAAUAUCCCUCCAGAUUGAGUUUCACUUAUCAUCUAAAUCAGAAAUUAGUUGACAAAAAAAAAUUCCAACAAUAGUAUCUUAGAGCUAGCGCAUGUGUAUAACUAUACAACCAACAUAGAUAAGCAUGCUAACCAUUUAAUAAUGGUAAUUUAGCGAGUCAAUAGAAAACCGCUUCCAUUGCAUGUCUCUAUUUAAGUAAGUCACGAGAUCCAUAAGUUGCACUAGGUAUCUUUCACUUUCCAUCACAUUUUGUGCAUCUGCAGAGAUAUAAUCAAUCAUCGACGAAAAAAAUGGAUCAUGUAAAUAAAUCAUUCCUCAACUAUAUAUGUUUGGAAGAAAAGAAAUUAACAAGAAACCAAAUAUCAAACUAAUGUUUACAAAGUUCAAUAUAAGGACCAUUAGCCAAAAGUUUCAAACUUAGAACACCCAGAUAGCAAAUUAGGAAGGAUAACUACAUGCAAAUAUGGUUCCUUGAAAGAAUGCAAAGUUGUGAACUACUUGCUCAACCAUAUUAGUCAUAUGUUGGAACCAAUAACCAACCAUCUUGGAUAAUAAAUAUAGGUUCCGUUUCUCUUUUCACUUCCCUUUCUUCUAAGAAAGUUUCAAGAGUUCCCACAUAAACAUUGCAAUUCUCAACAACAUGAAUCGUUCAUAUUUACCUAGUUUUGAAUGGCUAAUCAACAAUAGUAUCACUUCACAAUGUGCUAAGGUGUUUUGUGUUUGAAAACCUAUUUGCAAUUUAGGUUUUUUCCUUUUUUUUAUCCAACUAAAAACUACACUUGGAACAAAAUGUAAGAAAUCCAUUUGCAUUAAACAAAAUGUAAGAAAUCUAUGUGUAUUAAACAAAAUGUAAGAACACAUGUGAGCAUGAGAUUUUUUAGUGUCAUAAACAAAAUAAAACUUGGAACAAAUAGACAAAAUCACCUUUUUCCCUCGAAUAACAACUCUGAGUUCGCCUUGGAUCACCAUGUAUUUUGUGCCACCAAGUCGGAGCAAGUGAUCCAGGUUCAGCAAAGUCAUUCAUGAUGCUAGUGAUUUCUUCUGGAUUGAACUGAAAUCAACAUAAAACCAAAGAACCAAAGGUAUCUUUCUCUACCGAUUCCAAUUCAACAAAACUUUGGCACAUGCGACUGGGUCAUAUGAGUGAGAAAUGUAUGAUAGUCUUUUGCAAUAAAGGUCUUUUCAAAGACACUUGUAACAUCUCAGAAAUUGGGGUUAGAAGUUUUGAGGUUUGUAGUGAGGGUCAGAGAGUAGGUUGAACAAUUGGGUUCAGUCUCGUGUUUUAGUGUCAGAAUGAGCUUGCUGGUUCGGUGGUUGGAUGUGUGUUAAUUUACCUUUGGGUCCAGGGUUCGAGUCCUUAUGUGUGUUUUGAGGAAUUAAUCUGAUUCUACUUUUGUUUUUAAGUUUUAAAUAGUUAUUUAUUAAUUUAUUUAUUUAUUUUUAGUUUGGAAAUAGGAAGUUACUCAAAAACUAUUUUCACUUUUGUUUUGUUUAUUUUUUGCCAAUUUUGGAUUUGACCUCUUUUGGCAUCCAUACUUCUCUAUUUCAACAGUUCUUUCUUUUUGUUUUAUUGCUAAUCUUCCCUUUACUCUUUUGUUAUUCAAUUUUUGUUCUUUUUUAUUUCAAAUUUUUGCAAAUAAUUAUUGUUUUCCAAAGUUGUUCCUUGUUCAAUUGCUAAGCAUGGAGUCAAAAACGGUGGAAUUAAGGCGUUUCGAUCUUCGUUGGUGUUUGGAAUCAUAAUUUUAGGUGUGUUUCUAAACUGUUUGAAUUCGGUAGCGAAUUACUGUUGGAUUUUAGGGAAAUCUGCAAAAUUCUGAUAUGUCUUAGAUGGUUAUCGAUUGGGGUUCGUUCUGCUGCUACAAAACUAUGAUUUCGGCCUAUUUUUGUGUGGUUUCGUGACCACACGGCGGUUCACACGACCAUGUGACUUUUGGAAUUAGGAAUUUUGGACCUUUUUUAGUGCCACACGUUCAUGUGGCAACUAUUUGGGGAUUUUGUUAUUUUUCACAUGGGCGUGUGCCUUGGACACUAGGGGUGUGCAAAAUUCGGGUAAAACCGAAAAAUUCGGUUAACCGACCGAAUUCAGUUAAUCGGUCAGUUAACCAAAUUUUUUCGGUCGGAGGUCGGUUAAUUAUUUUUUAAUUUUUCAUUUAACAGUUAAUUCGGUUCGAAACCGGUCGGUUAACUAAAAAAAUUAAUAAAUAAAAUUAUAAUAUAUAAAUAGGCCCACUAUUCACCUAAACCCAAUCUAAACCCAAGUAUUCAACCCAACCCAAUUACCCAACCCAACCCAAUCAUAAAAUUAAAUUACAAAUAAUUUAAUAAAUAAAAAUAAAAUUUUAAAACUAAGACUAAAACUAAAGUCUAAAAGUCUAAAAAUAAUUUAAUUAUGUAGUGAUUCAAUUUGGUUAAUUCGGUUAAUUUGGGUAAUUCGGUUAAUUCGGGUAAUUCGGUUAAUUCGGUUAAUUUGUUUAAUUUUUAACCAAAAAUAAAAAAAACAUAUAAUUUUCGGUUAAUUCGGUUAACCGACCGAAUUAACCGAAAAAAUUUCGGUUCGGUUAAUUUUUUUGAAAAAAAUUUCGGUUCUGUUAACAGUUAAAGAUUUUGAAAGGUCGGUUAAUUCAGUUAAUGUUAUUUCGGGUCGGUUAACCGAAUGAACACCCCUAUUGGACACACGGCCUUGUCCCUUAGCCACACGGGUGUGUGAGUUUUCCAUAUGGUCGUGUCUGCUCUGUACUUUAUUUUGGCACUUUUAGACAGUGAGUUACACGGGCUAAUCACACGGCCAUAUAACGCAGUCACACGGGUAUGUGUCCCCUCCAUACGGGUGUGUGUAGCUUGCACAUGGGCCUGUAUACCACCACGCGAGCGUGUAGACCCCCACACGUCCUAGGCAUUUCCACACGAUCGUGUACAAAUUUGACUCAUUUUUGUGUUUCUAUAUGUUUCGACCCUCGGUUAAGCUUUGGUAACUGUGUUUGGGAUUCCAUUACAAUUUGGACUUGUGUGUGUAUUUGAAUUCAUAGGAUUAAGUUUAAGUGUUAUUGUGAUGUUACUUUCUAAUUGAAUGCAAGCAUAUCCGAUUCUCGAUUUGAUCAACCGAAUACGUGUAAUUCUAUUUUUGUGAGAUUAUCUACAUUUAGUGUGUAUUUUGCAUUUGCAUGAAAAUUCUGGGAUUUGGUUAAGAAGAGAAGGAAGACUGAAUUGGCAGUUUAAUUGUAUUGUUUCUGUACAGCCAUUUACCGCAUUAUUUUAUAUAUGUCAGCUUAGCUGCAUAUCAUUAUUUAGGUGGCUUAGUCCCACUAUCGGGGUGUGUAGGGUGGAUGGGCUUAUCAAAGCUCUUGUGGUGUGCAGGGUGGAUGGGUCUAUUAUGACUCUAUUGUGGUGUGCAGGGGGUCAGAGUGGUGUUCUAUUGGAUGGGUAGGAUUUCUACUUGUUGCAUAUUUUACGCAUAUGAAUUUAUGUUUGUUUGUAUGAUCGUCAAGACGUUUAUAAAAUGCUUUGAAUAGUCUGUUGCGAUUGGGUUACAUGAGUGUUUGGAAUAAUAAUAUAAUUGUGUUCUGUUGUUAAUGGAAACUUUCCUUAUGCUGGAUUACCGUUUGAGAUAUUUGUAUGUGAUUUGUAACAUAUGCUAUUUUGGAAUAUACGUUGUGUUACUCCGUCUUUUGCCUGUUGCCAGUUUCGGACUUACAUUGAGCUUGCGUAGCUCACCCCCUCUUAUUUUUCUCUCUUUUAGGUAAUUCUCGUGUUUGGCAUUGGACUCAGUGCAUCGGUGAUCUCAGAACUUUUACUCGGGUUUUUCUCAAUUUGGAUUGGACUAUUUAAGUUCAAUAAUUUUGAUAAAUCAUUUCCUAUAGGACUGUUGUAAUUUUGUUUUAUGAACUGUGGUAUAACUUAAUUUGGAAUAUUUGUUUUGUAAGCGAUUUUGAUUGUUCUAAAAUCUUUGGUUUAAACUUUAAUACGUUGUAAGUUUUAAACAUAAAACACUAGCUUGGGCUUUGCAUUUAAAUAGUAAGUAUUAUGUUAUCCGCUAUGAACUAUUUUCUUGUAAUGUCAGUCUUUUAAAUUUCCAAAUCCGUAUGAUUUCAAAAUCGAAGUAAAAAUUGUUAAACGAUAUAGUUCAAUUUGAGCAAACUGUAUUCGGAUUAAGUUUUUAGAAAUUCUUAUGUAAAAUGUUUCAAGAUCACUUCGGUGGUCAAUGAAACCUCUGAGGUCCGGUCAAAACUUCUAGGUCGGGUUUUGGGGUGUUACAAUACUGAAGUUGGUAAGUUAGGUAUUUGCGAACAUUACAUUUUCGAGAAACAAACCCGAGUCAGUUUUUAUUUAGUAGUGCAUAGAACAAAAUAGACUCUAGAUUACAUUCAUUCCUGUUUAUGGCUGUCCAUCUUAUGAAACCUCAAAAAGAGGUAGUAAAUAUUUCUUAACUUUUAUUGAUGAUCACUCUAGAAAAGUUUGGGUUUAUUUCUUGGAACAAAAAAAUGAAGUCUUUGAAAUCUUCAAAUAGUGGAAGACAUUGUUAGAAAAACAAACCAAAAAAUCCAUGAAGCGGUUAAGAACGGAUAAUGGUCUUGAGUUUUGUUCAUUAAGGUUUAAUGAUUUCUGCAAACAGGAAGGAAUUGAAACGUAUUGAACCGUUGUUGGAACUCCGCAGUAGAAUGUAGUUGCAGAAAGAAUGAACAGAUCCUUGCUAGAAAAGGCUCGAUGCAUGCUUUCUAAUGUAGGCUUAGGGAAGGAAUUUUAGGAUAAAGCCAUAAACUUAACAAGUUAUUUGGUAAAUCGAUCUCUUCAUCUAGCAUAGAACGGUAAAGUUCUAGAGGAGAUAUGGUCAGGUAAUUCUCCUAAUUAUUCUAAUAUUAAAAUUUUUGGUUGUCCUGCUUAUGCUAAAGUUAGUGAGGGAAAGCUCAAACCAAAGGCCAUUAAAUGCAUCUUUCUGAGAUACUUUACUGGUACAAAAGGUUUUAAGUUGUAGUGUUUGGAAUCCGAAAAAAUAAUUAUUAGCAAGGAUGUUCCGUUUGAUGAAUUUGUCAUGUUUUGAUCAGAAAAUGGAACUUUUACUUUUAUUUUUAAAGACACAACAAAUCAGAGUGUCUUGAGCUAGGUGGAUUCAAAAGCCAAUAUAGGGGCGACAUCCUAGUGAGUAAAUGCCCUACGUCGUAAUGAUGUGACGAACAAAAGUCUUGUCUCGAUGAAGAGUCACACGACAUCAUGAUGUCACAACAAAAUUUUGAUUCUUACUAGUUUGAAGUUGUUUCGAAUCUGUUUGGGGCUCCAUCCAACCUUCAAGUACCCUCACCAUCUUAGUUAACUAAUUAUAAGUUAGCUCGUAACAAGAAAAGACGAGAGAUCCGACCACCACAGAAAUAUUGUGAAGGAAACCUAGUGGCUUAUGCUUUAAGUGUUGUUGAAAGCAUUGAUUCAAUCAAUCCUUCGUGUUAUUAUGAGGCAGUUCAAGCCACCGAUUCUAGCAAAUGACUCGUUGCAAUGGAAUAAAAGAUGGGAUUACUUCAAAAGAAUGAGACUUAGAGGCUAGUUAAACCACCCAUUGGUAAAAGAAUCAUUGGUUGCAAAUGAAUAUUGAAAAAGAAGGAAGGUUCGGGUCCUAACGACACUAGGUACAAGGCAAGACUGGUUGCAAAAGGCUAUAGUUAAGUUGAAGGAGUUGAUUUUCAUGGUGUUUUCUCUUCCAUUGUGAAACAUACAUCUAUUCGGCGGUUUUGGCCCUUGUUGCAUCAAAUAAUCUUAAGUUAGAGCAGUUAGAUGUAAACACUGCUUUUCUUCACGGUGAAUUUGAGGAGGACAUCUACAUGCAACAACUGAAAGACUUCAAAUUUGAAGGUAAAGAAGAUCAUGUUUGUCUCUUACAAAAGUCUUUGUAUAGUUUGAAGUAGUCUCCUCGACAAUGAUAUAAAAAGUUUGACUCCUUCAUGUUGAGUAUUGAUUUUUUUCAAAGUAAGUAUAACAGUUGUGUUUAUCUACAAUGUCUUAAUGAUGGUUCUUUUAUAUAUUUGCUACUUUAUAUUGAUGAUAUGUUAAUUCCGGCUAAGAAUCCAUUUGAAAUUGAUCGUCUUAAAACCAUGCUUAACUCUAAGUUUGAGAUUAAGGAUUUAGGUGUAGCAAAGAAAAUUUUGGGGAUGAAAAUUUUGAGAGAUAGACAUUUCGGGAAAUUAUUUUAUUGCUACAAAGUUACAUCAAGAAGAUCCUUGAGAGAUUUGAGAUGCAAGAUGCAAAACAGGUAAGUAAUCCUUUAGUUACACACUUUAAACUCUCAAUUUUAGAUUCCCUACAGAAUGAAGAAGAUAAACGGUACAUGUCAAAAGUACCUUAUUCAAGCGCAGUUGGAAUUUUGAUGUAUUCAAUGGUAUGCAUUCGUCUUGAUAUUUCACAUGCUAUUAGUAUUGUUAGCCGAUACAUGACCAAUCCUGGUAAGUUACAUUGGCAUGCAGUUAGGUGAAUUUUUAGAUAUUUACGAGGUACUUCUAGCAUAUGCUUAAAGUUUGGAAGAACUCAAAAGGGUUUAGUUGGAUAUGUUGAUUUUGAUUAUACAAGAGAUUUAAAUCGAAGAAGGUCUCUCACAAGUUACCUAUUUGCUUUUGGGAAUUGUGUCAUUAGUUAGAAAGCGAUUCUUCAAGCUACAAUGGCUUUGUUGACUAUUGAAGUAGAAUACAUGGCAAUUAAAGAUGGAGUAAAAGAAGCAAUUUGGUUAAAAGGCUUGUCCAAUGAACUGGUAAGUGAAAAAAGGACAACUGUCGUAUAUUGUGAUAGUCAAAGUAUCAUAAAUCUCACUUAAUAUAAAAUGCAUCACGAGAGAACGAAGCAUAUAGACAUUCAUUAUCAUUUCGUUUGAGAGAUGAUCAUUCAAGGGGAUGUUAAGAUUCUUAAAAUUGGCACAGAACACAAUCUGGUCGACAUGUUGACAAUGAGCCUUCUACUUUCAAAGUUUGAGCAUUGCUUGGAUUUGGUAAGUAUCGGACGAAGAAUCAGUUAAGCUCGUAAUAGGGCUUGGCAAGAGAGUUGGUCCAAAUAUGAGUCAAGGUAGAUAUUUGUGAGAGAAUGCCUCUUAUUUUCACCAAAGUUUAUUUUGGCUUUUCUUCUCCUAAUUAAACUCUGUUUUUAGUUUCUCACUUAAACUCUGAUUAACCUAGAGUUGUUGUAGUCAUAUAUGCCACGAAUUUCAACUUAUCACGCAAAUUUUACGUGGAAAAAUUCCUUAAAGAGGAUAAAAUCUACGGGCAAAAGAAGAUUUCACUAUAAAAAGGAGAGUACAAAAGAUGGAGAAAAUUAAAAUAAAAACCCAAAGCCCCACAAGAAAAACCCUUCAAAACAAAAAAAACAAAAUUCUCUCAAACUAAAUAUUUUGUUGUGUAAACUUAGAGUAACUAAAACCUAUUUUUUCGAUUCUUAUUUAUUUACUUUGUUCGUUGUUUAAUUGGGUUUAUCCCUUACAAGAAAAAUAAUUGUCCACUUUUAUUGUGAAAUGAUGAAUUGACAAAAGAAUUAAAUUUAAAUAAAUAUAAAAUAUAUUAAUAUCAUGCGUAAAUUUCACUUGUAAUAUGAGGUUUUGGUUUGUUAAUUGAGUUUGUGCUUUUUCGUCUCUAUGCUUUUAUGUUGUCCUUUAUGUUAGGACUCUGUUUUUAUUUGUUCGGUUUCAUUGAAAACUCAAAUUGUGGAAAAACAAGAAGUUUCUCCAUCUCGUUUUGAAGUAUUUAACAUACUGACGGUUGCAUUGUAAUGCCAGCUUUCCGAUUGUCCUUCCGGUGGGUCACAAGGCAAAGAAAUAUUACUCAUUUCUUCAUAGGUGGAGCUAUUCCUAUUAUUGCGUCCGGAUGCAUUAUCCUCUCGGCGCUUCUAUUUUGUCUUUACACGGACUCUCUUCUGUUUGGCUACAAUGAAAACUCAGCUUUGGAAACAAAAUUUUCUCAACUUCGUGGUGGACCGAUUUGAUAUAGCGGAGGUUGCAUUGUGCAUGUCAAUUUUCUCGGAAUAUCACCCAUCACUUACUUUCCAUAUUGUUUUGUGAGAUUCUUACCCUCCUUUCAAUAUUCAAUUUUUUUAUUUUGUUAUAUUAUUAGUUCCCAACAAUAUACAUAUCUGUUUUUAAAAUUCAUUAAAUAAUAAAUUUUUAUAAUUUUAAAAAAAUAUAGUUGUUAAUUAAAUGAGUAUUUAUCUAAUUUAUAAUAAAAGUAUUAAUUUUUAAAAAAUAAUUUAGGGAAUAAAAUAAAAAUUUUAAAGUAAAGAAAAUAAAAAUAUGAAAAAUAAUUGAUAAUAAAAUAUUAAGUAAUUAGAUAAAAUAAUCAAUAGUUAGCAACAUAAUAUUAUUAAAAUCACAAAACAAUGGUAAACAACAUUAUUAAUAAACAUUACUUUACAGAGAACCCUUACUUUUAAUAUAAUAUUUUACAAUAUAAUGAUAAAUAACAUUUUCAAUUAUUUAAAUAUUAUUAAAAACAAAUAUUAGCAAAUAAUAAAAAAAUCAUAUAUAUCUUUUGUGAUAGAAACAAACCCUAUGUAAAAUAAUUUUUUUCAAUAAUUCUUGAGACGUUAUUUUGAAUGAAAAAAUUAUUAAUGCAUAUAUUUAUAGUACUAAAUAUUAGUUUUAAUUUAUAUAAUUAUUUUAAUGUCAUUUAAUAUGAAUACAAGCAAUCAACACUAUACUUAUGUGUUAAAUAUAAACACCGUUCAUUUCUUUCUUUUGUUCUUUUUUGAGAAUUUUUUUUUUCAGUUUGAAAGAUGACACGUGAAUUUGACAAUCCAACACAACUUUAAAUGCACAAACAAAUACAAGUACAAAAAUGAAAAGACAGAAAAGAACAGGUUAGCGGUGGCGAAAUUAGUGGAGCUCGCGGUGGUCUCCGACUCCCCUAAAAUAAAUUUUUUUCAUAUAAUCUUUUUAAAAUUUUUAAAAUUUUAACUUAGUAAAUGUAAAAUUAUAUUUUAACUCCCUAAAAAUAUAAAAAUUUAAUUUAAUUCUUUAAAAAUUAUAAUGAUAUAAUUUAUUAAAAUGAUAAAAUUUUAUUUUUUAUCGUAAAAAUUACAAUUUAAUUUGGUCCCCAAUUUGUUUUUUGGUUUCGCCAUUGCAAAUUAGUACUUAGUAAUUAUCCAUUGGAUUAUAGACACCAUUUUGUCAUAUAUUUUAGGCCUUUUCUAUUAGAUUGUUUAUUCAAUCAAAUUAAUUACAUGUAUUAACAUUUCAAUGCUACCUUUAGUAAUGAUGUUAUUUUUACAUGUAUUUUAAUAUAUGAGUUAGUAAUAAAUUAAUUUAAUUUAUAAUAUUUAGUUAUUCUCAUAACUUAGUUUUAGUAAAGAAAAUAAAAUAUUUUUAUUUAUUUUGAAGAUGUUUUAUUUUUUACAAGAAUUUUUAUUUAUAUUUCUAUUUUCAAGUUUAAAUUUAUUAUAACUAUUCUUAGUUUGAUAUUUAACUAUUGUAAUACAUGUACCCAAUAAGAUUUUUCUUCAUGUUAUUACAUUAAUAACCAAAUGAGGCAUUAAUAUAUUUACAUUAAGAGUUAAUUUCACCAUAUAUCCUUAAACUAUAACCUUCAUUCUAAAUUAGUCCUCAAAUUUUAAAAUAUUUUAAUUACAUCCCAAACUGUUGAUGUUUUAUCAAUAAGGUCAUUCCAUUACUAAAAAAUAAUUAAUUUAACCGUUAAAUGAAAUGUCAAAUCUUAUGUGUCAUGUUUAAAAUAAAGAAUUGUAAAAAAAAUGAAUGUUAUAAAAAUAUUGGGUUUGAGGCUUUUGAGGCUUUUACAAAAGCGUUAUUGCUUACUUUCUUCUUUUUUCAGUUUUACUUCAUUUUUAAUUUAAAAGUUAUGCAAUAAAAUUUUAAUUUUUUUAAAAAAAUUAUCAUUUUAAAUUAUGCCACAUAAGAUUUGACAUAUCAUUUAAAGGUUAAAUUAAUUAUUUUAAUAAUUGAAGGACCCUAUUGAUAUAUCAUCAAUAAUUUGGGAAGAUAAUUAGACGUUUUGAAAUUUAGGGGUCAAUUUAGAAUAAGUGCCAUAGUUUGGGGAUAUUUAGUGCAAUUAAUCUUAUAUUAAUUGAAUUUAUACUAUGUUUGGAUUAAAAAUACUAAAGGAAAAGAAAAGAGAGGAAAAUUAAGAAAAGUAAAUAAUUAGUCAGUAUAGUUAAAAUUAAUAAAAAUAAAUUUAGCAAUUUUUGUUUGGGUAAACUGUAAAAAGGAAAGAUUAAGUAUCAUUAUUUUUUUUACAAUUAUAAUAUUUUCAUAAAACUAUUUAUAAAAGGAAUAGAGAAAAAAAUAUUUUAUGUCUUAAAUUUUUGUUUUGGUUUAAUUCCUCUAACUUGCCCCCCAAAUUGGGACAGAUAAAAAAACUUAACACAGCAUUGAGUUUGUAACAAUAUUUUUUAUUUUCAUUUUCAGAAAAUAAAUUUAAAUUUUUUUAUUUUUAAAAAAAAUUAAAAAAUAUUUGAUAAAUAAAAAAUAAUUGUUUUCAAUAAUGAAAACUUAAAAACAUGUUUGGUAACUAUUUUCUUAUGAUAGAAACGUGGGGAAUAAAAUAAAAAAAUUACAUUUAUAUGGAUUUGAACGAUGGUACCGGAUUUAAUAUUUGAAAAUUUGUUAAAAGAAUAGAAUAUUUUUGAGUUUAUAUAUGCUUGAACCAAUACCAAUUCAUUUAAAGUUAAAAUUUUUUAUUUUUAUCAUUUUCACUUUUACAAAACAUUUUAAUUGAAAAUAAUUAAAUCAACUUUUUAUUGUAUUCUAAUUUUCACAUAUUUUUAUUUUUAAGAAAUCAGUUUUAAAAUUUCAACCAAACACAUUGUUUUCCAUGUUUUCCAUUUUACAGUAAAACAAAAAGAAAAUAUGAAAUGCAAACUAAACUUUCAAUAGAAAACGUAAUACUCAAUUUCUCUUGUUUAAAUUAUAGUCUUUCUGAAGAAAGAAAAGAAUGACGGUUUCCUUAUUUUCCUUUCCAAUCCAAGCAUACAUCAUAUUUUAUCAUAUACAUACACACACUAUAGCAAAGGUUUUUUUUUUUUUUUCUCUCUUUUAUAAUUAAUUUUGGUAACGUUCAAUUCUAGACUUCUUUGCUUCACAAGUGAUUACACCUCAUCAAAUUCAACAAUUUAAUUAUCUAACUCAAAAUUAAGUAUAUAUAUAAAAGAAAAUAUUUGAUAUAUUGUCAGUAAAAUUUUUAAACUCCACAAACAAAAUAAACAGUUGGCAAAUGUCUUAUAGGAAUAUAAUAAAUUAUUAAAUAUAUAUUUUAAAAAAGAGACGCAUAUCAAUUUUUUAAAAUUAUUUGUGAAAUAAAAAAAAAGUUAUGCUGCCAAUGUAUGAAAUCUUUUAAAUAUAUAUGUAUGAUUUACAUUAAUAAAGGCAAAAUUUAAGCAAUAAAAAUUGGCAUAUUUUCAAAACUUUGAUUUUAACUGAUAUUAUCAAGCCUAACUCAGGUUUUUGGUUACCACUUGAAGUUUAUAAUUAAGUAAUUUUUUUCUCUCAUUUUUAAUUCGUAAGUUUAGAUAAAUUUAGCAAUCUUUAAUUUACGUAAUAACAUUAUAUUUAAAUAUUGCCUAAUAUUCCGUUAUUGACUUGAAAUAAAAAUAAAAUAUUCCUAUAGUUUAGGUAAUACUUAUUCCCCAUAAUACAAUUGCGAUAUAAUGUAAUUUAAUUGUAUUUUCAAUUUAAUUUUUCUUAAAAGUACUUAGUCGAUUGAGUCUUAAUCAACAUUAUUGUUAGUAUAAGACGACAUGGGUUUAAGUGCAUUAAAACUUAUUUAUCCUUCUAUUUAAGGAUUGGAAAUGAAUUAUGUGUAGUUCUAAGCUUUGUAUAAUAUUUUUUUCUUAAAAACACUUGAAAUUUUUCAUAAACCCUAUAAAUACAUUAUUUUCUUCCACCAUACGUGGAGUUUAGAGUUUUGACACACAUUGGUAAGUACUUUCCCAAAUAAGAAUAUCUUUUUCCUAUUAAAUCUUGAAUCAAUUAAAUUAUUUUUUAUUAAAUCUUUCGGCAAAAAUAUUAUGGAGACCCUUAUAUUAAGAGUUAGAUUAUAUUUUGCCCCCUCUACUAAAAAGAUGGACAAAUUAGUCUCUGUAUGUUAGAUCAAAGUGCAAAUUAGUCAUUCUGUUUAAAGUUUCAUCCUUUUGUAAUGUUAAAAAUUAUUUUUUGUACGUCACCAUAAGGUACACGUGACAUCCUACUUGUAACUAUCUGAUUAUUUUAUUAGCCACGCCGAUUUUUAACUAUAACAACCUAAUUUUAGUUAGUGCCGAAAAUUUUGGUUUUGAAAUUGAAUUCCGUCAAAUAAGUUAGUUGGAAAUAUAGUUAAGAUAAUUAAGUGUUUAGUAAGAACUAAUAAUAUUAGUAUAUCAAGAGAUUAAAUUGAUUAAGCUAUUAAAAAUAAUGCAGAAGCUAAAUUGCAAAAUGACUAAAAUUAGUAAAAUUUAAUUGAAGAGAAUUUAAAGAAAUUUUUUUUAACAUUAAUCUCAUUAGGUUCGUAUCAUAUCUGCUCUUUUUGAUACAAUACCUAGAACUACCUAUAAUCCCUCCCCAGCCCUUAAAUAAGAGAAUAAUGUACUUCAGUGCACUUGAAUCUACGUCCUCUUGCACUUGUAAUAAUACUAAUGCCAAUCGAGUUAAGACUCAAUCGACAGAAUUAAAAGGCUUUAAUGUGCAAUUUUAAAUCAUAGAAAUGCUUUAGCAUGAUUAUAUCAUCACAGGCAACUAACCAUCAUUAAACCAUAUUGUUAACUAAUAAAUAAAAGUUUAAUUAAUGUUAAUUUAACUAAUAUAUAUAUAUAUAUAAUAUGAUAAGUGGGAGAGAGAAGAGGUGACCAUUAUCCUCAUCCUUUCACCACCGAAACCAAAGAAAGGAAAGAAAGAAAAAAUUUGAAAGUUUCCCAAGCUUUUGCCUAUUCAAAAUUCACAAGAAUGAGAUUUUUAUAAAAUUUUUAUGGAUUUUAUUUCAUGAGAGCUUGGUUUAUAUGACCCAACUCUUAGAUUUUUCAAUUACGAUGAUUUUUCAAAUUACUAUUAAUGGAUUUUAGAGAAUUUGAAGCUUGAUAAUGAUGGAUUUAUGAAUGAUAGGCUUGGUAUAUAUAUUAGGACAAUAUUUGAAGGUAGUAAAAAGUGUUAAAUUAAGUUAGAAUUUGAAGUAAGCUUGUUAGUUAAUUUUAUGACAUUAAGAAUUAAAUUGAAUAAAGUGAAAGCUGUUGGAAAUUUGGUUAUAAAUUGAAAGUACAAGGUCCUUAGUGAAUGGAUGUGAAGUCGGAUUUUGAUUCGAUUAGGAAAAUUGAGAGAUAUGAACAUUUUGGAUAUUAUGGUUUAAAAGGGGACUUAAUUGUAAAGAAUACAAAUAUGCUUGGUUGUUGGUAUGUUUUUUAUUAAAUGAGGAAUUAACGUUGAUUUUGUAUUCAAGUUUGUCGUAUGUAGUUAAUGAAGAGAUUGGGACAUCGAGGAUCAAAGGCGAAAAUGGGCAAUGAAUAUGAACUCAAUUUGUGCUCUCAUAGUUUGACUUUAACUUAUAUUUUAUUAAAUAGCUAAAUAUAAUCAAACAAGCAUCAAACAGAGAGUUGCAUUGCAACGAAGAACCCCUGGUGUAACAACGUUAACCCAAAAUUUUAGAACCCUUACAAUUUGGUCCUAUUUUGACCUCGAGUUAGUAAAAAAACUUUUGUAAGCUCGUAUAAGAAUUGGAAAUGAUUAUGUAUUAUUUAAUGCACUUGUUUUAGUUACAUUUGAAUGUUUAACAAUUUGAAAAUGAAUAUAAUUUGACCUUAGUUAUUUCUGCAAUAAAUGUGGCACCUUGUAACUCAGACGUGAUGAUCAGGUUGGGUAAUGGGGUGUUACAUAUCCGAUCAAGUAAAAUAAACACCUUGAAGGUGAAUUAAUAGAUAAGUAGCACGAAUGUUAUGUGAAUUGUAAUACUAAUAUAAAACUUAUUAACACAUGAUGUAAUGAUUCCCAACCUUGUCAUUUAUUUUGACUUCAUGUUACUUAUAUAUUGGUUUCAAACUAUGUUAGCACCGUUGAGUAUAAAUACUCAACGUAUGGUUAUGUUUGUUUUCUGUGCGCAGGCCUCAAACAAGUUUCUAUGAAAUCGAAGUUGAAAAGCAUCCAAGGUCACUAGCUCAGCUCAACUUAGCUUGUAUUAAGUUUGGGUUCCUUUUUGGAAGUAUGUAUUAAAUCAAGGACAUGUACCUAGGUUGGUCUUGGUUUGAUGCCUAAAGUAAUGAUUUGAUGUAUUUUGGUAACUUGGCCUAUAAUGUUUUGAAAGUUGAAUUUUAGGUCUUGAUUAAUAGAUAAUCGUGCAUGUUUAAAUGUUUUUGGUUAUACAAUUUGUUUGGUUGGAUGUUGAUGUAUUAGGUGUUAUAAAUUAGUGGUGUUUUAAUGUAUUUUCAUAUGUUAAGUUGAAGGGUUUGCAUUGUUGUAAUGUUUAAGUAUGUUUUAGGCUCAAUUGGGCAGAGUUUGAAUGAUUGAAAAUGUGCACCUUAGGCUAUUUUUCCAUUGAGUCUAGAGACAGAAAAAACAUUUCUUGAGACCAUUAGAUAAAAAAAAUUACCAUAUUGAGCAUUUGAUUGCUUAAUUUCUCGAGACUUGUCAAGCUAGUCUCGAGACAAUCUCAUCUAGGUCUCGAGACAAAGGGCACUUUAUCUCGAGAUAAAGAAACAUUGAAGCUAAAUUAAAAAAAUAGGGGAUGUUGGUAUUGAGACCUAGUCUCGAGACGUAAUAGACCUUGCCUCGAGAGACAACUUCUAAUGUCUCGAGACAUGUUAACAUCGAAGCUAAAAUUCUCUAAAAAUAAAAUAAUACUUGUCUCGAGACAUGAAGUUCCCUAUCUCGAGAUACAACACUAAAAUUUGAUCAUUGAGUUUGGAUUUGAGUCCUAACUCUAAAUUUGAUCUUGUAUAACUCUGUAAAAUGAUGAAUUUGAAUCUUAAACAUUAUGAAUGUAUAUUUGUGGACAUAAUUGGUAGUUAAGUGAAUUGAAUGAUAAUUCUGAACUAAAUUUAUGAAUAUGUAACAAAUUAGCCUGAGUUGCUUCGGCAACGGAAUGUGACAUCACACAUUCAACUCUGGCAACCAAGUCAGGUGUAGGGUGUUACAUUAAUAGUAGAAAUGGAUGCAAAUUUUAAUAGAAAAAACCAAUUUGUUCUUUGAUUUAACAUUGAUGGACUACUUUGCCUAAUUUUUUAGUAAAUGGAGGAAAAUACAAUUUGACUCUUAGUAUAGGAGCCUUCAUAGUACAAAGAUUUCCUUUCUCGUUCAUAUUUGCAUUACAUAUUUUCUUUUGCACAAUUUUGUCCUCUGUCUUGUUUAUUGCAUUUCUAACUGAAUUAGUUUCACGAGUUAAUUGGACAUUAGUUCAGUUGGAAAAUGAUUAAAACUUUCCUCCUUUCACAAAAUAAUAUAUAUAAUGUGUAGUCUGAGUUGGUGUCACGAGUUAAUUGAACAUUAACUCAGCUGAAAAAUGACUAAAAACUCUCUACUUUAACAAAAUAAUAAAUACUAUUUUAAUGGUAUUUUUAUAUUUUAUAUAAAAACUAUAUUAAUAAAUUUAAAUUAACAAAUUAUGUAAUUUGAACAUAAACCUUCAUAAUUUUCAAAUAACUUCACCAAUUCAAUCAAACUCUUAUUUGUUUUUAGUAUGAAAGUUUUAAUAAAUAUAUUUGUUAUACAAUUUUUUCACCCACAUUGUGAAUAAGUCAUAAUCUGUUUAUAUUUAAAAGGUUAAAUGUUGUUAUUAGUCUCUGUACUUUGCGAAAGUUAUGGAUUUAGUACUUGUACUUUUCAAACUUUAAAAUUUUAGUUCCCACCAAAUGAUAAAUGUUAAAUUCAUUAAGUUAAGUUAUUUCCAAAUUUUGAUGCGCCAAACAUAUCAUGUGUGUAAUGCCAUGCCAACUUGCUAUUUUGAUAUGUUAUUCACUAAAAGUUCAGUUAAUGGGCUAACGACUAUCAUUUGCAUCAAGACUAAAAUUUCAAAAUUCAUGAACUAAAAUGAUCCACAUUGGAAAAUAUGGAUGAAAUAUACAAUUGUACGUAUAGUACAGGACUGAUAAUUGAAUUUAAACAAACAGAUUUAACAACUACUGUUUGGGUUAAGAUUAAAAUUUUAAAAUUAAAAAAAGUAAAAGGACUAAAAUUGAUCAAUUCGAAAAAUACAAAUACUAAAAUUGAUCAAAUUAAAGUACAUAGACUAAUACUUUCCUUGAUCGUACGGCAUCCGUGUUGUGAGCAUAAUGAUAUGGGAUAGACAUCCACGUUGGUAUGGUUUAGAUAUUAUUACUUUCCUAAAUUGUAUCCGCCAAUUAACACGUAUUUAGUGUUUAAGGAUUAGGUUUAGGCAGUUGAGAGUACGAGCUUAGUCAAAUGCAUGAUGGGGCAAACAUGGCCUUGCGUAGGCUAUGGGACGCAUGCAGCGUGGGGGUUAGUGGUCUCAACGUGAAACCAUCUUAGCAAAGCAAGAAGACAGUUGGAAAAUUAAGGUCUUUGCAGGAAAAAGCUUUCCUUGCUUGCUAGCUAGCUUCAAUGAAGUUUGAGAAUUACACGGUAUUAGCAACAUUAAAUGCAAAUAAGGGAAAUGUCCUUAACUAAUGGUUUUAGGUAAUGAGUAGGGUUAUAACUCACAAAUGGUCUUUUACAUCUAAUUUUCUAAUGGCUUAAUAUAUCAUUUCGUACUAUAGUUUGAUACUUUUUUUUAGUGUAGUACCUGUGUUAUUUUUUUGGUUUAAUCUGGUACUUGUAUUUGAUAAAGUUGUACAUUUUGGUACCCAAAGGAUAUGUGUUGACUUCUUAGUGUUUAAUUCGAGUUUUAGGGCUGAUUUGAUAAAAAUUAAUUACAAAUAUUAUUAGGAUUGAGUUUUUCAUGAUUUUGUUAAUAGAAUAAAUUUAGUUUUAAUUGUAAAUUUGUUUAAUUUUUCAUUUCAUUUGUCAAAUAGUCUGAUCAUGGAUGUGAUUUAAUUUAGGUUUUAGGGUUGAUUUGAUGAAAGUUAUCUGCUAAUAUUAUCAAAUCAACUUUAAAAUUCGAAUUAAACACCAAAAAGUUAAUAUUGUUACUUUCAGGUACCAAAAUAUAUAGCUUUUGUCAAAUAUAUGUACCACAUUGGACAAAAAAAUAACACAUGUACCGCAUUAGAAAAAAGUGUCAAACAUAAGUACCAAAUCUAUACUAGUAUUUAAACUCCUAAAAAAUGUUGGUGUUACAAGUCAAUCGGGCACUAACUCGAGAAAAUUACAGGAACGCACAUCCAUAAUUAAAAUAAAGAAUAUUUUUUGAGUGUAUUUUAGUCUUUUCACUUUAAAAAUCAAUAAAAAGCAAGGAUAUGAUAGGAUUCAAACCCAUGCCAAGUGCAUUAAUAAAAUAUUUAAUUUACCACUCAACUAAAGCUUCAUUUUAAUAUUUUUAUACAUUUUAGUUUUAUUAUGCACAUUCUAUUAUCUCCAUUAAAUGUAUAUUUAUAUCUAUCUAUACUAUUGUUUAAAAUCUUGACUGAGUUGGUGUCGCAAGUCAACCGAGCACGAACUAAUUGGUUAGGAAAUUAUGGGAAUGCACAUCCUUAAUUAAAAUAAGUAAUAUUAUUCAGGGUAUUUUAGUCUUUUUAAUUUAAAAAAUGAAUAAAAAUAUGUAUAUGGUGAGAUUUGAAUCUACACCAAUUGCAUUAUAAAACCUUUAAUUUACCACUCAACUAAACAUUAAUUUUAAUAUUUUUAUAAAUUUUAAUUUUAUUAUGCACAUUUUAUUACCUCCACUAAUUAUAUAUCUAUACUUGUAUAUUAUUUAUACUAUUAUUUCAGCUCCUGCUGAGUUGAUGUCACCCUCAACCGGGUCACCAACUCAAUUAGGAAGUUAUGGGAAUGCACUUUCGUAAUUAAAAUAAAUAAUAUUAUUCGAGUGUAUUUUAGUCUUUUCACUUAAAAAACCAAUAAAAAUAUACAUAUGGUAAAAUUUGAACCCACACCAAUUGCAUUAAUAAAACAUUUAAUUUACCGUGCAACUAAAGUUUAUAUAUAUUUUUAUACAUUUUAAUUUUAUUAUGCACACUUUAUUACCUUCAUCAGUUGUAUAUCUAUACUAUUAUUUAAAUUCCUGAUAAGUCAGUGCCACCAUCAACCGGAUCACCAACUCGGUUAGGAAGUUACAAGAAUACCUUUCCAUAACUAAAAUAAGUAAUAUUAUUUGAGGAUAUUUUAGUCUUUUCACUUUUAAAAAACCAAUGAAAAUAUGCAUAUGAUAGGAUUUGAACCCAUACUAAUUGCAUUAAUCAAAUAUUUAAUUUACUAUUUACUAUUCAGCUAAAGCUCUUUAAAAAAUAUAUUUUUAUACAUUUUGAUUUUAUUAUGCAUACUUUAUUACCUUCAUCAGUUGUAUAUAUUAAUAAUGUAUUUGAUUGAGUUGAUGUCAAAAUUUAACUCGACACCGACUCAAGAUUGAUGACAACACCAUGAUAAACAAUUUAAUCUAUUUUUUUGUUUUAAUAAAUAUAACACCCCAAAACCUAGCCUAGAAGUUAGACCGAAUUCCCGGAGUUACAUUGGCCAACCAAAAUGGUGGAGAUAAAAUUCAUUUAUAACCAUAGAAAAUUCUUCGCUAAACCUUUAUGCUUCGUAAUUUUAGUAGAUUAAAUGAUAUGUAGUUGUUUUUGGAAACAACAUAUAACAGACGUUUAAGAACCGUUAGGAAUAAAUCAAAUCAGUGUUUUUGAACAAUUUCAAAGUAACUUAAAAAUCCCCGUACCACAGUACACAUAGACUUAUGUGAAAAAACAAAGGUGCAUAAUUUGAAUAGUUUAUCAUAACAUUAUUUGAAAUCAACCGAUCAAAGAACUCUGAAACCUCCGCUAUCCCGAGUCUAGCUCCAAAACACAGAAUGUACUUGAAAGGAAAAACACUACAGAGAUGAGCUACGCAAGCUUAAUGUGAGUACGAAACAUAAACAGAUGGUAAAAGACGGGGUGACAUAGUAAAUACUUCAAACAAGCAUAUGUAUAAAUAUAUCACUUAUGAAAAUCUCAAUCGGUAUGUCGAAUACAAUAUCAAACUACUAAAAUGAUGUUCCAAUCAUAUGCAAUAAUCAGAACAUAUUACAUGACAUUAGCUAUAUUGUCAAUAACCAAAUGUUCACACAAAUAGACAAAAUGUUCUGAUAAACAGACGUAUGUUCAGAUGCAAACGGAUGCAUAAGUCAAAAAUCCCACCCCACUAACCAAACACCACUUCGUCCAUCCAGCACACCACAUAAGGGCUAUGGUAGGUCUAUCUACCCUGCACACCACAUAGAACCAUAAUAGGUUCAUCCACCCUACACACCACAACGUAGAACUAUGCCACUUGAGUAACUGUAUACAGUUGAGCUGAUAUACGUAUAGGAUAGUGCGGUAAACCGCUGUACAAAAGUAUCGCAGUUAAAACUGUUAAGUCUAUCUUUCUUCUCUUCAUAGCCAGAUCCCAAAAUUUUCAUGCUAUGCAACAAUGCACACAUUGCACAGACAACAUAUAGAAACGAACAUUAACAUUUCUAGCUGAACAAAUUUAGAUUUGAUUACACUUGUAUUCGAAUGUUCAGUUACGACAAAAAUAAAAAAACUCAUACUUAUUCAUCACAUAAACAAGCAAUAAAAUUAAAGCCCAUAAAUGUACAUAUAUACACGAACUAAACUACAUCAAGUCCCAAACACACUUACCGAGGCUUGACCGAGGGUCGAAUUACACAGAAAUAUAAAACAGACAGUUUAUGACUCAAAACAAAAAUUCUAUAAAAUAGGGACAUAUGGCCGUGUGGAGGCCUACAUGCCCAUGUAGAGGAGACACAUGCUCGUGUGACCAAGUUACAUGGCUAUGUGAGUAGCCCAUGUAACACAUUGUCCAAAAGUGCCAAAAAAAAAGAGUAGAGGAGACGUGUGAAGAUCUCACACACCCGUGUGGCCAGGCCGUGUGGUACCAAAAAUUAUUGAAAACCCUAAAUUCCCAAUUGCACACAGUUGUGUACGGCACACGCCCAUGUGGCUGCUCGUGUGAUCACGAAACAUCACCGAAAUAGGCUGUAAAUUAUACUUUUGAUGUCUAAACGAUCCCCAACCCUUGGUAACCUAGAAUUAUGCCAAACAUACAGAAUUUCAUGCAAUUUAGUAACAAUAUGAUACUUCAAAUAACCAAUUUCAGAAACACAUAAGACAUUACCAAAUUCCACCGCAAUUCGAUACUGAAGUUAAACCGUUUCAGAACACACACCUUAGAACACGAUAUCAAGCACCAAGGACCAAUCGAUUCGCUCUCACCAAACUGUUCAAAAACUCGCUUCACCUUCGAUAAAAUGAAACACAUGAGGACAAUCAGUCUUGAUAGAAAACACGUAACAUGAGUGUAAAAUGGAAGAAACAAGAAAUCAAAAGAACUGAAAUUUGGUGAAAGAACCGAAAAAUAACAAAGGGAACAACAAAAAAAUAGGGAAAAGGAAAUGGAAAAGAAGGUGAAACUGAAAAACCUCCUCUUUCAAAUUUUAAAAGUAAAUCUUUAAAAAUUAAAAAGCAAAACCAAAAUAAAUUAAUUCCUCAAAACACACAUGAGGACUCAAACCCAAAACCCAAAGGUAAACUAACACACUCACCACCACCGAACCAGCUCAUUCUGACAUUAAAAUGUGAAAAUCCACUCAAUUGCUCGUCUUAUUCAAUCACCCUAACCACAACCUUAAAAAUGAAACCCAAAUUUUAGGUUAUUACAAUAACGUUCAUAUUUCAUGUAUUAUUAUUAAUUAGUUUUAACCAUACAUUUCAUUAUUUUUGUAUAUGAUUUUAAAAUAGACAUUUGUGUUCUAAAUUUGUGGUUUCCACUUGUAUACGUUUGUAAUAGAAUUUCUAGUUAUUAUUAUUUAAGUGUUUUACUGAGUUGGUAAAUUAUAGAAAUGGCCUUUCGUAAUUAAAAUAAGUUAUAUUAUUCGAUGGUAUUUUAGUCUUUUCAUUUUAACAAAAACCAAUAAUAUAUAUAGUGAGAUCUGAACCCCCACCAAUUGGAUUAAAAAACUAUUAAAUUUAUCACUUAACCAAAUGUUCAUUUUAAUAUUCUUCAUAUAAUUUUAUUUUAAUAUGCCCAAUUUGUUAUAUCCAUCAGUUGUAUACAUUAAUAAUGUUGUUAAUUGAGUUUGUGUCAUAAGUUAACUUCACACUAACUCACAAUAGAUAACAACACUCUACUUAAACAUAUAUGCAAUUGAGGAUACUCAAACAAUCUUAAACCGAAGCUUCUAGUGCUAACUGACUUAGCUAAACUAUCUACAAUUAAGUUCUCUUCUUUAGGUAAAUUUUAAAUCUUCCACUGCUUAAACAUAUUCAAGACUUGAAUUAUUCUCCUGAUUAGGGUAGAAUUAGAGUUUCUGGAAGAGUCAUUUUGACUAAUAUUAACGGCAUCAAUACUGUUAGUUUGGAUUGAGACUCUAUCGAAUCAUCUUUCCAGAAGAAGGUUUAACACAUCCAAGAUCCCCCAAAGUUUAGCCUCCUUCUUUGUGCAAUUACCUAAAUAUCGACAGAACCCAAUGAUCCACCCACCAUUAUGGUCACAUAUGUAACCACCAGCUGCUGCAAAACCUUCGUCAAGCCUAACCAAACCAUCUGUUCUCAAACAAACCUAACUAUUAGCUAAAGGUGAAGAGUGGAGAUAAUUGUGAAGCUUAUGAAAUGCAAUUUUGGAGAUAAAAAUGUAUUGCUUUGCCCAACUGAACGAAAAUUUAAGAAUCUCAUCAUUACUCAAAGAAAUUCCUUGAAAGGUAAGCAAGCUCCGAUUCUUCUAAAUAUGCCAAGAAUCGAUCCCAAAAAGGCAUGUCCAAUCCAUCCCAUCCAAAAAAAUGUUGAGAUAAUUAUGAUGGUUUUCUGUCAUCCAAAUAGGGAGGGAACUAUUGUAAAACCUUGAGAGUCUGUCAUUUGGAAUAAGUUUAUCCCAAAUAGUUUUUACAGCAAGGCAAUCUCUGAGUACAUGCAAUACAUCCUUAUAAUCCUGCCCACAAAACCCGCAAGCGCUGCUACUCCCAAUGCCUUGCCUCACCCUUUCAGCAUUCGUAAGUAUGCGUUGCUUAAGGGUGAGCCAUAAAAAGAAACAGAUCCAUUGAGGGCCUUUAAAUUUCCAAGGUAUCUCCAAUAGGUGUUCUUUCAAAUUCAAUAUAACUUUUCGAAUCUUCCCAUAUGCACUUUUAAGAGAAAAAGAACCAGUCAAAGUAGCUCCCCAAGUUAUUUUAUCAGGACCCAAAGAGGGGUGCGGUGGUGGAACACCUGUAAUUUUGUUAAUGAUCUCUUCUGAGACCCACAAUCUGAAAAGGUCCAAAUUCCAUGAUCUAUCACCUGCAGCCAUACUACUAAGAGGACAAUCCAUAUUAGGUUAGAAAGAGAUGGAAUCUGUAUAAAUAAGGGACCACUAUUUGGAACCCAAGGGUCGUGCCAACAUUGGUUACUAUUUCCAUCUCCAAUAGACCAUAAAAGGUUUUCGCUAAUGAAGGGUCAUACCUUAGAAAUGGAUCUCCAUAAAAAGGAGCAGCUUCGCCGUGCUAAACACUAUAUAAGGGCUCAACAUCAAUAUUAGGGUUCUUAAAACAUUGUUCACCUAUCUCAAGAACAUUGACAAUUGUUUCCUCUUUACCAUUCUUACCCUAACCAUCACCCAAGGUUAGAUUGAGUGAUUGAGACAAGGACACAAAAUCUUAUACUUGGCUUGUGCCAAAAGUAGUGCCAAUAAGUGAUGGCAUUGAUUCUUCAAUAAAGGUUUCAUGAGAUUGAGAAAGCUCCCUUGCUUGCUAAUCUUGCCGAGCUUUUUCUCAUAGUCAAAUUAAUAAGUGAUCUUAAUGUGUGCUAUUGAUAAGAAUCAAGAAUUUCAAUAAUCAAGAGACACUUGAAAGCAAAGGCGACUACGAAUAAGGAAGCUUUGAGAGACCAUGUUACUAUUAAAUUGGCGAGGAGAGUUUGUGAUAAGUUAUAACACAACCAAGGUAUUUAUAGGGUCAUGUUUCCUUAUACCCUUUCCUCUAAUAAAUUUCCCUCCAAGAAAGGAAAUUUGAUCAUCAAAGAUAUACUUUCCCUCCAUAAAUAAUGAUUGCAUGCAUGACUAUACCAACUAUAGAGCUUGAUCUCUGAAUUGCAAAACGACACCUAUAAUCGUCAUUCGGAUGCUUCCCAGAACAACUGCCAAAUGUUAGACUCAACACACCCAACUAAGUUCCUUAGCGCUUCGAACCUUGCUGCAUUAAGAGCCUUAGUAAGAGAUCAACAAGUUGAUUUUUAGUCUUCACAUACUACAAUUCGAUUAUACCAUUUUUCACAAGUUCACGAAUGAAGUUGUGUUGAAAAUCAAUGUGCUUAGUUAUAUAAUGCAUCAUAGGAUUUUUUGAUAUGUUAAUUGCACUUAAGUUGUCACAGUAGUCAGUGGCCUUUGGUAGUGCCAUUCCAUAGUCUGUCAUCAUUUGUUUCAUCCAAAGCAACUGUGCACAACAACUUCCAACUGCAAUAUAUUUUGCCUCAACUGUUGGCAAGAAUAUGGAAGAUUGCUUCUUAUUAUACCAAGAUACAAGAUUAGAUUGGUAAAAUAGCCUCCAGAUGUGCUCUUUCGAUUAGCUACAUUGCUUGCCUAAUCUGCAUCACUAUACCUAACCAAGAUCAUUGCACUAUCUUUCGACAUUCAUAUGACAAAAUCAAGUGUAUCAAGAACAUACAUGAUGAUGUGUUUUACAUCCUUUACACGUGCCUCUUUGGGGAUACCACAAACACCCACACUGAAGCUUAAAUGAGGCUUGCUUAUAGUCAGGUACAAUAAACUUCCUAUCAUACUCUAGAAAUAGUGGCACCCCUUUUACAUCUGUUAAUUUUCUUGCUUGGUGACAUAGGGGUCCGUGUUGGCUUAGCUAUUUCUAAUCCAAACUUCUUAAUUGAGUUCCUUGCAUACUUCCUAUAAUUUUUAUAGGUUAUAUUAAAACUAAAGAUUAAUUAGAAAAUAUAUUUACAAAAGCUUUGAAUGAAACUCGAGUUAAUCACAUUUAUGAUAAAGUGGGCAUGAUUAAUAUCUAUACCCUAAUACAGUGAAUAUGAGCUUCACAUACAUACUAAUACAUACCUCACACAACCGCAUUCACUUAUAAAGGAAAAAAAUAGAGAAAAAAAAGCAGAAAUAGACAUCGAAUGAUCCCCAUUCAUUAUUUACGUAAUUCCCUACUGACAAUACUAUUUACAGUUAACCAUGUUUGAGAGCUUCCUUAACAAAUCUGUCAAAAUCAAUGUAAGAUAAUCCCCCAACUUCAACAGCUUCUUCGGCUUUCUUCUUCCAUUCCAAUGCCUUCUCUUUCUUUUUCUUUCCUUCCUCACCUUCCAUCAUUUCUUUAACUAAAAACUCUAUGUUUUCUCGCUUUACAUCAUGAUCCACCUCCAUGCUAAUGCCCCAAUGAGUACAAGCAUAUCGAUCAUUGGUUUGUUGAUCAGCAAAAAAUGGCCAACAAAUUACUGGCACGCCUCCUGAUAUGGUUUCCAUGGUAGAAUUCUACCCACAAUGCGUCAAAAAAACACCAACUGAAGGAUGUGAAAGAACCUGAUAUUGGUUGCACCAGCUUGUUAUCAACCCUCUAUCUUUAUCUCCUCGAGGAACUCUUCAUCCAGAAUUGCAGAAUCACCCAUCACGAUAUCUGGUCUAAGGAUCCAUAAAAAUGGUGCUUAGAGUUAGCCAAUCCCCAUGAAAAUUCCUUGAGAUGCUUCUCCGAUAUGACAGUAAUGCUUCCAUAGUUUACAUACGCAACUGAAUUGGGUUCCCUUUUGUUAAGCCAUUCAAUGCAGCUUGUAUCUUCUUUCCAUAGGCUUGAGUUCAUUGACUUGGACGGGUCAUCAUGUAUGUGCCUAGCAAGCAAAUGAAGUGGUCCUAAUGUAUAAACUCCAGGGAAUUUGGCAGCGAUUGCUUUUAACACUUCAUGUUCCAACUCUUCAAAUGUGUUGAAGAUGAUUGCUGGAGCAUUUAGGCAAUUUGUGCUUCGGAGCUCAAGAAAUCAAACAUGAUAUCAUUUGGAUUGUUGGCUCCUAUAAAGCUGGGGAGAUCUCUGAAGUGAAUGUUACUCAUUCCAGGGACCUAAUCGAUAGGUUUAUCAAGAGUUCCAUCACUGAGAAAAGUUUCAUCUGACAUAUACAGAAAAGAAGGGUCAAAAUUUUAGUUAUUUUUAGACCAUGUCAAUAAGGACCUACCCUACAAGAGGUGUUAAACAUGCCAAUACUUUGAACACUAUUAGUGUUUUGAUGGUGAGGGGUACUAUUAGAAGGUUGAGGGAGUAAAGUGAAAGCUGAGCCAACAACAUUGGCAUAUUUAAUUUUAGUAGGAUGUUUUUGUAUGUUUUGGCUAAAGAUUUAUUGAAAUCUUAUUUUGACAAUAUAUCAAAAAAAAGAGAGAGAAAAAAUAAUAGAAAAUAAACAUAAUAUGUAGAGCAUAUAUUAUGUAGAUAAUUAAAUUUGUAUAUUGAAAAUGAAAUUAAAAAAAAACUUUCAAAUAAUCAAUUGAAGUACUAGAGAAAAUGAAUUGAAGUAGAAUGUGUUAGAAACAAUAAAUUUUAUUUUAUUUUAAUAGAUUAAUACCCAAACCAAAAUAAAUUUAGACUAAUUUUGUCUAAAUCUUUUUUUGACAUUUUCAUAUACAUGAAAAAAUAUCUUUCCCACUAAAUCACAUUGUCAUAUUUAUGAGAAAGUAAUUCUCUAACACAAAAUUAAAUUCCAAAGAAGGUAAAUAAAUUUUGAAAAACCAAGAAUUAGAAUAAAAUUUCAAGUGAUUAAAAUCUGAAGAAAGUACUCACUAUCCAUCGUACCAAAUUCUACUUAGGUGUACUUGGUAAAGAAGAUGAAAAAAUUGAAAGAAAAAAAAUCCAUUGCUUAGGUAGAGUUGAAAAAUGAGAAAGAAGAAAAUAUUUUUUUUUUGAAAAACACAAUUUUGAAGUAAUAUAUAUAUUUCAUUUUCUCUCCUCUUACCAUUUCAACUUGGAAUUAUUUGUUUUUAUGCAUUUGUUUUUAUUUCUUUGUUUGGUAGAGUUGAAAAAGGAAAGAAGAAAAUAAAACAUUUGAAAAAUGUAUAAUUUUGAAUUAAUAUACGAGGAAGGAUCCUAUGGAACUGUGAUUCCAUGCCAUCCCUAUCUUUUUUAAAUAAGAGAAUGACAAAUUAGAUUUUUCCUUAUGAUAUUUAGCAUUUUUAGUUUGAUUUGAAUUUUUAAGGAGAAAAAAAGCUAAUUUGUCAUUCUCCUAUUGGAAUCCCUUCUCUUAAUAUACAUCUCUUUCAUUCUCAUUUUCUCUUCUCUCAUCAUUAUUAUUUGAAAUGAUUGAUUUUUAUAUAUUAUAAUAUAAAGUGACCUUUUUCUAAUUUCUUUCCUACUAAGCAUUCUCAACUUUUAUUUUCUUUUCCAUUUUUUCACUUCCUACUUUCACCCCUUUAUAUUCUCACUCAAGCACACUCUAAGUUCUAAGGAGAGAGGAUUCCAAGCAUGGUUGAUUGAUCGAGACUGGAAAAAAGUACUUACUUUGGAAUGGAAAAAUGCCUCAUUUAAGCAGUUCACUGAAUUGAAUAUAUCCCAUGAAACUACAAGCUGAGGCAGUCCAAAACUAAACUUUUGGUAUACCAAGUAAUUCAACAACCUUAAUAGCAAAGCUCAUAACUCCAUCUGAAAUUAUGCAAGUAACAGUGGGCACAUGGGGUGAGGAGUUUAACUUAGCUAGUAGCUCUAAAAAUGGUGCCAAGCAAUUCCUUCGUACUGGAUCAUUUAGAACUGAAACAUCCUGUGUUGCAUCACGAUCGGACGGUGGUAGCUUGUUUGGGAUUGUUUCAAACUGAAAAUUAGGCAGACCCAUGACUGUAACACCCCAAACCCGGCCUAGAUGUUAUGACCACAUUCAGAGAUGUCUCAAAGAAGGGUUUUUGAAAAAUGAGUUGUUUCGAUAAAUCAUUCAAGUUUUGCAACUCUUAUUUGUUUAUAACCAUUAUCGAAAGCAUUGUUUAAUUAAUUUGUUUGCCAAAACAUAAAUUAUAGCGAAAGUCACGAAAACGUUAUAUUUGGAAAUCCCGAUCGUAUUUUUCAGAAAACUUUUAUUUUAGUAAAAAUGAUGUUUUUAGCAAAUCGUCUCAAAUAAAGUGUUAAAUCAAAAAUUCCAAACCUUAAAAUUAAACCAAACCGUCCAAAGAGUCUAAUUAUUACAGAACUCCCAGAAAUAAACUUUAAAUUAAAUAAAAAUCAAAAUCUUAAACAGUUACGAACUCGUGGUCACGGUGAGGCUCCAUCACACCGAUCCGCUUAAGUUCGUGGAUUACCUGAACAGAACAGACAAAUAGAUUUGAGUUUUCAUAAACUCAGUGUGUAACCCAAAAAAAAUAGACAUGCCAUUCAUAUAAAUAUCACAUACACAGUCAAAUUCAGAUUCAGAUUCAAAUUUGGACUUAAGUCCUUUUCAGAUACAGAUAACAUAAUCAAAUAUGCAGAAUAGAUAUACAGAAUCCUAGCCACAUCCUCUACACACCAACUCUGACCAUCCCAUCACACCUUGUGGGGUUAAAAAAACAUUCACUCAUCUCUACACACCAUAUCGUGUCAUGACAACACAUAUCAGAUAAUAUGCAACCAAGCUGCCAUAAUAUAGGUGAAGGUUGCCAUACAGAUCACUUCCUCUACAUAAUCAAUUCCCACCCCAAACGUAUAUACAGAAUACAAAUACAUAAAUAUCAUGCUUGCAUGCUAAUAUACAAAUAACAUAUAAAUAUAUACAUAACAUAUUAGUUAGGCAUGCAUAACAGUGUCCUACUCAAAGCAGACUAUCGGAAUAUCAAAUCACGUAAUUUAGGGUUUGAUUAGCCCUUAUUGACCCUACGGUAGGCCCACAGUUAAUUGGAGCGACCCGUGCGAACCUAGGGAAAAUUUUAGAAAUAUAGGCCCAUAUGCCUGUGUGUCCCACACAUCUAGAUUAACCUUGUCCUUAUAGCCCACAUGGCUUGGCUCAAGACUUACACGCCCGUGUGGGCCACACACCUAACUUGGCCUUGCCCGUGUGGCCCACAUGGCCACACUCACACCACCACAGGGCCGUCUCUUGCGCACGACCAUGCCCUUGUCAAACACACCAGCACCUAACUUACCAUCGCAAAAAUGGCUACAUGUAGUAAGCUAAACCGUUGGAGUGACAACCACUGCCUCAUUGCCUUCUCCUACACAACAGAAUUAAUUGAUUACUCACCAUUUAUUGACUAUUAUAACAUUGCCCACAAUUCCAAAAGUCAAUCGUUAACAAAAAACAAAACUUCACUUACCAAGCCGAUUAACGAACCCAAAAAAAAUCACAGUAGCAACAAUUAAAUGAGAAAAACAACAGUAAUCAGAAGAAGGAAACAAAAAAUUGAAAGUGGAGGACAAGGAAGGAGAGAAAAAAACGUUAGGAAAGGAAGUUUUGGGAAAAAGAAAACAAAAAUUAAAAAAAAUUAGAAAUCUGAUAACCUCUUUAAUUUUUCUCCUACUAACCCACUAACUCACAACCACCUCAGAAUUGUAGCUCUACCAAAACUCUAUCAGUCAACCGAACAAAAAUUAACACCCUCACUCACGCAAGGAUUCAAAUACAUGACCUCUAACACAAUAACCCUUUACCACUUGAACCAGCAGACUCAUUCUAAUAUGGGUUAACAGACAACUUAUAUAAGCCCAUUCAACAAUGAUAAGGCUAGGAUUAGAAAAUUCACAAAAUUUGCAAAUGUGGGACUUGAACCCAAAACCUCAUACACACACCCAAAACACUUAACCACUAAAUUAAAUACACACUUGUGUCAUGUAUUUACAGAAACAAAAAUAAAUUAAGUGGGGCGUUACAGCUCUACCCCUAAAAGAAAUUUUGACCUCGAAAUUUACCUAAUCCGGAUAGAUGAAGAUACUGCUGACGCAUCAAGUCCUUAGGUUUCCACGUGGCUUCCUCAGUGCCAUGAUUCCGCCACAAAACCUUUACUAAUGGAAUAGACUUUCUCCUCAGAUCCUUUACAGCACACUCUAAAAUCUACACUGGUUCCUCCUCAAAAGUCAAAUCCGGUCUAACCUUGAUCUCCUCAACAGAGACAAUGUGAGGUGGAUCAGACAGAUACUGCCUCAACAUUAAGACAUGAAACACAUAAUGGAUACGGUCCAACUCUGGAGGUAGCUUCAACUGAUAAGCGACCGGUUCCACAUGCUUCAAAAUUCGAUAAGGCCCAAUGAACCUAGGGCUCAACUUUCCCUUACGAUUGAACCUCAGAACUUUCUUCCACGGUGAAACCUUAAGAAAAAUGAAGUCACCCAUAGAGUACUCAAUAUAUCUCCUCUUUAGAUCUGCAUAGACUUCUUACUAUCAGAAGCUGCCUUUAGAUAAUCCCGAAUCAGUCUAACCUUAUUUUCGGUCUUAGAAACCAACUUAGGACCCAAAAUCUGUCGCUCACCCAACUCAGUCCAACAUAGCAUAGUACGACAGUUACGACCAUACGAAGCCUCGUAAGGUGCUAUCUGGAUGCUAGACUGGAAACUGUUAUUGUAGGCGAACUCAGCUAACGGCAGAAAAUCCUCCCAACUACCUCAAAAAUUUAUCACAAACCUCUGAAGCAUAUCCUUCAAUAUCUAAAUCACCCUCUCAGAUUGACCAUAGUACUGAAGUCUAAUAUCGAACCCAGAGUCUCAUGUAGUUUCUUCCAAAACUGAGAAGUGAAGCGAUAAUCUUUAUAAAAAAUUAUCGAAACAGGUACCCUGUAAUAGGCCAAUUUUGGCCUGGCCCAAUAUUAACCAAAUUAAAAAAACCAAUAAAAAUAAUAAAAUAACCGUCUAUUUAUAAAGUCCAAUAACAUGUCCAAAUUACAAAAGCCCAAAAUAAUAAAAACCAAUACAAUCCUAGACCCAACUAAAGCCCAGUUUGCAGCCCGCAACACUAAAAAACAAACAGAAACCCUAGCCUUCAACCUUCAGCCGCCGCUCCUGCCCUUCGCGUGCACCAGCCUCUUGCCUCAGCCGCACGUGCGCCUUCACUCCGGCUGGCCUCGCACCUGCAACAAACAAGCAGAAAAGAGCACACUGGAAAGCUAAUUUUUGUAUUUUCAUUCGGAUAUAUAAAGCUAAUUUUUGCAUCUGUAAAUGGAUUCACGAAUUAAUAGAAAAAUAUUUAAUAUCACAAGCAGAGAUCUUAUAAUACAAAAAAGAUAGAUUUAAGGUAGAUAUUUGGUUUUUUUUCUCUUCUUCUUUGUUUCGAUUCAUUUAAAAAAAUAUAUAGUAAGAAUUAAGAAAAAGAAAAGGGAAGCCUUACCUUGCAACGCCUUCAGAACCAUGCGAAAAGGAGCUAAAAAGCCCUUUAUGGUGCAGCUCCAACCACCGUUCACGGUGGAAUCGCGACGGAGGCAUGGAGGAUUAGCCUCAGUUUAGGAAACCCUAGCAGAGGAAAAAAAUAAGGUUGAUAGUUUUUCUUUAAAUAAAUGGCAUAAAGUGAUUUAAUUUUUUUUAUUUUAUAAUAGGUACGAAACGGUGUCAUUUAGGGCCUAUUUCAGUAGCCUCAAAACGGCGCCAUAUAAGGCAUGACUCACGCGGUGACCAGACCCACAGGGAGGAUCCGCGUGCUUUUGAUUAAGGGGCAAUUUGCGCAUCUGGCCCCUCCGCAUUUUUAAUUAUUUUAAUUUAGUUUUUUUUUAUUUUCUUUAAUUGAUACUUUAAAUUUUAUUUGGUUUCUGAUUUGGUCCUGGUGAAACGGCGCGUCUUAAAGGGUGGGGAUAUUUCCCCAUUCGGUCCAUUUGAGUUAUUCGCGCCUUUCAAUUGGGUCUUUUAUUUUAUUUAUGUUUUUUCCCUCUAAUUUUGUUUUAAAUCCAAUUUAAUCCUUAUUAGUUUAGUUUAAUGUUUUUAAUUUAUUUAAAUGUAUAUUCUUUCAUUUAUUUAAAUAUAUUUAAUUUUAAAUCUAAUUUAAUGAUUAAGCUCAAUUAUUAUUUUAAAUUUAUUAUUAACAUUGUUUAAAUUUAUCAUAUAUUAUUACUUUAAUUUCCAUCUAUUAUUUUAUAUAUUCUUUUAUGUAAUUUUCAAUAUAAUUUUUAUUUUUUAAUGGUUUUAUUUUAUAAUACAUUUUUUAAGAUUCACUUAUAUAUAUAUUUCUUUGCUUUAAAGAUUUAUACGAUAAUAUUCUUACAUAAUAUAAUUUUAUACAUAUAUACAUAAUUUAUAUUAAACUAUUUUUAUUAUACAUAUAUACAUACAUAAUAUAUUAUUGAUUUCAUAUUAUUAUUAUUUUUACCUAUUUUCAUAUAUAUAAUUUAUUUCUUUUAAAGACCCUAUUUUAUUAUAUUUUACUUAUUUCAACUUUUUGCAUAUAUUAUUAUAUAUAUUAUUAUCUAUUUUGAGUUUUUCAUUCCAUAUAUAUUACUUAUUUAGAUUAAUAUAUAUACUACUUUGUAUAUUAUUUAUUUUUGAUUUUCUUCUUAUUUAAUAUUCACUUUAAAAUUCGUUUAUAUAUUACUAUUACAUAUAGUAUUUAUUUUUAACUCUAUUUUUGAUUUAUUUCAAACUUUCGUAUAUAUCAUUUAUUUUAAAAUUUUUGUACAUAUACUUUAUUGAUUUAUAAUUUCCCUUCUUUCAUGCCAUUCGUUUCUUUAGUUUUUUUAAAACUUGUACAUUUUGUUUGUGUUUGUGUUUGUGUUAACUUGUGUGGUGUCUUUCUUUUAAUUAGUUUUUUUUAACUAGCUUUUAAAUAUUAAUGCUAGUAUUUACAUAAUUAUAUUAUGUGAGAUUAUUGCUAUUAUGUGUAUUAUAUUACUUAUUUAUAUUUAUUGAUUAUUUGUCGUUCAUUAGACUACUUUUUGGUUUAAAAAUUAUCACUCCGCGUUGUACAUUAUCAUUCUAUCGCAUUCUAUUCGCUUAAAAGGUUAUGUUUAAUAUCAUUUAAGUAUCGAAAUCAUUUUAUUCAAAAGCUUUCAAGAUAACGCAAUACUCGAUAUUUGAGAUCUUCGAGAAGAUUGAGCCCUAACUUAUUGGGUUUCAAUUUUCCUCGUUGAAUCUAAGUAAUCGAGUAUCUUUUUUAAUCAAAACAUAUAAAUAAAAAGCUUAUUCUCGGGAAUUCGAUACGUGGUGUCCUAACUCAUUGGAUAUGACAUGUUGUUCUCUUGAGAUGAGGAUUUUUUUUAAAAAUAAAAAAUAAAAACAAUAUUCUAUGUUUGGAAUUUUAAGAAAUUGUGCCCUAACUUACUGAGCUUCGAUUUUCAGCUGACUUAAACAAUUGAAUAUCCUUUUUAAACUUUACUGCAUGAGUUCAAAAAAAAUCAAAAGACAAGCUCAUUUUCAAGGAUGUGAAACAUCACAUCCUAACUCAUUGGAUGUGACAUUCUAUCUCCCGAAAUAAGAGGGUCUUAGCAUGCAUUUUGAUUUAUACAAGUUUCUUUUUAAAUAAAAGGAUCGCAUUUUUAAUCUUUUCAAGUGUUCAACAUUCGACAUUAAGACAUUAAUUAAUCAAUCAGGUACCAAUUUUGGGUGUUACGAGGGUGUUAACCCUUCCUCGUGUGUAAUUGACUCCCGAACCCGUUUUUUCAAAUUUCGUAGACCAAAAUCGUUUUCAAGAUGAUCCGAUCACAUCUUAAUAAAAGAUCGGUGGCAACUCCUAUUUUGUUAUUUAAUUUUAAAAGUCAACCCCUUUUAUUAAAAAAAUGGUUUCGACAAACCCCAUGCAGUCUUACAAUCUUGGAGAUAUAGAGCUUCGCUAACUUCUGCAGAGAGUAGUCCGUCCGAACCGGAAUAAAAUGAGUGGACUUGGCCAAUUGAUCACGGUGACCCAAACAGACUCCUUCUUUGUAGGUGUCAAGGGCAACCCACUAACGAAGUCCAUUGUCACUCGUUCCUAUUUCCAUAAAGGAACCUUAACAGGUGGAAGCAAACCCGAAGACAACUGGUGCUUAGCCUUAACCUACUGGCACGUCAGACAAUGAACAAUAAAAUCCAUAACCUCACGUUUAAAACUCGACCACCAGUACAGUUCACAGAGAUCCCGAUACAUCUUAUUGCCACCAAGAUGCACAGCAUAAGGGCUACUAUGCACCUCUAUCAAAAUCGACUGUCUCAUAUCAGAAUCAUUCGGUACACAAACUCGACCUCAAAAACACAAAACCCCAUCUUUUUUCAGCCCAAAAUCUGAAGUACUGCCACUCUCAACCUGUCGAAAUUGCUGAACCAAGGACUCAUCCCCCAACUGCCUUUCUCGAUUCUGCCCAAUCCAAGUUGGCUUAACUUGUAACACGGCUAACAGACCCCCAUAAUCAAACAAGCUAAGACGAACGAAGAUCUUACAACUAAAGGUAUUGGCCACCGCAUUGGCCUUAUCAGGAUGAUACUCUAUUGUGCAGUCAUAAUCUUUGAGCAGCUCAAUCCAUUGAUGUUGUCUAAGAUUCAACUCCUUCUGAGUAAGGAGGUAUUUGAGGCUCUUAUAAUCAGUAUAGAUAAUACACCUCUCACCGUACAGAUAGUGCCUCCAGAUUUUUAACGCAAAAACCACAGCAGCCAAGUCGAGAUCAUGCGUCGGUUAACUCACGCAACCAGAACUCAUACUUGCUCAACUUAGUGUAGAGCUAUUUUUCUCGGAGUAUCUGAAGCACUACUCUAAGAUGCUCAUCAUGCUCGUCCUCAGUCUUAGAGUAAACCAGAAUAUCAUCGAUCAAAACCACAACGAAUUGAUCUAGAUACGGCUGAAAGACUCAGUUUAUCAAAUCUAUAAAUGCAGCUGGUGUAUUCGUCAAACCAAAUGGCAUAACUAGAAACUCGUAAUGCCCAUAACGAGUCCUAAAUGCAGUCUUAUGAACAUCAACUUCCUUAACUCUAAGCUGAUGAUGCUCAGAUCAGAGAUCUAUUUUUGAGAACACAGAAGCCCAUCGAAACUGGUCAAACAAAUCGUCGAUCCUCGAAAGUGGAUACUUAUUCUUCACAGUCAGCUUAUUCAAUUACCGACAAUGAAUAUACAUCAUCAUGGUCCCAUCAUUCUUUUUUACAAACAGAACUGGUGCCCCCCACGAAGACACACUAGGGCAGAUAAAACCAUGAUCUAGAAGCUCUUGAAGUUGAGCUUUAAGCUCUGUAAGCUCCUUCGGUGCCAUACGGUAGGGAGCGAUAGACACCGGAGCUGUACCCGAUAGAAGCUCAAUGCCGAACUCAACUUCUUGACUUGGAGGUAAACCCGUUAACUCCUUAGGAAAGACAUUCGAAAAAUCUCUCACCAUUUUUAUAUCCCCGAUAGAAGAUUCCUACAGACUGAAACACUGACGAAAGCCAUAUACGUCUCACACCAUUUUCGAACCAAUUUCUCAGCCACAAGAGUAGAGAUCACAUUGGACAGAUAAUCUCGACGCUCUCCAAUCACAACUACCUCCUUAUCAUCCUCGGUCAUCAUAACAACCCUCUUAGUUGGCAAUCUAAGCUAAUUCUGUGCUCAACUAACAAGUCCAUACCCAAAAUUACAGCCCCUUACGCUUCUAAUGAAACAUUUCUAUAAAGUCUAUUAACCCGAACAGACUGCCCUAACGGACGUAGUACAGUAAUCUCACUAGAAGUACUCUCAACAAAAAUCCCCAGGUUUUUAGAAACAGUACUAGCUACAUAGGAAUGUGUAGAUCCUAUGUCUAUCAGAGUAGUAUAAGAAACAUCAAAAAUAAAGAAUACCGGUGAUAACAUUAGGAGCGUUUCUAUCCUCUCAGCGUGAAGCAGCAUAAACCAGUGCAGGUUACCUUGCCUCAGCUUGACGAGCACCUCUGCCCAGUGCUCUCUGCCAUCGGCCCAAACCAUUACCAUCCCUAACUGAUCCACGACCCCUAGGUGGCUGCUGAACUACCCUCUAAGGUUGUACAGAACCUAGUCUCAAUGUUUGUAUCUGAUCCAUACACUGUGGACACUCUCGAAUCGGAUGCUCCAAAGACCCACACCUUAGACAAGCUUCUAAUCUCCUCCAAUACUUGCCCGGGUGACAAACUCUCACUCCUUCUGUGGAGUAAUCAAUACCCUCAGAUUAUCCCUCAAGCCAUCCUCAAAACAGACGCAUUUCUCAUACUCAGACGCCACCAUUCCUCGAGCAUAGCAGCUCAACCUUAGAAACUCAGCCUCAGAUCUAUUACCUUGCGUGAGAUUCAUGACCUCACGCCUAUGAGUAUGUACAUAGCUCGCGCACACAUACUUCCCCUAAAAAUCAGUAUUGAAUAAGUCCCACUACAGACGAUCUGACUGAGUACCCUCCUCAACUGAUAACCACCACUGAUAUGCCUCAACCGAUAACCUUAAGUUUCUACUCAAAAGUACAGCCAAUAUCGUUCAUGGUCCUCUCGAUGGCCUCCAACCAAUACUCAUUCAUAGUAGGGGUGACUCUAGUGACACCCGUAAAUAGCUCAACUCUAGUGGACAAGAGUCGUUCAGUUAUCGACCCACAGCCUCCAAAUCUAGAAUGGGGUCUAGCGACUCUAUCCAACACCCUCAACAUGGCUUGGGAUAGUGCGUCAUCCCCAGCUGAGCGGUUUUGGGACCCAGUCUCAGUAGCAAGUGAAAUCGGUGUCUCACUCAUGUCUAAAUUUGGCAUACUGCCCAAAGAGAAAGACUCAGCUCGAGCCCCCUACGGCCUCUACCAUGCCCACGAAUACCACGACCGCGAGUUCUACAAGCACUCAUUAUAUAUUUUAAAAUUUAUCUACAUUAUAAAAUUUUAUGUAUCAGUUCUAGUAUUUAUUAGCAGAUAUUUUAUGCGUAAAUUAUUAGAAGUUUAGAAAUGUUUUCAGAGGUUUUAGUCUCUAACUAAAUCAGUACAGUUUCAGAAAGUACUAACUAUAGUGUUGUUAAAAUAUUCUAUCUAAGUUCAGAAAUACUUACAAGAUCGACACCGGAGACUCGGUGUACCACGUACUUUCUCAAAUUAUCCAAAAUAUUUGAAAAUCAGUUCUUUUUGAAACACAAUUUUGGAACCCAAAAUUCACAGCAUGAGUUUUACAACCUGGCUUUAAUACCACUAAAUGUAAUACCCCAAACUUGACCUAGACGUUAUGGCCAUAUCUAGAGAUGUCACAAAAAAGGGUUUUUUGAAAACUGAGUCGUUUCGAUAAAUCAUUCAAGUUUUGUAACUCUUAUUCGUUUAUAACCAUUAUCGAAAGUGUUGUUUAAUUAAUUUGUUUUUCAAAACAUAAAUUAUAGUUAAAGUCAUGAAAACGUUAUAUUUGGGAAUUCCAUUCGUAUUUUUAGAAAACGUUUGUUUUAGUAAAAAUUAUGUUUUUAGCUAAUCGUCUCAAAUAAAGUGUUAAAUUGAAAAUCCCAAACCCCAAAAUUAAGGCAAACCGUCCGAAGAGUCCAAUUAUUACAAAAAUCCCAAAAAUAAACCUUAAAUUAAAUAAAAAUAAAAAUCUUAAACAGUUACAAACUCGUGGUCACCGUGAGGCUCCAUCACACCGAUCCACCUAAAUCCAUAGAUUACUUGAACAGAACAGACAAACAUAUUUGAGUUUUUGUAAAUUUAGUGUGUAACCCAACAAAAAUAGACAUGCCAUUCAUACAUAUAUCACAUACACAGUCAAAUUCAGAUUCAGAUUUAGAUUCAGACUUAAGUCCUUUUCAGAUAUAUAUAACAGAAUUAGAUAUGCAAAACAGAUGUACAAAAUCCUACCCACAUCCUCUACACAGUAACUUCGACCAUCCAAUAAUACCUUUGUGGGGUUAAAAAAACACCCACUCUUCUCUACACACCAUAUCGUGUCAUUACGGCACAUAUCAGAUAAUAUGCAGCCAAGCUGCCAGAAUAUAGGCAAAGGUCACCAUACAGAUCACUCCAUCCACAUAAUCAAUUCCCACCCCCAAACAUAUAUACAAAAUACAGAUAUAGAAAUAUCAUACUUACAUACUCAUAUAUAGAUAAUAUAUAAAUAUAUACAUAACAGAUUAGUCAUGCAUGCAUAAUAGUGUCCUACUCAAAGCAUACUAUCGAAAUAUCAGAUCGCAUAAUUUAGGGUUUGAUUAGCCAUUACCGACCCUACGGUAGGCGUACAGUCGAUUGGAACGACCCGUGUGACCUUAGGAAAAAAUUUGGAAAUAUGGGUCCAUAUUUCCGUGUAGGCCCACAUGCCCAAAUUGGCCUUGCUCGUAUGUCCCACACGGCCUGGCCUAAGACUCACAUGCCCGUGUAGCCCACACGCCCAACUUAGCCUAGUUCGUGUAGCUUACACGACCACAUUAACACCACCAUACGGUCGUGUCUUGUGCACAGCCAUGCCCUCGUCAAACACAGAGCCGUGUCUCGCACACGACCAACCACAUGGCCAGGCACAUGCCCGUGUGGCGUCAACAGUAUGGUUUUUUGGCUUUCGCUGAAGCUCAAUUUUUUUACAUUUUGGGAACACACCUGAUUCAAUUUUGAUGCAAAAGUACUCCCGAGACCACUAGAACCUAAAACCAGAAUGCCGAACACCUUUUAGCAACCAAUAUCUAGUUCACAAAAACUAAAUCGAUCAACACCCAAAAAAACUUACCGCCGAAAAAAUGAUCACACACAGUAAGCUAAAUUGUUAGAGUGACAACCACUGCCACAUCGUCUUUUCCUACACAACAGAAUUCAUGAAUUACUCACCAUUUAUCAGCUAUCAUAACAUUGCCCACAAUUCCACAAACCAAUCAUUAACAAAAAACAAAAAUUCACUUACAAAUUUGAUUAACGAACCCAAAAAAAAAUCACAAUAGCAACAAUUAAAUGAGAAAAAUAACAGUAAUCAGAAGAAGGAAACAAAAAAUUGAAAGCGGAGGACAAGGGAGGAGAGAAAAAAAGUUAGAAAAAGAAAUUUUGGGAAAACGAAAAGAAAAAUGAAAAAAAUCAGAAAUCUGAUAACCUCCCUAAUUUUUCUCCCACUAACCCACUAAAUCACAACCACCUUAUAAUUUUAGCUCUAUCGAAACUCUAUCAGUCAACUGAACAAAAAUUAACACCCUCGCUCACUCAAGGAUUCGAGCAUAAGACCUCCAACACAACAGGCUUAUUUUGAUAUGGAUUAAUAAAUAAUUUAUAUAAGCCCAUUCAACAAGGAUAAGGCUAGGAUUAGAAAAAUAACAAAAUUUGCAAAUGUGGGACUUGAACCCAAGACCUCACACACACACUCAGAACACUUAACCACUGAAGCAAAUACACAAUUGUGUCAAGUAUUUAUAGAAACAUAAAUAAAUUAAGCGGGGCGUUAUGUUGACAGAAUGUAAGUGCUUAGCCAGUUACAUCAUGGGGCUAACAUGGCCUUGUGAUGGAUAUGGAACGCAUACAGUAUGGGGUUUUGUGGUUUCAACGGAACUCAUCUUAACAAAGCAAUAAAAAAAUUUAGAAAAUUAAGGUCAGGGAAAAGCUUUCCUUGUUUGCUAGCUUCAAUGAAGCUUGAGGAUUACGUAGGCAUAUUUAUAUAUCUUUAUAUAUAUAUGCUGAAAAAAAUUGAAAAAAUGUGUAAUUUUUUUAAAAUUUACCAAUUUAGAUAUGCUUUUCGAGAGAAAGAAUAAUGCAUCCUAUAGGACAUGUUUUUAUUGAAAAUUAAUAACUCAGAUAUUUUGGGCAGAUGGUUAAAUGUUGGUAUUUUUGUCUUUUAGUCAUAGGUUUGAUUCCUUUCUUACUCACAUCUAUAUUUUUUUUAUUUGAUGUUGUUUUUGUUAUGAAUAUCUUAUUAAGUGAAUGUCUAUCAUGAUCAAGAUAAAGUUUUGAUGAACUUUAAAUUCUAAUAGUUAUUAGAGUUAGAUCUCUACUUCUUUUAUACUUUUUAUACCUAUAAAUAGAGACUUUAAUUAAGCAUUGUAAUCAUCCCUUUGAUUAAUAAAGUACAUUCUCCAUUGCUUUCAUAUUUUCUUUGUCUUUCAUUCUCUCUAUCUUUCUUUAUUUUAUAACAUGUUAUCAGCACGAUGACUUUCUAUUUUUUAAAAAUCUUUUGAAGUCGUCCCAUAAAUCAAAUUUAUUUUCACCUUAAACUUUCUCCCUUACAACUUCAUCUUUAAGAUGUUGAAAGAUUUAAUCUCAGAAUGGGUUGUGGUUCUUAUUCCCAAUCUUUGAUUUAUAAUUAUACAAGCAUGGGGAAAGAAUAGAUUUGUGCUCAUGACAAUAGUCAGGGUGAUGACGAUGAUGUUAAAAAUCUUAAGGUAUAUUUUACUAUGUUUUAUUUAUUAUAUAAUGUUUAUUAUAAUUGGAGACUAAUCAUGAUAAUAUGAAUUGGUAGAUUUUGCGAUGGUGAUUAUGAAAUAAAGAUUCUAUUGGGAUGUUUAUAAGUUCAUCCUGCUAGAUUUGUUGCAUUCCCCGAAGUGAAUGUAAACAUAAAGAAAAUAAAAGAUAUACUCAUGGACCACUAAAAGUGGGAAAAUAGUAAUAAAUAAGAAAACAAUGAGAGUUCUCAAGAAAAAUUUUCAAAGCAUAAAGAUAACUUAUGUUAUCAAUGUGAAAUGAAAGAUUAUUGGUCACAUAUGUGGUGUAUGCCCAAAUAUUUUGUCUCUGUUAAUAUUCUUUAAGGAAGGAUAUGAGGAUGUAGUAAUGAAUUUUAUCAUUACAGAUAGAAAAUAUUUAUCUUAUUUGGCACUAAAAUAAACAAAUAUAUUCCAAUAUUUGAUAGUACAAAAUUAGUUGAAAGCUCCAGAAGAGCUAAUAUAUCAAUAUCUAAAAAGCACAAAGUUUGUGAUGGUUAAUGCAUUAGUUUUAAAAGAUAUUCAUAAUGGAUCUCAUAUUGAGAUUGUGAAUGAGAAAAAUAUUAUAUUUCAUAUGAAUCAAAAGAGGAUUGUGUUAUUUAUAUUUUGAAUCGAACUCGGGACCUCUUGCACUUUAAGUGAGAAUCAUACCACUAGACUAAAUGCCUUAUAUUUGAAGAUUUUGACAUAUUACCUUAAGCGAAUAUUACAUAUAAUUCACUACAGCAAAAUAGGAUUUUAGUGGCAUUUUUUAUGCCUAUAGCACCGUUAAAACUACCGUUCUUUAGUGGUGUUUUACUAAAAACCCCACUAACUUUGGCAGAUUUCAAACAUCCAAUUUUCAUCCAUAGGCAACCCUUCCUGUAACAUGGAAACCAACCAAAAACAACAAAUCUGAUACUUCAAAUUCAACGAAUGAUAUAUUAUAUAAAUUGAUAAAUGAAGUAUAAUUCAAAUUAUUCUUACAGUAAUGUUAAAAGUUAAGAUUUUAAAAAUAUUCAUACAAUAGUUUAAGAUGGCAGAUUUUGCGAUUGCUGAAACAUCUUCAUCAUAUUCUAAAGCUGUAGUUAGAGUGCGUCCUACUUUUUGCUCUACUCUGUUUCCCUCGCUGUUGCCUCUGCUUUAAGUUGUAGUUGGAGUUCUUCAUAUUUUCUUUGAACCUAAGCUUCUCUCGAUGCUGCCUCCGCUUUAAGUUGAGUAAUUUGCUCAACUGUUGUCGCUUGCAUCUGAGCCAACUAGUCUCUUAACCUCUGAACUUCAACUUGAGCCUGACUCCCCGAAGGCAUGUAUUGCUGCGAGUUGGAUCCAAAAUAUUGGGUUGGGUUAACAAAAAAUCCUUGAAAUCGAACCCGACCAUAUCUUUUAGGACCAAAAAAAUUAGUAAUAAUUCAAUUAUCAAUGUCGUCAACAUUAACAAAACUAUCACUUGAAGCAAUCGCUUCAUACUCCGCCUUUUUAUCCUUUAGUUUCUCCUAAUAAAUUAAUCAAAGAGUUAGAAAUGAAAUAUAUAAUAAAAACAAAUGCAACAUAACUUAACAUUAUUUGCAUUAGAAACGACGAAUUAAACCAUUAUAAUUAAACACUAUAAAUAUUUAAAAUAAUUCAGAUUUUAUUAACUAAACAUACCAUAAUUUCUGCAGCUUCAGAAGUCAUAGGAGAUCCAUCUUUCUUCCUAUAUGUUAUGUCAAAAAGCUAAAGGCGUCCAAUUUUUUGACCAGGCGGCAGUUCCUACAAUAUAUAGUAAAAAUAUUAUUUAAUGGAAAGUAAUAAAUAUUUAACACUAUUAAUAAAUUCAAAAUACCUCAGCCUCAGCUACACAAGCAAAACUUUUCGACCCAACUGUGUGAGUGAAUUUUUGUUUUUGCCUGCUGCUUGUUCCAACUCGUUCACGAUCCUACAUUAUGAAAUUAUUAUUACGUAUAUAGUAAAUACUAUAAACUGAAAUAAUUAUAAGAGUUUGGAAGUACGUAAUACAUCUCCUUUCUUUGAAUUCCAAAAUCUAACCGCAUCUUCCCAUUGGAACCUUAGUAUUCCCGGUGGGACAUUUCGCAAUUUCUCUUCGAGGGUUGUUUUUGUCUUAAAAUAUUCUUUCUUUAAAGUACUUUUAUGGUCACUCCAUCUUUUUCCCAAUGCCUUCUUGACAUAAUUAUCCGAGACCUCUAAAGUAAACCUUGCCUACAAAAACACAAGUUUAGAAAGUAAAUAUAAGUGAAACUUAAACCAAAGUAUUAUAAAUUACAUUAACGUUUUGUUACCUUAAUAUUAUCGAUAGCUUGAUUUUUGUUACUAUUAGGCAUUUGAUGCCAUGACUCGUAGUUGAUAGGCAACAUAUUGGCAUUUCAUGCUAUAAUGCCCAAAUAUCCUGCUAAAAAUCGAGCUUCUGAUCCAACAGGCUGACCAAAACUGUUUCUACAUACUUUGACACGCUCGACAAGAUCUAACUCGUAUAAAUCUUUAAGUAGCGUACGUCCUCGUUCUCUGUACGUCCUCGUAUGUCCUCGUAUAAAUCUUUAAAUAGCAGUUUGUUGUUCACUAUUUGUUUCUUUCGAGUUUAGAGUAUUUUGAACAAUACUUAGAUCUCGCAAUCUUCUUCUAGGAAUUUUAUCUGCAAUAAACAUAAAAUAGUUAAAAUUUUAGUAACUAAUUAUAACAAUAACAACACAUAUAAAAUAGUUGAAAUAUUUAAUAAGACCAAGAUUUAAAUUAUGGUAUUGCAUAUAAUUAAAAAAUCGUAAAAUCUUACUACAUCAUAAAUUGUAAAUAUCUUUAUCAACAUCCUGGCGAACCCAUUGAAAUUGUGUACUAGUACUAGGGAUAUUUUCGUUUAAGUUUUGUUUUAGAAAAGGAAAAGUUUCUGAUCUGUCGUCGAUGUCAUCUCUACUUCCAUUGCCCAUGUCAAACAAGUCUCUAGGGAUGUUACGGAGUACAAUGUACCAACCCUCAUCAGUUGGAUCUUUUGAGUAAAAAACUUGUUUCACUUGAUAAAAAAAUACAUACGGCUUAUCUAUCAAUUGUUGUCCAAUGUGAAUCAAUCAACAGAAGUUCACCGUUGUAAAACCAAAUUGAUCUUGUUUAAUUCCACGAGCAGUAUUAACAUCAGCCCAGUCACAUCGAAAUAAGACAACUUUCCAUUUAACAUAGUAAUCCAACUUAAUAAUGUCAGUAAGAAGUCUGUAAUACUCCACAGUUCCCUCAAUAGGAUUAUUGUCCUAGCACUAGCAUAACUUGUAAUUGAAGAAUUAACAACUAUUCCACAAUUUUGAGUUCUCCUCAAUCUCUCCCGAUAUUUUGUACGAAACCUGAAUCCAUUGAUGAGGAAUACACUAUAUCUUUUUACAACUCUAUUCAGACCUUGGGAAAGCAAUUUAACUUCGUCAUUGACGUCCUUCCCACUCCAAACAUGUUGAAUCGAAAGUAAAUUGAGUAAUUAUAAAUGUUAUGAGAAAAACAUUUAUUAUUUUUCAAUGAAAGCUUCAACUACAUACCAUUUUGCUUAACCAUUCAUGAAAAGAUUCUGUGAAUAACUUAUUAAGCUCUCGAUGUUGUAAUCUUCGGGAGCGUGAACGAGAUCUCAAGAUUUGUUUGUACUCACUAUGUUAAAAAGAGGUUUACUUUGUUAGAAGAUAAACAAAUUAUAAUUGAUGGAUAUUUAUCAAAUUCCAAAACUUACUUGUGUAAUGGUUCCAUUAAGUCGUGGUGAAAAAGAACAUAACGAUGUGCUUGUACCCACGAUCUAUCAUCUAAUUCUGAAAUUUCAACUUCGCCGAUUGGUUCUCCAUAACUUUGAAAUAAAUAUGUUUCGGCCAAGUUAUGAUCAGUGAGCCCAGCAUUUCUACUUGGUCUUUUUAUUCUUGUUUCAACAUCUUCAAAAUAUCUAGAACAAAAAGUCAUACAUUCUUCAGCCAAUUAGCCUUUAGCAAUUGAACCUUCUGGAUAACGCUUGUUACUCCAAUAAGACUUCAAUUUCGAUAGGAACCUAAACACGAUAUACAACAUUAUCAAAAGUUGUAAGUAAAGGCAUAGAGGUGAAUGAACGAAUAAUUUACAAAUAAAUUAACACCUUUCUAUGGGAUACAUCCAUCAAUAGAAAACGGGUCCACCAAGUAUUGCUUCAUGAGGGAGAUGAAUUAGCAAGUGCACCAUAAUAAUGAAGAAGGAAUGUGGAAAGAUCUUCUCCAAAUUGCAUAAAGUCAAUGUGGCUCGAUCUUGUAGCGUCUCAAGUUCUUGAACAUCCAAAACUUUGCCACAAAUGGCUUUCAUUAUAUUGGAUAGUUCAAUUAUACAAGAAACUUUUUCGACAUACAACACCGCAUAGCAACUGGCAGUAAAUCUUGCAUCAAGAUGUCAUAGUCAUGUGAUUUUAAGGCAUAUAGUCUUCGAUCUUUAAGACUCACACAUCGAGAUAUAUUUGAUGCAUACGCAUCCGGGACCUUUAUAUCCUUCAACAUCGUACAGAAUACUUUUUUUUUCGUCUUCGACAUUGAAAAAAUAGAAGGUUGCAACCGAUAUUUCCCAUUCAAAAGUGCUUGGGGAUGAAGAUCACGCCGAAUUCCCAUGUGGACUAAAUCAAGUCGACUUUGAAGAUUGUCUUUUGAUUUUCCAUCGACAUUGAAAAUUGUCCCAAUGAUGUUCUCACAAACAUUUUUCUCAAUAUGCAUGACAUCAAGAUUGUGUCGUAAAAUGUGAUGCUCCCAAUAAGGUAACUAAAAAAAUACUUCUUUUUCUCCACAAGUCCGCCUCAUUAGGAUCAUCCUCUUCAUCAUCAGAUUCAUCCAUUGAUCUUCUAUUUCUUUGUGUGUUGGGUGGUUGAUUCAUCUUCCCAUAACUGAAAUUCAUAUUUUUCAACAUGAACAAGAUUUCAGAUCCACCGGUCUACGAAGGAGCUUUUCUGAACUCUUUAGUACCGUCAAACAGAGUACUCUGAAAUCUACAUCUAUGAUUUCCUAGUAACCAUCGUCGAUGCCCCACGUAAGAGAACUUCUUCCCAUUAUAUAGCCAUUGUGAACAUGUUUGCACGACACAACAAGGACAAGCAUAAUGUCCCUUGGUACUCCAACCAGAUAAAUUGGCAUAAGUCGGGAAGUCAUUAAUAGUCCACAUCAAAGCUGUAUGUAAAUUAAAGUUCUCCUUUCUCAGUACAUCAUAUGUCUUAACACCAGCCCAUAAUUGUUUUAACUCUUCAAUAAGUGGCUACAAAUAAAUGUCAAUAUCAUUUCCGGGACCUUUCUCUCUAGGGAUAAUCAUAGAUAAGAUAAAGGAAGAUUGUUUCAUGCAAAUCUAUUGAGGUAAAUUGUAAAGAACAAGCACUACAGGCCAAGUACUAUACGCAGUGCUCAUGAUUUUGUAAGGAUUAAAUUCAUCAGAUGCUAGCCCAAGCCUCACACUCCGAGGAUCGCUUGCAAAGCUUGGAAAUUUACUAUCAAAUGAUUUCCAAGCUAUAGAAUCCGUAGGAUGCCUUAACAAUCCAUUAUCGAUUCGUUCAUCAUGGUGCCACAUCAUAGACUCGGCUGUCUUCGAUGACAUGAAAAGUCUUUGAAGCAUUGGUAUUAGCGAAAAAUAUCGCAAAAUCUUAAUUGGCUUCUCCCUUGACUGUGCAUCAUUUUCAUCCUAGUUACCAUAUUAUGUAUUUCUAUUCAUCCAACGGGAUUGACCGCAUACAUGAUAGCACUGUUGGUUUUUUCGGUCGCCCCAAUACAACAUGCAGUCAUUUGGGCAACUCUGAAUUUUGUUGUACCAAGGCCUAAACCUUUUAUCAAUUUCUUCAUAUCUUUGCAUGAAUGAGGGAUUUUUGCAAACGGAAACAUCUCUCUCAAAAACUCUAACAGCAUUGUCAAAGAGUUUCUGGUCCACCCUCCCAAACACUUUAAUUGAAAAAGACGAAUAUAGAAGGACGUUUUUGAAAAUUUUGAUCCCUCAUAAAGUUCUUCAUUCAUUUCAUUAAGCAGCAUGUAGAAAUUUGCCACUUCUCCAUUUCGCUCUUCAUCAGGUAUACUUCUUCCCGUUUCGGUAAAAUCAUUUCACUGAUAUUACAAUCAUCAAAUGCAACAAAGUCGGGUGGAACGAUUGCAAACCAUGACUGUGCAUAUUAAAUGCAUCCCGCGACAUACCUUCCAUGUCAUCUUCUCUAACAGACUGAUGGUAAGCACUACAAGGAUAAGCCGGAUUAAUCGUUGAAAAGGAAGUACUAAGUGUGCAUUCUCCAUGGAAAAUCCAUUUUUUAUACCCCCCGAAUAAACCUAUCGACAAUUAGAUGCUCGUAGACAACUUCACGAAAAUGCCAAUUGAUGUUGCCACACUUCUUACACGGGCAAAGAAUCAUAUUCUCUUGGCUUGCAUUUUGAAAUGCAAAAUUUAGAAAAGUUUGUACUCCAUUUCAAUAGUCGUUGCUUACCCUUGACAAAUUCAUCCAAGACCGGUCCAUUUCGUUGUUCUUGAAGCCUAAAGUUGACAAUAAAUUACACGGGUAAUCAUGGCUAUUUAUAAGUAUAAUUAAGUUAUGUAACUUAUGAUAUGAUAUAUAUUUAUGUAUUAUGCAAGUUAUGUAAGUUAUGUAAGUUAUGUGAGUAUGCAAAUUAUGUAAGUUAUGAUAUAUAUUUUGUAAGUUUUAAAAACAUUUAAAAAUAUUAAAUAUUAACAUCAACUCAAUAAAACACUAAAAUAAUAGUAUAUAGAUACAAAUAUUAUAAUAUAGAUAUUUCCGUUCUAAUGUUUAAAUUUAUUCUUUUUUAAUUUAAAUCAAAGCUCAAGACAUCAACUUAAUUGACUUGUAACAUAAUAAGAAUAUUUAACGCUAAUGAAUUAACAUUAUAUCAUUUCACAAAUUCUUAAAUUUUUAAAUUUUUUUAUAUAUAUUGGAGGUGAUUAAAGUAUCAUAAUCAAUAUUAACCAAGCUAAAAAAUCUCAACAACAUAACAUUUACCUAUUUUUUAAUGAUAGUAAGAAUUUCAUCAAGCUUUGCUGAUUGAAAUCAAUUUAAUUAAAUCCUAAUAAAAAAGAGUUGUUUUUGCAGCAAUUUUAAAAUGAAAAUUAAUUGUUUUUGCUGCAAUUUUAAAAUGGAAAUUAAAAAAAUUUGACAAGUGUAUUUAUCGUAUAUCUUUACAAAACAUGUCAUACACUAAAUUUAGAGUAGAUCGAUUUUUUAAAAAUUCUCAUAAUUGUUCAGAAAAAUAGUUUUUAUAGCAACCAUUUUCAUUAAGCAUAAUCUUUUAAGUCCUUCCACAAAUUUGAUGUUGAUGGACUAUAUAUAGCUGUAGUUUUGUCUUUAUUCAGACAUAAUCUUUUAGGUUUUCGUGAGCAAUAACACAUUAUGUUUUGUAAACUUAUGCAUUAUUUAUUCAUUUGAAAAUAUAUAAUUACAACGAACCCAAAUCAAAUCUGAACCUGAAACAAAUUCGAUUCAUAAAAACUUUAAAUCAAUUCAUUUCACAAGUUGAUAAACCAAAAUUAUCCAAACAAAAAAUAAAAAUUAAAAACUUUCACAGUGGGAAAAUAAAAACUUCAUAUUUAAAUGAGUGAAAGUAACUUUAAUAUAAAAAAACAGUUUUAAAGAAAUUAUGUAUUUAUCGAUGAACCAAACCGAUUCAAACUAGUGAAAGGUUCGGUUCAAUUUGAUUUCAAUUUGGAUCUUUAAAAACCAAAAUACUGUAUAAUAAUUGCAAAUAUAUUCCAUAACCGAUCUUAACAUACAACACUUAGUACAAAAUGGAGCAAAAAAGAACUUGCAACAACAUUAACCAGAACUUGCAACAAAAAAGAACUUGCAGCAACAUUAACCAAAUUCCUAAAUAAAACAGUCCCAAAUACAAAUAUACCAAAUUCAAAAAUAAAUUUAAAAAUGAAAAAAAAUAAAGAAAAUAAAGGAUUAACUAACCUUCUGGUUAUCUAGGCUUUCUGUGUAUUGCUUCAAACCAGUGAGAGCUGCCAAAUUUGUCGACUAAACUGCUAAAACUAAAUUGCUACAAUCAAAAUGGAAAGAAAAAACUACUACUCUGCCUCUGCCUGACUAAAUUGCUAAAACUGCAUGAGAAAGCAGCCAAUAAUGCACUAACGAUAUAUUUUAAAAUAAAUAUACAAAAAAAAUCUAUGCUUUCAAAUCGAUUUUAAAUUCGAAAAUUAGAAUAUGCACUAACGAUAUAUUUUGGUGGAUCCAAGUCUGGAAUUAGAAAUAGUUAGAAUAUGCUUUCAAAUCGAUUUUAAAUUCGAAAAUUACUUUUACCACAAACAAAUUAAAAAUAUAUUUCAAUACAAAAUAGAUUUAGGCAUUCGAAAGCAUACGUUUUAUUGUCAAAAUGUAACAGUAAAUGGUUAAAACCCUAAACAGACUAAAUUGCUAAAACUAGAAUUAAGAGAGAAGAAAACAAUACCUUUAGGAAGAUGAAGAGAAAUUAAAUCACUUCGGAACAGAUUCCACAAGUAAAAGUGUGAAAUGCGAACGUUUUUAGGGAUCAGAAACCCUAAAACCAAAGACGAAUUGACUGGAUUUUAGGGUCAAUAACUUUGAAAUAAACAAAAAAUUCACACAAACAAGAAUAACCCAAACCUUAAACACGCAAAAAAAAAGGAAAUGAAACAGGUUCAAGCUUACCCAAAAAACAGAAUGUCGUUUACUCUGUCUUCAUAUAAAUGUUGUGAAGAAAUCAAAACGAAUACUCCUAAUAAGUAAAAAAAUGAAAUGAAGAAUCGAAGAAACAAAAAUAAAGCCAAUGCUAGUUCUAUAGGUUCGUCUCUGUGAAUGAGUGGAAUUAGGUAUUUCGAAAGGGAAUUAGGGGCUGGGUACUGGAAAGGGGAAAAUUGUUAUGUGGAAGAAAAUAACGACGUUCUGAAAAAUUUUUAAUUUCCUGAAAAGAAACGGCAUUGUUCUGAACAAUUUUUAAUACAUUGUUGCGGCGUUUUUAGACAAAACGUCACUAAUGCUUACCUUUUGCGGUGAUUCUGAGAAAAAUGCUACUAAAAAGUUAAAAUCUUGUAAGCAAACGAUGCCGUUUUUGUACACUUUUUAAUACAUUGUUGCGGCGUUUUUAUAACAAACGCCGCUAUUGCAUACCUUUUGCGGCGUUGUGGAGAAAAAUGGCACUAAAAAUCAAAUUCCUGUAACCAAACAGUGCCGUUUUGUACAAUUUUUAAGACAUUGUUGUGACGUUUUUGGUCCAAACGCCACUACUAUUAAAAAUUUUUCAAAUAUUUAAUAGUUUUAUAAAAUUAAAAUUUGAUACAUUAAUAUGACAUUAUUUAAUUGUUCCAUUUUAAAAUUGAAUAUAAUGAUGGAAGAUAAUUCUUCCUCUACUAUUAAAAAAUAAUUUAAUUUGGGUAUCUUAAAAUUUUAAUAAUUCUAUUAAUUAUUUUAAAAUUAGUUUUUUAAAGUACAAAGAUUAAAUUCUAAUGAAUUAAAGUAAAAACCUUAACUUUUUUUUCCAUAAAAUAGAAGGAUGAAAUUCAUAAUUAGACAAAAAAACCCUAAACCUAAGACCCUAAACACCUGAAAACACCUAAAUCCUAAAACCCCUAAACCAUAAAAUUUAAACCCUAAUCUCUAUACCCUAAACCCUUAAACCCUAGUCCCUAAAUUACCAUAAACCCAAAACCUUAAACCAUAAACCUCCACCAUAUUAACUAAACUUUAAACCUUAAACCCUAAACCCUAAACCUUAAACCCCAAACCAUAAACAUACACCCUAAACCAUAAAUAUAGAUAUUACAGGGGACAAAAGUAAUUAAAAAGGAAUCUUAAAUACUAAACCCUAAACCCUAAACCCCAAACCCUAGACUCUAAACCAUAAACGCAAAACUCAAAAUUUUAAUCCGAAAAUAAUAAACAUUUUAUCAUAAACCUUAAACCAUAGACAUUAAACCUUAAAUACUACCCCUUAAACCCUAAACCUUAAACCUUAAAACCAUAAAGUGUAAAAUAAAAUGAUUUUUUUGCGGCGUUUCUUCAAAAGUGCCGCUAAUGCUGAACAAAAAAACGAAAUCAAUUUACUCAUUUUUUGCGGUGUUUCCCAAAAAGCAUAGCUAAUACUUGUUCUAUAGCAGUGUUUCAUAAAAAGCGCCGCGAAUUCUCGAUCUAUUGCAGCGUUUUUUAAAAUGUGCCGCGAAUACCACUAAAUCUCAAAAUAGAAAAUGAUGUCGUUUUCUCAACUUUUUUGCGGCAUUUUUCGUAAAGCGCUGCUAAUGUUUGACCUUUAGUGGCAUUUUACAGAAUGCCUCACUAAUUCUCGAACUUUUGCAGCGUUUGUAAAAAAGUGCCACUAAUUCUAGAUUUUUUGCAGCGUUUGUUAAUUAUCGCCACUAAUUGAAAAAGCAAACGGCGUCGUUUUUCCCAAGUUUUUUGCGGCAUUUUUAUAUAAGCGCCCCUAAUGCUUGAUCAUUUGCUACGUUUUAGAAAAAGCGCCGCUAUUGCUUACAUAUUGUGGCGUUUGUUAGAAUUCGCCGCUAAUGCUCUAUUUUUUGCGGCGCUUUUCGUUCAAACGCCGCUAUAAAUGCUGCUAAAAACCUGUUUUGUUGUAGUGAUUGUUUGAAAAUUAUAUUUAUUUAUUGACUUAGUGGGAUUAUAGACUUCACAUUGAUUUAGACAUUUCUAGUAGUAAAUGUCACAAUAGUAUUUAUAUGUGGAUACAAAAUAAAAAGAAGGACAAUAAAAUUAUCAAUUAUCAAAAUUUAUAUUUACAUUAUUAGUACAAUUGAAAAAAAAUGUUAAAGUAAGCCAGAAGUUUUAUCUUGGAUUACAAAUCAAGCAUUUAAAAGAUGAAAUUCAUGUUCAUUAAUCAAAUUAUAUGGAAAAUAUGUUAAAGAAAUUUUACAUGGAUAAAGCACACCUAGCUAUUAAGUACUCUGAUGGUUGUACGAUCGUUAGAUGUGAAUAAAGAUCAAUUUCCUCCUUGCAAGAAUAAUGAAGAGUUUCUUCGUUCUAAAGUACCAUAUCUAAGUGGCAUAGGGGUAUUGAUGUAUCUUGCAAACAACACAAGACCUGAUAUAACUUUCACUGAAAAUUUGUUAACAAGAUUUAGUUCUUCUCCAGCACAGAGACAUUAGACUAGAAUUAAACAUGUAUUUAGAUCUUUCAAAGGGACCAUUGAUAUGGGGUUAUUUUAUUCAAAUGAUUCAAAAUCUCUAUUAGUUGGCUAUGUUGAUGCUAGAUACUUAUCAGAUUCACAUAAAGGUCGAUCUCAAAUAAGAUAUUUAUUUACAUGUGGGGUUACUGUCAUAUCAUGGCGUUCAACAAAGUGAACAUUACUUGCCACUUCUUCAAAUCAUGCAGAAAUAAUUGCAAUGCAUAAGACAAGUCAAGAGUGUGUUUGGCUAAGGUUAUUGACCCAACAUAUCCAAAAGAUAUGUAAUUUACCUUUAUAGAAAGAGAUGUCAACUAUCUUAUAUGAAGAUAACACAAAAUGUAUAGGAAGAGAAGUCGACUAUCUUAUUUGAAGAUAAUGCAGCAUGUAUAGCUCAGUUGAAGGGUGAUUACAUCAAAGGACAUAGAACGAAACAUAUUUCACCAAAAUUAUUCUUCACCCGUGAUUUUGAGAAAAGAAGUGAUAUAAAUGUUCAACAAAUUCGUUCUAGUGAUAAUUUAUCAGAUCUUUUUGUAAGGCAUUGCCGACUUCAACAUUUGAAAGACUACUACAUAAGAUUGGAAUGCAUCAACUAAAAAAUGUAAUGUAGUGUUGCCAUUAGGGGGAGUUUAUCUUAUAUGAAGAUAACACAAAAUGUAUAGGAAGAGAAGUCAACUAUCUUAUUUGAAGAUAAUGCAGCAUGUAUAGCUCAGUUGAAGGGUGAUUACAUCAAAGGAGAUAGAACGAAACAUAUUUCACCAAAAUUAUUCUUCACCCGUGAUUUUGAGAAAAGAAGUGAUAUAAAUGUUCAACAAAUUCGUUCUAGUGAUAAUUUAUCAGAUCUUUUUGUAAGGCAUUGCCAACUUCAACAUUUGAAAGACUACUACAUAAGAUUGGAAUGCGUCAACUAAAAAAUGUAAUGUAGUGUUGCCAUUAGGGGGAGUUCAAAAUAAGUUGUACUCUUUUCCUUUAACUAAGGUUUUGUCUCAUUGGGUUUUCCUGGUAAAGGUUUUUAAUGAGGCAGCUUGUAAUAAAAGAUUGUGUACUCUUUUUCCUUCAUUAAUUUUUAUCCACAUGGUUUUUUCUAAUAAGGUUUUAACGAGGCAUAUUAUCUACAAAUGGACAUCCAAAAGGGAGUGUUAUGAAUAUCUUAUUAAGUGGAUGUCCAUCAUGAUCAAAAUAAAGUUUUGAUGUACUUUAAAUUCUAAUAGUUAUUAGAAUUAGAUCUCUACUUCUUUUAUACUUCUUAUGCAUAUAAAUAGAGACUUUGACGAAGCAUUGUAAUCAUCCCUUUGAUUAAUAAAGUACAUUAUUUAUUGCUUUCAUAUUUUCAUAUUUUCAUAUUUUCUUUUUUCUCUCCAUUUUUCUUUAUUUUAUAACAGUUUUAAGUUUUUUUUUAUUUUUAAUUAUCAUUUUUUACACAUAAACUCUUUUGGUUGGAUGGUUAGAUAAUUGGGAUUUCAUCAUUGAGUUUUAAGUUUAAUUCCUCUUAUAAGCAUUUUAAUAUGUAUUUUUUAUUUCAUGUUGUUUCAAACUUUUUUAUUAUUUUUAAUUAAUGUUUAUAAUUAAUAUUUAUAUUGUUUUCAAGUUUUUUUUUAAUUCAUCUCGCUUUUAUUUAUAAAAUCAUUUAAUAAAGUGAAUUUGUUUACAAAAAUUAACUAGUCUUUAGAUAUAUUUUUCUUUUUAUAUAAUAUUUAUAUGUCAAAUAUUUAUUUUCUCCACCUAUAUUGUGGAGUAUGGUGAUUUCUAAUAUUAUAAAAUCAAAUAAUUAUUUCAAAUAUCAUUGUUUUUUCAUCUACAUUGUGGGUAUGAUAUUUCAAAUAUUUUUAUAUGUGAAAUAUUUCAAAUAUAAUUAUGUUUAUCUGUGAAAUGUUUCAAAUAAUUAUUUCAAAUACACUUACAAAAAUAUAUAAUAUCAUAUAAUAUGCGAAUUCACUACACUUAUGAUGUGGAUUGAAAGAUAAAUAUUACAAAUAUAAAAAUUAUAUUUACUAAAAAUAAUGAUAUUUUCAAUAAUUCUUUAACUUUAUAAAUAAAAGGGUUAUUAAUUAAAAAGAUGAAUUAAAAAUAAAAAACUUGAAAGUAAUAUAUUUAUUAAUUAUAAACAUUAUGUAAUGCCCUAAAUUUUGAAUAUUUCAUUAGCAAGUAUUUGUUUUAGUGGUUAAGUGUCUUAAUUGUGUGUUUGAGGUUUUGAGUUUAAGUCACACUUUUUGGGAAAAUUCAAUUAUUUUUUGUUCCUAGGCCUAUCUCUGUUCGUUGGGCUUAAAGGUUAUUUUUAAUCAAUUUAUGUCAGAAUGAGCCUGCUGGUUUAGUGGUAAAAGAUUGCUUACUAUUGGUCUUGUGUUUGAAUUCCCAUGUGAGCAAAAGAGUAAUAUUUUUGCAAUUUACUGUCUAGGGUGCACAUGGGAUGAAAUUGGUUUGAAAAUCAAAUUCUAGGAAGUUGGGUGGUUGUUGUAUACCAACGUUUGUGAAAUUUUAUGAACAAUGGUGUUAGUGGGUAGGUUAAUUUGUUUUAAAAUUGCAUUUUGGUUAGGAUUGUUUUAUUUAAAAUAUAUGGACACUUUUGCUCUCGCACGUUCCCUUUUCUCCUUCCCUUUCUUGCUUCAGUUAUCCUUUUUCUUAUUUCUUUCUUUGUUCAAAUGGGUGGGGUCCCAAGCUGAUCUUUUUUUUCUUAAUCUUUGUUGUUUCAAUUCUUCUUGUUUGGCCAAUCAAGGUUAGUAAUAAGUGUUGACUGCGACUUGAAUUGUUCAUAAGUAUUGGUAUUCUUUUCCUUUUUGUUUAAGAAUUUGUUGUCGUUGUUUCUCAUUUUGUUGGAGUGUGUUGGUGGAGUUAAUCAUGGUUAGUUGUUUGCUUUGGUUUAGGGGAAACACAAGAAAUGAUUCAUCCGUCAGUGACUUAGGAUUGUGGAGACGCUGUUCGUCCAUAGGUAAGGGUUUUAUGCCAAAUUAGGCUCGUUGUGGUUGUUGAGUUAAUCGGAUGUGGGUUGGUUUAGUAUUUUAGAGAAAUUAAAGAUUUUAGUCACUUAAUCGUUGCACUAUUGUGGGCUAAUUUGCUUAAUGUUCGAUGCAUUUAGGUGUUGGAAUACUAAAUUUGUGGAUUCGCAUUGAAAUCAGUCAAUGUGUGUAAUGAAAACUUGAGAAAACAAUGAACAAUGAAAGCCAAAAAAGUGAACUGUUGACACCACAUGAAUGUGUGUCAGGCCGUGUGUUGGAGCGUGUGGGACACACGGUCUGGGCUAAUUGGGUUGUGUGGGCCACACGGGCAUGUGUGAAACUGUGUAGGCCCAAAAUUUAGAAUUUUUCCCUAAGACCGUAAACAUCGUUCUGGUCGAACGUAGGCCUUUCGUAGGGUCCAUAUGACAUUAAUUAACCUUUAAAAUAUGAUUUCUGAUGUUCUGUUAGCAUAAAAAUAUUGAUAUGAGUUGUAUGACAAAUAUGAUGUAUGCAAAACACGAACUGUAUUUCUGGUAAGUCUGAUAUGUAUUUGUUAUGAGAGCAUGUAUGACAUGUAUGUUCUAUUAUAUGUUAAUUUUUGUAUGUGCAUUGGGUGUGGGAUUGUGUAUAUGGAGGAAGUGUGGGUAGAUAUACCUCUGCCAUAUCUGGUGGCACAACUACACAUAUUUCUGUAAAUGGCAAAAAAUCGCCUAAUGAUCAGUUAGCUAAGGUACGAAUAUUCUAAAAAGUGUCAUAUAUUGACACUAAGUGGUGUGUAGGUUUGGAUGAGUAUUCUAAUACCAGAUAUGGUAUGUUGGGAUGGUCGAAGAUGGUGUGUAACGGAUGGGGGUAGGUUCUUAAAUUUGCAUCUGAUAUGAUUUUAUACGAAUUUUGUUUCUAUUAUAUGUCUAAUUAUUAUUUGUUGAUAUUCUAUUAUGUUACACAUUGAGCUCAUAAGCUCACUAUCAGUUUGACUAUUUACUUUUAGGUAACCCUUAGACUUAGGAUUGGUUGGUGCAGCUGGAGCUCGGUUGAACAUUUCUGUUAAUCAUGCUAUUCUUUGUUAUUUUACUAUUUUGGUUUUAAUGGACUAUUUGGACAUUUUUGGGACUGUUUUAAUGUUUGGACUUUAUUUAUUUUAUUUUAUUUUAAUUGAUUAAAUGUUUUUGGUGGGUAGAAAAUUGAUUUGCUAAAUGAUGGAUUUUAUAACAAAAAAAUUGUGUUUUCAAACUGGAUUUGACUAAGUAUUCCACUGCAAACAAAUGUGUUUUACUAGUAAAUAAUUGACAAACUUAUCAAAAGAGCUAAGAAAGAUAAAUUUCCUAAAUAAACUCAAAUUUUACUAAAUAAGUGCAAGUAUCGUUUUAUAAAAUGAACGGAUUCUAGAUUUUUUUGAAUGUAUCAUAGAAACAUCUCUAGAUUUGGCCAUAACAUCAAGGUCGGGUUUGUGGUGUUACAUUUGGUGGUAUCAAAGCUAGAUUGCAAAACUCGGGCUGUGAAUUUUGGGUUCAAAAUUUUGUGAAAAUUAUAUUUUAAAAAAUUUUCUUUCUGUUUAAAUCUGAAAAGUGAGUUUACAGAAUACCGAAUCUCCGAUGCUGAUCCUGCAAGUACUUCUAACUUAGUUAAACUUUUAGUUUAGAAAAACUCUUAAAUGAUUAUAAGUGCUCUGCGAUAGUUAGAGACUGCAACAACUCUGUAAAUUUUUUUGAUAACUUUCUGAGCAUAAAAUAUAUGUCAAUAAACAUCAAAAUUGAUACAUAAAACUCUGUAAUGUAGAAAACAUACUAUGAGUGCACGUGAAACUCAUGGACACGGUAAUCGUGGGCGCAACGGGCACCAAAAAGGGCUCGAGUUGAGCCGUCCUCGAUGGACAACAUGCCCAAUUUAGAUACAAGUGAAACAUCGGGUAUGCCUACUACUGAGAUUGGAUCUUAGACUCAGACGGUUGGGGACGAGGCAUUGUCCCAAGCCAUGUUUAGGGUGCUUGAAAGGGUCGUUGGGACCUAUUCUAGAUCUGAGAGUCAAAGGUUGGUAACUGAAUGACUCCGGUCUAACGGUCCGAAACUGUUCAAGGGCGUCACUAAAGUCGCCCCAAUUGCGGCAAAAUAUUGGUUGGAGGCUAUAGAGAGGAUUAUGAAUCAUAUCAAUUGCACCCCUAAGCAGAAAUUAAAGGGUACAGUAUAUUUGCUUAGCGAUGAAGCUUAUCAGUAGAGGUUGACCAUUGAGGAGGGUACUCAACAUGAUGAGAUUUCUUGAGAGUACUUUAAGAAUGACUUCUAGAGAAAAUAUGUGGGGGCUCGUUAUGUGGAGGCUCAUAGACGAAGUUUAUAGGCUUUACUUAGGGGGAUAAGACCGUGGUUGAGUAUGAGGCCGAGUUUUUGAGGUUUAUCAGAUAUGCUCGUGGGCCUUUGUCAACUGACUAUAACGAAAGCAUUCGGUUUGAGGAAGGGCUAAGGUAUGACCUCAAAGUUCUGAUAGCUCCUCAAAGGGAGUGAGUUUUUGCCGUCUUGGUGGACAAUACGAAGAUUGCUGAGGAGGUUAAGUGCAUUGAGCACGAAAAUAGGGAUAUAGAGAGAGGUAAGGCUAAGAGGGAUUCAGAUCCCUCUAGUUCUAUUUAGCAGCUUAAGAAACGGGCCAGAUUUGAUGGGCCUCCGAGGGUUAAGGCAAAUGUUUCUCCUGCUGUGGUUCAGACAUGUAGAGAUUAAGGCAUCAUCCAGGUGAAUAUUAGAGGACGUUGGAAGCUUGCUUGCGAUGUGGCUUGAUGAAGCACUGCAUCCGAGAUUGUCCGCUCUACUCUAGUUAGGUGCAAGCUCCAGUUUCGCGUUUAGUUCAACCUCAAUAAGUAGUUCAACAACCACCUAGGGGUCGUGGUCAGGCCAAAAGUGGUAAUGGAUUGGGUAAGGGUUAGAGAGGAUUGGGAAAAGGUGUUAAUCAGACUAAGGCUAGGUAAUUUACUUUGGUAUAUGCAACAAGACACCGUGAGGAUAGAGACACCGUAGACAUUAUCGUCGGCACGUUCUUUAUUAAUUCUAUAUCGUACUUUGCACUGAUAGAUAUAGGUUCAACACACUCCUACAUAGCUAGCUUUGUUUCUGUAAACUUGGGUAUUUUUGUUUAAAGCACUUUUGGUGAGGUUUUAUUGAUCAGUUCACUAGGUCAAUCAGUUCGGGUUGAUAAGGUUUAUAAGAGAGUAUAGCUGGAGAUACAAGGUGUAGUGUUUCCAACUAAUUUGAUAGAGUUACCAUUUGGAGAAUUUGAUUUGAUAUUGGGUAUGGACUGGCUCGUGGAGUAACGGGUCAACUUGGACUAUGUCACUAAGAGGUUAACUCUAAGGUCUAAAGAUGAUUUAGAGAUUUUUGUGAUUUACGAGCGUCGAGAUUACCUCUCUAGUGUAAUCUCCGCUUUUAUGGUUGAAACAUUAGUUCAGAAAGGCUGUGAGGCAUUUUUGGCCUUUGUGCAUAACAUUAGUCCAGUGUAAUCUCUGCUUUUCAAAAAACGCCGCUAACGCCUCGAAAAAUCCAAAAAUGACAUCGUUGUGCUUGGGUUUUUUGCGGCGCUUUCUGGAAAAUGCCGCUAAUGCUCAUUUUUAAUACUGGAUCUUUAGCAGCAUUUUUCCUAAAGCACCGCUAAUGCUUGAUUUUUAGCGGCGUUUUUUAUCCAAACGCCACUAAAAACACCGCUAAAAGCUUGUUUUGGUGUAAUAUAUGAGAGUGUAACUGUGAUGUCGAACCAUCAUUUGGAAGAAUUUUCUUGGGGACUUGCAAAUAGUAAAUACCUAUUUUUAUGGGUAGUUAGGCCUGACGUUGUGAUGGGAGAAUCAGCUAUUUUUCCAAGAGAAUUCAUGGAGGCAAUAAAAGGAAGGGGCCUCAUAAUAAGCUGGUGUCCCCAACAACAAGUGUUGUCCCACCCAGCCGUUGGCGUUUCCUUGACACACUGCGGAUGGAAUUCUCUGUUGGAAGCUGUAUCCGAAGGUGUGCCUUUAAUUUGUUGGCCUUUCUUUGGUGAUCAACAAACGAAUUGUCGAUAUUCGUGCACCACAUGGGGCAAUGGAAUGGAAAUCAACCCUGACGUAAAGCGUAAGGAUGUGGAGGCUCUUGUUAAAGAGAUAAUGGAAGGAGAUAAUGGGCAAAGGAUAAGGCAAAAGGCAUUGGAAUGGAAGAGAAAAGCUAAAUCUGCCAUUAGUGUUGGAGGAUCUUUUGUUACCAACUUUGAUAGAAUGAUCAAGGAGGCCUUACGUCAAGGUUGAACAUUAAAAUAACAAAAAAUUGUUGUGUUGAAUGUUGUGUAUGUACUUUUUUUUAAUUUUUAUAAUACACUAUUAAUAAAUUGGUUAAUAUUGUGUAAUUGGUAAUAUACUCUCUCUUUUUUUUAAUUCCAUAAGUAAACUUAAAAAAUUGUUAUGUAUCUAAUUAAUUUUAUAAAUUUAUUUUUAAUAUUUUAUUAUAUUUUUAUAGAACACUUAUAAUCACUCUAACCCUACUUUAUAAAUUGUAGAUCAUAUAAUCGAAUUUGCCUUAUUAUCUCACCUCUAACUUUUAUUGCCUCGCCUUUAUUUUUAAUUUUUCUUUUUUUUCUAGUUUUUCUUUUGGUUCAAAGAAGAAACCAAACAUCAUAUAGUUCCCCAUGUAGAAAGGGAAACAGAUACAAUAUAAAUUAACACAUGAACUUACUUAAAUAUGAUUCUAAGAUUAAUCUAUAAUUUUUUUCUGCUUUUAUAUUCUGAUUAUUUAAUUCUUGAUCCAUAUAAUUUACAAUGGGAAAAUUUUCAUUUAGGCUAUUUAUAAUUUAUAAAAUUUUAAAUUAGUAAUGAUAAAAUUACACUUUGGCCCCCUUAAAAUGAUAAAAAUUUGAUUAAUUCUUUGAAAAUUAUAAAGAUAUAGACUAUUAAAAUGAUAAAAAUACAUUUUUACCAUCAUAAAAUAUACAAUUUAAUUCCACCCUGAAAAACUUUUCUAUUUCCACCACUGCUUUAUAUUUAAAUUAAUUACUUCCUUUUAAGAGCUUGAAUUACAAUGUCACAUUAUUCUCUCUCUAUAUAUAUUUUUACUUUUAGAUUUAUAAUAUUUUAUAUUUAAUAGUAUAUUUUAUUUCAAAUGUUUCAUAUUUAUACUCAAAGUCAUUUAAAUUUUGGGUUUGUUUCAUAAAAUUUUAAGAAAAAAAUAAAAAUAAAAAUAUAAAACAUAAAACUUUUAUAAUUUAAAAUUUACAUUUAUCAAAAAAUCUAUUUAUAUUUAAUAAUUAAUUUUAAGUAAUAUAUCAAAUAAAAUUUAUAAUUUAAAUUCAAUAUAUGUAAUUUUUUAACACUUAAUUUUUAAUUUAUUUUUUUAUAGAAACAUUUGAAUUUUUUUUAUCCAUAUUCAAAUAAAUGUGUAAUUGGAUUUAUGAACUUUGAAACUUGAAUUGCACUUCAUAUGUAUACAUAAAGCUUUGAUUGUAUACAUUUAAAGAAAUGAAUACAUACAUUUAUUUUCAUAUUGGAUUAAUAUUGUUUUUUUGUGCAUGCAAUAUAUCAACAUAAAAUUGUGUUAAUUCUUUAAUAUUAGUCUAUGGUUUGUGAAUUUUGAAUUAAAUUAAAAUUUCAUGUAUAAAAUUGUACAAAAUAAAAGCUCAUGUAUGACAUUGCACAUUGGAUCAAAAUUCAUGUAAAGCUUUGAUAGUUUUCCGUAAAAAUUAUUUAGAGAGUGCGUUUGGAUGGGUUGUAAGUAGUAAUAUUAAUUAUUGUAACAGUAAUAUUAGUUACUAUAACGGUGAUGAUAUAUAUGUUUGGAUUUAAUCAUAGUAGUGAAAGUGGGGUAAAAUAUAAUAAGAAGAAAAAAUGAUUAUUGAACACAUAAUAUUAAAAUUUAUAUGUAAUAGAAUUUUUGAAACUAUUUGAUAUUUGUAAAGUUAAUAAUUAUAAAUUAUUAAGUUUUUUAUAUAAAUAUUUUAAUGAAUAUAAAAUAUUAAGAUGGAUGGUAUUGUUUCAAAUAAUAUUUUUCAUCAUUUUUAUAUAGUUAUUUAAUUUAAUUAACUUAUAUUAAUUAUAUAAAUAAAUAUAGUUUUGUUAGUCUUAUCUUAUAAAAGUAUAUUUGUAUAUAUUUUUUUAAUAUUUACUUAUUAUAUAAUUAUUAACUGAAAUAAAGUAAUGAAAAAAAUUAAUAUCACAAGAUAUACAAAUACUUUUGUUUUAAAAUAUUUUCUUAAAAAAAAAAAAUGAUAAAAGGACAAAAAACUGAAAGGACGUGAUUGGAAACCGGAGGCUGCAAUGGAGAUGAAAAUUUUUAAUCUUAGCUCACUAGUGAUCCCAAAGAGCCUAAAUUAAUUUGUACCCAAAAUAUGUGGGUACCUAUCAUAUGAAUAUUUAGUUUAAGCUUGAUUUAAUAUUUAUUUUUAAAUUUGAAUUUAUUUCAAGAUAUAAUCAAAUUAAUUAAACAUGAACUCGAUUAAAUUAAAUAUAUUCAAGCUUGACUUGAUAAUAAGCUUAAGGAAUUAAUAAUAUAUAUUAAGGGUAAUAAUGUAAUUUAAUACUAUACAAAUAUUUAAAAUUUAUCAAAAAUAAAAAGCUCAACAAGGUUUGCGGGCCAUUAGACCCAAAUAUUAUUAAGCUCAAAUUCGGUUAAACUGAUAGUUUAAAUUACUCGAACUAGAGCUCGACUCGAUAAUUAUCAAAUCGAGUUUAGAAUCAAACUUAAAUAACUUGCAAGGUACCUAAACUUAUUUUAGGCCACCAUAAUCUCCAAAACCCCAAUUUUAACAUUUGAACUAAAUCUUCAUUUCUUCUUCACAAACUACCAUAAUCUAGUUUCUAUUAAUAUGGCUCUAAUAAUCUCUGAAAUCAAAGACCAAGCUUAUUUAUACAUGCAACUCUCUUUUUAACUGUUCCAACUCACCAAAGCAAAAUACAAAAGCAAUACUAAAUAUGAGCUUCACAUGCAUACCUCACACAACUGCAUUCACUUAUAAAGGAAAAAAAAAGCAGAAAUAGAGACAUUGAAUGAUCCCCAUACAUUAUUUAAGUAAUUCCCCACUGACAAUAGUAUUUCCAGUUAACCAUGUUUGAGAGCUUUCUUAACAAAUCUGUCGAAAUCAAUAUAAGAUGAUCCCCCAACUUCAACCGCUUCUUCCGCUUUCUUCUUCCAUUCCAAUGCCUUCUCUU
Molecule: long non-coding RNA, 102214 nt
Filed under: Gossypium barbadense (sea-island cotton)
Lineage: Eukaryota; Viridiplantae; Streptophyta; Magnoliopsida; Malvales; Malvaceae
Description: long non-coding RNA (GBAR_LNC014682)
Source: RNAcentral